GAACACUCCGGCGUCGUUGGCGCCUUCAACUGCCAAGGCGCCGGCUGGUGCCGGGUAGCCAAGAAGAACCUCAUCCACGACCAGCAGCCCGGAACGGUGAGCGGCGUCAUCCGGGCGCAGGACGUGGAGCACCUUGGAAGGGUGGCUGAUCACGGCUGGAACGGCGACGUGGUCGUGUAUUUGCACGUGGGAGGUAAACCAUCAUUUUUUUUAAAUGAACAGUCAGAUCAUUGUCAAGCUAGGGGACAUCAGUCUCGUUCUCGUGACCCCUUUUCGGUUUCAUCUUGUUAACAACGGACAACGAACUGUACAUAUCAGCACAUCAGUGACAAGCAACCUCUUGUUGUGUUGUGUGUGUUUUCAGGGGAGGUGGUGUACCUGCCGAAGAACGCCUUGCUGCCUGUGACGCUGAGAUCGCGCGAGUAUGAGGUGUUCACCGUCGUCCCUCUCAAGCACCUGCCAAACGGUACCUCCUUUGCGGCGAUCGGCCUUCUCGGCAUGUUCAACUCCGGUGGCGCGGUGAGGGAGCUGAGAUUCGGUGGUGAGGAUGCCGACGUCGAGCUCAGAGUGCGGGGCUCGGGCACGGUCGGAGCUUAUUCCUCGACCAAGCCAACGUGUGUCGCCGUCGAUUCCAAGGCGGUUGGUUUCUCCUACGAUGCCACCUGUGGCCUCAUCAGCUUCGAGCUCGGCAUUCCCGACCAAGAAAUGUACUUGUGGACGGUUACAGUAGAGUAUUGAAGUUACAACUGAGAAUUGAGAUAGAUUUUCUAAUGCGUCAGAGAACGCCCGGUGGUGUAGGUAUUCUGAUUUAUUCAGUGUUGUACUUUCUAUUGUUAGUUAUAUAUAUUCUGUACACAUCCCGGGAUUUUAUGACAAAUCUAGAUAAGUGGCGGUCCUUAGAUUUUAGGAGCCCAGAACGAAAUUUUAAAUAGAAGCCCUUGUUAAUAUUGUAUAUUGAUUUUACAAAUAAAAAUCGAAUGUGAUCAAUUAAAAAUCACAACCUUGAUAAGUUCUUUAUGCUCCCGCGAGUGUGUUGCCAGGUGUCUUCCGUCACCGUCUUAGCUGAUGUGAUGUUUUUAGUUUGAGAGGUCACUUUAUUCUAGACUAGCAAAGUAUCCAUACAUUGUUAUGAUUUUUAUUUGUACUUAAGUAUUGAAUAUAAAAAACAAAGGCAAGUGUAUUGUAUUGGCUAAGUGGAUGUGAAUAUAGGUGUAGAGCCAACAACCAUUGUUCAAUUCUCAUUUAUGCAUAAUUUUAAUAUUUUUUACUAUUUAAAUGUGGGCCACGAAGUACAACGACGGUGGAAACCGUGAAAUCAGAAAAACUAGUGCUUUAAUCACUUCUUUCUAGAUAAGUUGAUUUAUCAUGGGUUUAUCAUAUAAAUUUGACAGAAUGACUAUAUUUCUUAUGCUAGUAAUUAUUAUUAUUAGCUUGUAAAGAAUAAGGUAGCAGUGGAUCAAUCCAUUUAAUUCACUAAGCAAACUAAUAAUAAUAAUAAUAAUAAUAAUAAUAAUAAUAAUAAUAAUAAUAAUAAUAAUAAUAAUAAUAAGUAAAAAGUUAAUAUAGACAUAUAGUACUCGUUCUUCAAAACAUACACAUAAAUAUAGCAAUUUUAUAUUAUUAAUGUUAUUUAUGUGUAUCAGAUGGAUCCCUACGGCCUGAGGGCCCCAGAUCUGUCACACCAUCCGAACCCCCUCCCCCUUCAGGUUCGACACUGAUCCAGUGUAUCAUGGAUAAUUUUUACAUAUAUGAUGAUUUAGUAUAUAGAAACUCGUGUUACGAACUUUAUUAUAUAAAUAAAAUAUCUUUAUAAAAAUAACUAAAUGAAAGAAACUAAGCAAUGACGGCGACAAUCUUGAUAACAAGCCACAGGUUGAUCGAAGCGACGACAACCCAAAACUCUUCAUAGUAGUCUUCAUCUUGUGUCCUUGUUCUGGGUAGUGAUGUGGUUCAUGUAUUCUGUGCAUAGAUACGUGAUUCAUAAAUGAAAGCAUAGAUACAUGAUUCAUCAUCCCACUUUUGUGAUGUGGUUCAUGCAUUCUGUGCAUUAUAUCCCUACAAUAUACUACUCUUUAAAUAUCUCUCACUAUUUUAUUACAACAUUCACUCCCACCGAAAUACUCUUAUAUGCAUGAUAUUAUAUACAUGGUAGUUCAUGUUUUUCCCCACCCACUGGAAUACUCAGUCUGCACCGAAAUACUCUUAUAUGCAAUGUCAAUCCAUAUUGCAACCACCAGUUUUAUAGUUUGAUAAGAUAUUGGAGGCAAACAAAUCAUUUUGUCGUAAAAAAUAGGAUGUUAAUCAAUUGUUCAUAUGUAAGAAAUGACAAGAUGUCGUUCCUAUUAUGAUCGUUUGUAACCCGGGAUCACCCCCUGUGACGAGUAAGCCAACCUCCAUAUCAUCACGGUAGUGUAUUGUAACCCACUGGGGAUUCCACCUCUGCUUCUUUAACUUCGACGUCGACCGUAAUCACCAAUUAGUUAAGUCUGAAUUUCCUCAGGGUCGCACACGCAUGACAUCACCUCCGCGGACUUCGUGGUCAAGAUCGAUCGCUGUCGUGCUGUCAUUGAUUAGUGAUUUGUGAAUUCUAAAUUUAAAAUACAUUAUAUAUACAGUGAAAUAAAUUUUAAUUUAUUUUUAUCUUUAUAUACAACAUGUUUGGCAUUUAGAUGUAGAAUUUUGAAUAAUUUAAUCACCCCUAUUAUUGAGAAUAAAGUUUUGUUUAUAUUCUAUUUUCUAUCAUGAUACACAUGUGAGAAAUAUUUUUCUCAACCCCGCCAGGUACACUCACGGUGCGCCGCCAUAGCCCUAACCGCCUACAAUAGAAAAACGUCAUCAGGAAAACGCUGCUUGUGCAUGGCUGCUUUUUCCACUGCUGCAAGGACGCUCUCGUAGGAUUUGAUAUUAGGGUUUCUGUCAUAGGAUCUGAUAAAAUAAAUUCACGAGUGUGAAAAGCUUAGAUGAAAUAGAUGGAGAUAAAAUAAACUCACGAGAGCCUUAUGAAAUAUCUUAUGAAACAGAUGUUCUAGCCAUUCGAUGCUCUUUUCACAACGUUCUCAAGAUAUGGAACCUGAACGAACACUCCAGCGUCGUUGGCGCCUUCAACUGCCAAGGCGCCGGUUGGUGCCGGGUAGCCAAGAAGAACCUCAUCCACGACCACCAGCCCAGAACGGUGAGCGGCGUCAUCCGGGCGUAAGACGUGGAGCACCUUGCAAAGGUGGCUGGUCACGGCUGGAACGACGAUGUGGUCGUGUAUUCGCACGUGGGAGGUAAACCAUCAUCUUUUUUUAUGAACAGUCAGAUCAUUGUUAAGCUAGGGGACAUCAGUCUCGUUCUCGUGACCCUUUUUCUGUUUCAUCUUUUUAACAACGGACAAUGAACCGUACCUGUCAGCAGAUUGGUGACAAGCAACCCCCUUGUUGUGUUGUGUGCGUGUGUGUUUUCAGGGGAGGUGGUGUACCUGCCGAAGAACGCCUUGCUGCCUGUGACGUUGAGAUCGCGCGAGUACGAGGUGUUCACCGUCGUCCCUCUCAAGCACCUGCCAAACGGUGUCGCCUUUGUGGUGAUCGACCUUCUCAGCAUGUUCAACUUUGGUGGCGCGGUGAGAGAGCUGAGAUUCGGUGGUGAGGAUGCCGACGUCGAGCUCAGAGUGUGGGGCUCGGGCACGGUCGGAGCUUAUUCCUCGACCAAGCCAACGUGUGUCGUCGUCGAUUCCAAGGCGGUUGGUUUCUCCUACGAUGGCACCUAUGGCCUCAUCACCUUCGAGCUCAACAUCCCCGACCAAGAAAUGUACUUGUGGACGGUUACAGUAGGGUACUGAAGUUAGAACUGAGAAUUGUGAUAGAUUUUCUAAUGCGUCAGAGAACGCCGGUGGUGUAGGUAUUCUGGUUUAUUCAGUGAUGUGCUUUCUACUGUUAGUUAUAUAUAUUCUAUACACAUGGGGAAUUUACGACAAAUCUAGAUAGGGGCCCAGGACGAAAUUUUAAAUAGAAGACCUUGUUAAUAUUAUAUAUUGAUUUUACCAAUAAAAACCGAAUGUGAUCAAUUAAAAAUCACAACCUUGAUAAGUUCUUUAUGCUCCUGCGAGUGUGUUGCAAGACGUCUUCCGUCACCGUCUUAGCUGACGUGGUGUUUUUAGUUUGAGAAGUCAUUUUAUUCUAGACUAGCAAAGUGUUUAUACAUUGUUAUGAUUUUUGUUUAUACUUAAGUAUUGAAUAUAAAACACAAAGACAAGUGUGUUGUAUUGGCUAAGUGGAUGUGAAUAUGCUUUUAGAGCCAACAACUAUUGUUCAAUUCUCAUUUAUGCAUAAUUUUAGUAUUUUUUACUAUUUAAAUGCGGGGAAGUACAAAGUGGAAACCAUGAAAUCGGGAAAAGUAGUUCUUUAAUCACUUCAUUCUAGAUAAGUUUAUUUAUCAUGUGUUUGUCAUAUAAAUUUAAUAGAAUGACUAUAUUUCUUAUGCUAGUAAUUAUUACUAUUAGCUUGUAAAGAAUGAGGUAACAACAGAUCAAUAUAAUAAGUAAAAGGUUAAUGUAGACAUAUAGUACUGGUUCUUCUAGCCAUACACAUAAAUAUAGCAAUUUUACAUUAUUAAAUGUUAUUUAUGUGUAUAAGAUGGAUCCCUUCUGAGGACCGAACUGGUCCAGAUGUAUAUCAUGUGUGUUAUGGUCAGUUUUUAUGCAUACGAUGACUUAGUAUAUAGAAACUCGUGUUAUGAACUUUAUUAUAUUAAUAAAAUAUCUUCAUAAAAAUAAAUAAAUGAAAGAAACUAAAACGAUGACAAUCUUGAUAACGAGUCACAGGCAGGUUGAUCGGAGCGAUGACAACUCAAAACUCUUCAUAGUGGUCUUCAUCUUGUGUCCUUGUUCUGGGCAGUGAUGUGGUUCAUGUAUUCUGUGCAUAGAUACGUGAUUCAUAAAUGAAAGCAUAGAUACAUGAUCCAUCAUUCCGCUUCUGUGAUGUUGUUCAUGCAUUCUAUGCAUUAUAUCCCCACAAUAUACUACUCUUUAAAUAUCACUCACUAUUUCAUUACAACAUUCACUCCCACCGAACUACUCUUAUAUGCAUGAUAUUGUAUGCACGAUAGUUCAUGUUUUCCUCUUCCACUGGAAUACUCUAUAUGUACCGAAAUACUCUCAUAUGCAAUGACAAUACAUAUUGCAACCACCAGUUUUAUAGUUUGAUAAGAUGUUGGAGGCAAACAAAUCAUGUUGUCGUAAAAAAUAUGAUGAUAGUCAAUUGUUCGUAUGUAAGAAACGACAAGAUGUUGUUUCUACUAUGAUCGUUUGUAGGUCGGGGUCACCCCCUGUGAUGAGUAAGGUAACCUCCACAUCAUCAUGGGUGUCUACUGUCACCCAUUCGGUGAUUCCACCUCUAACUUUUCUAUCUUCGACGUCGGUCGUGAUCACCAAUUAGUUAAGUCUGAAUUUCCUCGGGGUCACGACUUCGACUUCCCCUCCGCGGACUGUGUGGGCAAGAUCGGUCGUUGUCGUGCUGGCAUUGAUUAGUGAUUUGUGAAUUCUAAAUCUAAAAUAUGUUAUAUAUACAAUGAAAUAAAGUUUAAUUUAUUUUAAACUUUAUAUACAACGUGUUUGGCAUUUAGAUGUAGACUUUUGAAUAAUUUAAUCAUCCUAUCAUUGAAAAUAAAGUUUUGUUUAUGUUCUAUUUUCUAUCAUAAUACCCAUGUGAGAAGUAUUUUUUCCCAACCCCGCCAGGUGCACUCACGGUGCGCCGCCGUGGCCCUGGCCGCCUACGGCAGAAAGCCGCCACUAGGAAAACGCUGCAUGUGCAUGGCUGUUUUUUCCACCGCUGCAAGGAUACUCUCAUAGGAUCUAAUAUUAGGGUUUCUGUCGUAGGAUCUGAUAAAAUAAAUUCACGAGCAUGAAAAGCCAAUAGAAUUAGAUGAAGUAGAUGGAGAUAAAAUAAACUCACGAGAGCCUUAUGAAAUAUCUUAUGAAACUGAUGGAAAAUAUAUCUUAUGAAAAAUCUCAUUGAAUGACCAAAUAUCAUAAGGGCUCGUUUGCUUCUUUUGAUUUUGAAGAAUUGGAAUCUAAUUAAUGGAGUAGUAUACUUUUUAGAAUAUGACAUUGCAUAACUUUCCAAAGUUUAUAUAUAAGCCUAUCUCAAAUUCAUAGGGUGAGAGAUAUAAAUUGACUCUAUAGAUUUACAUGCUAAUUUUCUAAUGUACACCUUAUAGCACAAUCUUAUACUUGAUUCUUUAUAGCAUAAAUGUAGUGUAUAACUAUCUCUGUCAUAUGAUUUAGGAUAAUAUAUAAAUAAAUUAUAUAUAUAAAUAUAUUAACUUAAUUAGUUUGUCUCUAAAUUAUGAUUGCAAGAAUGGAAUUCAAUUCUAACCAAACAAACGGGCCCUAAUUGUAAUUGUGCUUGCUUGUGGUGGAUGUAUGUAACCCUAAUAUCAGAUCCUACAGGGCGGAUGGAUGUAUCUAAUUAAUUAUAAUAAAUUAGAUUAAUUAGUAUGUCACAUAUGAUUUAAGAUGAAAUAAAAUUACAUUUAUUAUGAAAACACGUGAAAAGCCACUAUUGGGUGCAAUUCUAUUGGUUUAUCUCCAUUUCUUUACUACUCUAUAUGAUAGGAACAUGGGCGUCCACAUCUCCCCUGGUGAAGCAUGUCGUCGCCUCGGCUCCCCUCGUGCACGCAACACCGUGAUCUCCUCCCCAUCCCCGAUCCGAAAUCUUCUCGCUCACUCUCUCCAUAGAAGGAGCCCACCCGAUGGCACAUCUGCGUGAUUUACUCCCCCCGCUACCGCCCCCGACUCCAUCGUCCCACAAAAUCCAGCCAUUGCACCCUUCUCGCGACGCCCGUGAUUCUACAGCUGUCAUGCCUCCAUCCUCGCCCCGCAUGCCGCACCUCCAUCCUCGCCCGAUCGUGGGCGUCGCCCAGACGAUUUUCUGCCCCCUUGCGUUCUCCUCCCCCGCAACGCUGCCCGCUGUGCCCCUGUCCACGGCGCCCCGACCCUCACCUCGCCCUCUUCCUCCCCACACCGUCGCUAACCCUGCUCUCUUCUUCCCUGAGUACGGUGCCCCGCGUUCCCCCGCUCCUGCCACGCCCAUCACCCUACCUGCCCCAUGAAUCCUAUUUUUGCACCACCAGUAAGUCCCCGUCAUUUUCUUCAUCACUGGAGCGUGUCCUUGUCGCUGCCCUGCGCUACUCGUCCUGGCGAUGCAUUACAGCAUGGAAGACGGCAAGGAAGUUGCGGUACUUGAAGGGGUGCUCGAGCACACAGAUUUGCUUUCCCAUGGUGGCCUCCUUGGUGGCCGUGGGGUCCUCAACCGACGACGAGGGCGGGUGGAAGUGGGGCUCCUGCGGUUGGAAGGCAGAGGGGAUGAGCGGGUCGACGUGAUGCCCCCCGUCGUCGUGCGAUGUCAUGCAUAGCUGAUCCGCCACUACGCGCCCCUGCUCUGCUGAGACAACCGAUGUCUCCCCCCACAGAUCAUCGUGGCUGUGCCUACCAACCCACACCACUCCUCCCCUCCCCAUCCCUUUCACCACCAAGGUUCCUCCAUCCUCCAUGAUGGCUGACCAAUUCCACCAUUGCUACUCCGGAUUCCAUACUUCAAAUUGAUUCCGUCCUCACGUUGUAGCACCGAUCCCCCGCAAGUCGCGUCGAGUCCACCACCACUGGUGUCGGUUCCUUCCUCGCAAUUCCACCAGCAAAAGCAGACUAUACUACCAACUAGAGAAGAUGCUUAGAUCCACUACACACUGAACCCUACACUGGGGGAAGCUCUCACGUCGCGCCUGCCCAUGGACCGCCUCGCUGACGACCUUGCCGCGACAUCCCUUUUCGAUCUAGCGGACCAGAGCGCCGCCACCGUCAGUUUGCCUAACGCCGAUUCCUCCUUAGCAUCAUGCGCACCAUAGAGGGUGCCAACGCCAUCAUCCACAACUAGGUAACACGCUCCAUCCCCCGUUUCCCAUUGCUUCGCCUCUAACCCAGUCCGGUUUCGGUUCGUUUAUUGUCUCACCAGCCAAAUGGUCAUGAUUUUUUGUUUGUAAUCUAAUAUAAUAAAAACAUAAAUACUAGCUUAGUUUGAUUUUUCGAGUGGUUUGAUUCCAUUUCAGUUGGAAGAGAAGAUGGUAAGUCUGUUUCUGUUCCAUACAAAAUUUAAAUCCUUCGGUUCUGUUGGGGACUUGUUCUCAAAUGCUAUGAGUUAAGAAUAAGGCAACACAGAAAAUGUUAAUUUAUAAUGUCCUUCGUCCUUCGGAACAUUAUUUCCCUUAGGAUAUAAUGACUUUUGAACGAAGGUUAUGAAGGACAUACCUUCAUAAACAUAGCAAACGAUGAUGAAGAAUGGAUUACAAAGAAUAUAAAUGAUAACAUAGACAAUUAUAUAUUAUUAUUGUGAGGAAACAGAAAUAACAUUGAAUUACAAAUGUACCUUCAGCUUGGAAGUAUAUAAAAGUACAGGUGUGACGCAAAAGCAAAUGCCAGAUCAGCGUGAACAGUACGGGGGUACUGUUCACCUAUUUAUAGGCACAGGACACAGCCCAUACAAAAUUACAUUUAUGCCCUUUACAUUUGAUAAUAAUUCUAUAGUAAUCUAUCGAGGUCUGAAUAGCCUUUUCAUCUUUAAGUCGGUUUUACUUUUUGCUACCACGCCGAAGCUUUCCUGCUCACACCUUCGGCGCUGUAUCAACCUUCGUAUUAUUCUGGUCUGCUGUGAUACCGACUUGAGUCCGAAGAUACCUGUUCACACAUUAUACUCCAGAAAUACUGUCAAAUCCUGUUUUUGAGGACCUUCGUAAGCCGAAGGCCCCCAACAGUAGCCCCUCGCAAUAUCAAUUUGUUUAAAAUAAUAAAUUUAGAUUGCGACAUGGACGAAGGCUUUACGCCGAAGGUCCGAAAAAACACCUUCCCUUUGCUAGAAUAGCAACAUUCUCUGACAAGUGGGGUCUUUCAAUUUUCAACGCACUGGGCGUAUAAAUACAGUCAUACCGCAAACUCAUUUGGCACGCUCUCUUGCCAUCUGCUCCCGCUCACUCAAUUUUUAGCUCUUGCGCACUAAAAUUUGCUGAGCGUUUAGUUUUAAAGCUUCGGCUUUGAAAACAGUUUUUUAGCGUUUCCGAAGAUGUCUGAAGAGAAGAAAGCUGCUGCUGAGAUGAAGCUGAGUCUCGACGAAGAGAAGAACUUGGGGUUUCUUAUAGCGAUGUCGAAGACCAAUACAGAAAAAAUCACCAAGGAGAUUCUGGAAGGUUUGUCUGAAGAUACUGGUGACAGCGACAGUUAUGAUGUGGACAGUGGUGGUGAAGACUCCGAAGAUCGCCCUUGGCGACCAAGCCAUGCGGUUUUCGGCAAAUCAACUAUCAAAGAAAAUCAUCUUGUCAACAUGAGAGGAAGGUAUUUCCGGGAUUUGUCCAUUGUGAGGGCCGACGAAGGGGAAAAAACUUGUCCACAUCCUGAAGAGAAUGAAGUCGUAGUGUACCGAAGCUUUUUGAAAGCUGGACUACGAUUUCCCCUGAGCGAGUUUGUUGUAGAGGUGCUGAAAAUAUUCGAAGUCUAUCUUCACCAACUUACCCCCGAGGCAAUCAUAAGGCUGAAUAUCUUCGUGUGGGCCGUGAGAAGCCAAGGUCUGAAGCCUGAUGCAAAAAGUUUCUACACUAUACACGAAUUAUCAUACGAAACAAAACCUUGGGGCAAAGAACAGUACCAUAAUAAUUUUGGCUGCUACAGUUUCGUUUCUCGAUCCGGGUCAAGUUGUCCCGUGCCAACCUUUCGGAAGAGAUGGCCCGGCGACUGGAUGACAGAAUGGUUUUAUGUGAAGAAUGACCUGACGGUACGAGAAGAUAUCAAAGGUAUAAUUAUGCGCCCUAUUUGGCAAAGCUUCGGCCUUCGGAGGCCGAAGGUUGAAAUGAAUGAAGCUGCCGAAGAAUGCCAGAGAGCCUUCGGCGUUAUCUGUUCUUUUAUUGGAACGAGAGAUUUAGUACAAGAGCAUAUUGCCUUCAGGGUAUGGCCGCUCGCGGAGAAAUGGGAAAUGCCGCAAGAAACCAUAAAAGAAACCGACGAAGGUGGACUUAUGAGGCUGAAAUAUACUUUUAAGUUCGGAGAUAAAUUCGUUGAGCCAGAUGACGACUGGUUAAAAAGUAUUGAAAAUUUAAGUGAUGAACUGCUUGGGGCUUAUUCGAAGGCCGAAGAUACUGCACUGUCAGCAGCCUUCGGAGGCCGAAAAAAGAAGAGGCUGAAUCGGGUGUUUGAUGCGAUCGGGUUCGUCUACCCUGACUAUCGUUAUCCCAUUCGAGGGCAGAAAAGAAAAAACACAACCUCUGCGAAAGAAGAAGCUGCAACUGCUCCUAGCGAGCCCGAGCCGAAAAGAAAGAGGAUAAAGGUCCUUACACAUCGGCCGCGCUAUAUUGAACCAGCUUCGGUGCCUGAGUUCACCGGAGAAACUUCUUCGGCCACCGAAGCUGAAAAGCCAACCAAACUGACCUUGUUGCCAGAAGCCGCAGAAAUGGCCGAAACGCCAACAAGGAUAGAAUUGGAAGAACCGAAGAUUUUGUUACCAGAAACAAAAGAGAUGACCGAAGCGCCAUCCACAGAAAAAAUGGAAGAAGUGAAAAAACCAACUGAGGAAAAAACAUCAGAAGUUUUGAGUCCUGCAGCAAAUGUUGAGACAGUAAAAAGUCAAAAGGUGCCAGCAGUGACUCCGAAGAGAAAGAGAAUGGCUAAUGUGCUAGAUGUUCUGGAAACAAUUAAAUCUUCAAGCACACCUCUGAAGAAAACUGUUGUCAUUCCCGAAGCGAAAACUGAAAUUUCUGAUAUUAAAGUUCCAGAGCAAGAAACUGAAGCCGAAGCUGGGUCCUCAGAGCCUACGAAGAUUAAAUCCUUGGAAACCGAGGAAGAAAAAAUAACAAAGCCAACUUUUGUUGAAGAAAUCAGUAUCAUUGCCCCCGAAGCAUCCCCUAAAGACUCUGAUUAUAUUGUUCGUCAUGCUUCGGGGAAAAAAUUAUCAGAAAAAGAAAAGCAAGAGGCCCAACGCUACGCCCAAAAACUGAAGUAUCCAAAGGGGGCGCUAAUAUUCAAUGGCAGUGGAGAAGAAGACUUUUUGUAUUGUCUCCCUGACAGCAAGGAGAUUUCUGUCUGUCGGGAGAUGAGCAAGAGCUUCGGAUUCCCAACAUUAGAAGACGGGCUCUCGGUGCUGUCGAAGAAUGAUCUGGCCGACAGCCUGGCAUAUAAUAGCUUAAAGGUGCAACAAAUGGGAUCUUUGUAUUUUUUGCUGAAACCAAAAUUUUUCAUUUGCAGGGCCUGAUACUUAGCAAUGCCCUCAGGGCCCAAAAAGAUGCUGAAGACGAAGGGUGUGCCAUAGCCCUGAGCAACCUUCGUUCCGAAGUAAUUGAACUGAGGAACGAAGGUCUCGAAAAAGAUAAGAUAUUACAUUCAUUAAUAAAUAGAAUAAAGGAAGACGAAGCUACUUUUAAAGGUCAAGCUGAAGCUCAGAAGCGCGAAAUUGAAGAUCUUCAAAAACAACUGGCUAGAGCCAAAGAGGAACGCAUGCUUGAAGAAACGAAGCGAGAACUCAGCGACCAAUGGGCAAAUCAUUUAGAGGGAACUGUUGAAGAGCUUCGUUCAUCCAAGAAAAGAUGUUAUAACAAAUCUAUAGAAUGUGUCAAGAAGUUGAAAGCUAGCUUCGCCAGUGUCGGCGCUUUUUCGAGCGAAGAAAACUUUACAAGAGGCAACCCCGAAGGUCCCCUUGAAUGGAUUAAUCAGGAAGCUGAAGCCUUCGAAGAAAUUUUAAAUAGCCGCGGAGACAUAUGUGCUUUCUCGGGGGCCAGAGGGAUUGCCACUAUUUUGGAGAAGAAGGGCUGCAAUCAUGUAAAGAUUUUAGCACAAUCCGAAGCUAGCUUGUCCUUCGAAGAUGCAAGAGAUCCAUCGGCUGAAGCUAGCAUGGUUGGUGGAAAAUUUUUCACCGACGUCUGGGAUAAUGGUGGCCGGGAAAUGGCUCGAGAAAUUAUUCGAAAAAGCGAAAAGGGCAUUCACGAUGCUAGAGAAGUAGCUGAGGCUGCUGAGAAGAGCGCAGAGCCCGAAGGGCAACUAGGUAUUAACUAAUGGUUUUUAUUGUGUUGUAAUUUUUGGGUUUUAAACUUCAUUUUCAGUUUGCAAUAGCAAUGUAGUCGUAUCCUGUCCUCCUUCAGAUCCUGCUAAAGCGUCUCCGGGCUCUCAGCCGAAAGGAGACAACGAAAUUAAAAAGAUGGCUGAAGCUAUUAUGGACGAAGUUGUCAAUCGGCUCCUGAAUGAGGCUGCAGAAGUUGUUCUAAGAGAAGAUUAAAUACUAUUGUAAAAAAAAACUUCUGAAAUGUAAAAUGUGUGACAUCUUGUAGUCCUGAAUGUAAUAUACCUGCUUUUAUUGUUUAAUUCUUUACGAUGCAUGAAAUUUUACAUACGUACCGUUUUUGCGUCUUUGACGAAAAAACACCUUCCCUUCUUUUCAUGCUUCGUGAAGAAUGAUUUUCAUUUGUCACAACAAUAUUCGUAGUUUUCUGAUGAACAAUAUCCAAGCUUCGUGAAGAUGUUCUCCGAAGCUAUACUUCCGAAGAUCAAUAGUGUAUCUGCUUGCAAAUUAGCAUGAUUUUCCCCUUUCAAAACAUUUUUCCGAAGAUCGAUGUCAUGUCCCCUUCUUGUGCCAUAUGCAGCAUGAUGUAUGAUGCUUAUGCUAUGCGAAAUGAUGCGAUGAUGUUAUGUUGUGUAAGAUGGUGUUUAUUUCGAAGAUACACACACAUUCCUGCGAUAAAACACAUAGUCUCAGCGUUGUCUUAUAAGCCUCCAUUAGGAGCUUCUUCGCUUUUUACUUCAGCGGAAUCAGCAUUUAUUUUUCGCUGUAAGCCUCCCUUAGGAGCUUCUUCGCCUUUUACUUUCAGCGGUAUUCGCGUUGACUUUUCGCGCUUCGCCUUUUACUUAGGCGGUAUCAGCGUUGACUUUUCGCUGUAUGCUCUGCAUUCCCUUUGGAACGACUUUGGAGCAAAAAACUUACACUGCGCUCCCUUUGGAACGGCUUUUUGUGACUUCGGCAAACUUACUCUGCGUUCCUUAGAACGACUUUUUGUUGUUUCGAAGAAUUUUCGAUAAUUCGAAGGUCCUCUUUGUUAUCACAAAUCUUUAAACUUCAACAACUUAAGCCUGUGAAGAAAAUAUAUUUUCUUUGUGGGAAUCAACGAAACUAUUUACAUGAAACCUAAACAAUGUCCUUUAUUACAGAAAAUAAAACUAAAAUGAAAAAGACUGCUAUUAAGGUAGGAUAUUUGUCAAUAGAUGUGCUUUGACUCUGGCACAGUGCUGUUGACUGUGCGAGCUUCGGACUGUUCUCUGAAGUCCCUUUGGUGUGGAGCAUAUUGGCUCCCUUCUGGCUGCUGGCCUUGUUGCAACGGUGGUGGAGGCGGAGGCUGUUGCCAGGAAGCUUGAGGUUGGCUUGCUAAAGCAACAGAAGCUGCAGGGUGAUUGCCUACAUACUCUGGGAUGUAAGGCGAAUGAUACGAAGCAGUGUGCAUGACCUGCUUCGGCUGAGCCUGUUGUGCUGCAGCUUCGGCUAUUUCCUUUUGCUUCUGGAUGGUAACAUGGCACAUCCUGGUGGUAUGGCCUUUGUUCUCACCACAGAACAAGCAAAAAAUUCUUCUUGGCUGAUCGCCAAAUCUUCCGCCGAAGCCCCUGGCACCUCUGCCCCUCGGAGCUGGUGGUCGGAAGGAGCCUUGUUGUUGCCCCGAAGCCUGUGAGGAACACUGUGGCCUUUGCUGUUGGCUCCCUCUAUCAUCAUUUUGGGUAGAGUUAUGAAUUGAUAUAACGUGCCUCGGAUAGAACCUCCCUCCGAAGCCCCUGGUCAUUUCAGAAAACCUGAAAGCCUCCUCCCUUCUUUGGCGAAAAUCAUUUUCGGCCCGAAUGUACUCGUCCAUCUUCUGGAGCAGCUUCUCCAAAGUUUGAGGAGGCUUCCUAGCAAAGUACUGAGCUGACGGUCCUGGCCGAAGCCCCUUGAUCAUGGCCUCAAUGACAAUUUCGUUGGGCACUGUUGGUGCCUGUGCCCUCAAACGCAAGAACCUCCGGACGUACGCCUGAAGGUACUCUUCGUGAUCCUAGGUGCACUGGAAUAGGGCUUGAGCCGUGACCGGCUUCGUCUGGAACCCUUGGAAGCUGGUUAACAACAAGUCCUUCAGCUUUUGCCACGAAGUGAUCGUUCCUGGUCGAAGGGAAGAGUACCAGGUUUGAGCAACACUCCUGACAGCCAUAACAAAAGAUUUUGCCAUGACCGCAGCAUUGCCACCAUAUGAAGAUACUGUUGCUUCGUAGCUCAUCAAAAACUGCUUCGGGUCUGAGUGACCAUCAAAUACGGGAAGCUGAGGCGGCUUGUAGGUCGGAGGCCAAGGUGUAGCCUGCAGCUCAGCGGACAGAGGAGAAACAUCAUCAAAAACAAAAUUCCCAUGAUGGAAAUUGUCAUUGAGGAAACCCUCCUGAUGAAGGUCUUGGUGCUGAGGCCUUCGGUGUUGCUCCUCCUGGGUAAGAUGACGAACUUCCUCAGAGGCUUCGUCUAUCUGCCUUUGCAGUUCAGCUAGCCUGGCCAUCUUUUCCUUCUUCCUUUGCACCUGUUGAUGAAGGAUCUCCAUGUCUCUGAUUUCUUGGUCUAUCUCAUCCUCUGGCGGUGUCGGACUAACAGCCUUCCUUUUCUGGCUUCGGGCCUCCCGAAGAGAGACAGUCUCCUGAUUGUGGUCCAGCGGUUGGAGAGCUGCAGUGCCAGCUGCUGAAGCUUUCUUCGGAGCCAUAGCGAAGGUUUACGAUCGCCGAAGGUGUUCAAAAACUCAAAGAGUGGUAGUGAGUUCACCGGAGGUGGGCGCCAAUGUUGGGGACUUGUUCUCAAAUGCUAUGAGUUAAGAACAAGGCAACACAGAAAAUGUUAAUUUAUAAUGUCCUUCGUCCUUCGGAACAUUAUUUCCCUUAGGAUAUAAUGACUUUUGAACGAAGGUUAUGAAGGACAUACCUUCAUAAACAUAGCAAACGAUGAUGAAGAAUGGAUUACAAAGAAUAUAAAUGAUAACAUAGACAAUUAUAUAUUAUUAUUGUGAGGAAACAGAAAUAACAUUGAAUUACAAAUGUACCUUCAGCUUGGAAGUAUAUAAAAGUACAGGUGUGACGCAAAAGCAAAUGCCAGAUCAGCGUGAACAGUACGGGGGUACUGUUCACCUAUUUAUAGGCACAGGACACAGCCCAUACAAAAUUACAAUUAUGCCCUUUACAUUUGAUAAUAAUUCUAUAGUAAUCUAUCGAGGUCUGAAUAGCCUUUUCAUCUUUAAGUCGGUUUUACUUUUUGCUACCACGCCGAAGCUUUCCUGCUCACACCUUCGGCGCUGUAUCAACCUUCGUAUUAUUCUGGUCUGCUGUGAUACCGACUUGAGUCCGAAGAUACCUGUUCACACAUUAUACUCCAGAAAUACUGUCAAAUCCUGUUUUUGAGGACCUUCGUAAGCCGAAGGCCCCCAACAGGUUCCAUACAGAAUUUAAAUCCUUUUAGUAUUACCAGAGGCAUAAUGUUCUUCAUACCAUGAUCUUGUUCUACCAUUUCCAUCAUGCUGAUGUUCAAGCAUGUCAUGUACCUUCCCUGCUACCUACUUUUUUUGCUCCACAGGAAAUUGUUAUCGGCAAAGCUUAGGAUGAGAUCUGGUAAGUUCUAGGCUAGGUGAAUCUUGAGUUCUUGACUGGUCUUUACCAUGUUUUCGUUUACUGAAUUGGUCUUCUCGGUUGGUAUGACUGCGAGCUUCUUCUAAGUGUAACAAUGUAACUUGGGAGCACAAGGGCAAUCUGCCAGUCUUUCCCCACCAGCCAUGUUUUUUAUUUUGUUGGGGCCACAAAACCACGACACUAUUCCACACAAUGGAUGUAAAGGAGCAACUGAGAAACACAACUAAUCAUUUUAUUACCACAAUAUUUUUUUAGGACAUCACACUUUAAUUUAAUAGAGCUAUCGGUAAGUCUACAUUUCUAUUUCAAACAUACCAAUAUAUAUGUUUUAUUUGAAAUAAUGUCUUUGUACUUGUGGGGGAUAGAUAUCCCCCGGGUCCACUAAAAGAGUAAAGGACCUCACGAAAGGCCCAAGGGCCCAAUAAAUCGUGAGGUCAUUCUUUCGUGGGCCUGGGGAGAAACAACCAGCAAAGCAGAACAACAUGAGGCCGGGUUGGUGCAAACCCGGACGGCCCACAGCGUCGAACGAAUGACCGCAACAGAAAUCCGACUUUCCCGCGCUGAAGCCUCCAUGCAACAAAAGCCAUGCGAGGAUAAGUCGGCGAGGGUUACGUAGGGAUAAUCUCAAGAGGUUCACUAUCUUUUAGCUACUUGUUGCUAUCUUACCCACGUGUACCGCCCCACGGUCGAGUAUAUAAGGCCUAGGGGGCACCCCUUCAGAUCGAUCGUCCCUUUACUUAGCCACCCACGUCAACUCUCUGCAUUCUCAAUCCAGAGAGCUCUCUUGUACCCACAUUCACCAAGCAUACUCACCAGGACGUAGGGUGUUACGCAUCUCUAAGCGGCCCGAACCUGUAAACCUUGUCCACUGUCCCUCGUGCGAUCGGCACGAACCAUUUUGCUACAGUUGUCGACACCGUCCUACUCCUAAAAACACCUUGAGGGGCAACCCCGGGUGUGCGGUCGGACCCAAAACACCGAUAGCUGGCGCGCCAGGUAGGGGGUGUGUCGACGAUCCAAGCUAGCUCAAUGGCCGUCACCUUCCACAGCAAGAUCACCGUGCGUCCCGGAUCUGUAUUUUGCUUCGGGACAAUCUCAUCUGUAGCGGAUGAAGAGGGAAUUCUACACCGCAUCGCAGAUCUGCCAGAAAAGAAGUCUCCUCCAACGAACUCCGAAAAUGCUGGAAAGACGCUACCUCCGGCUCUUCGGAGAAAGAUCGUCUCCGGAAAGGCUGGAGCUGGAAGCUCGCUGACCUGGAAGACUCCGCUGUCUACUUCCCCGAUGAAAGAGGGGACACGGAUCGCGAGGAAGAAGGAGACCAGGGAAAGGCAAAUCAUUCUUUCCGUUCCUCCGGCCUCAAGGGAGAACGGAAAGAAAGUCGCCGCGACAGCAACACCAUUCUACCCCGACGUCCUCUUCAUCGGGAGGGUGGAGUCACCCGCCAUCUCCGACGACGAACCAACAGCGCCCGGAGAAGAACCACCUCAACGAGAAUCCCGCCGACGAAGGAACCGACGCAGGAACGUUCGACGACAUCACGCGGCCGGAGAACGGGAUCCGGAGCAGCCUGUCUCGCGAGACGAGGUCUCGGAGAUAGGAGAAACUCCGGAGGAACGCGUCUUCAGAGAACGAAGGAACUCCCGACGACGUGAUCGCCGACGGACUCAGGAGCAAGCCGAGCAAGAUGCAAGGCAACGCCGGGAGAAUCCGCUCUUCGGGCGCAACCUGAACCCCGACUUCGCCCGAGCUAUGAACACACCAAGUGAAGUCGGAGGCGUACUAGCUCGGAUAGCAGAUGGACUUCCCCGGACUCCCGACGCUGAAGGCUACCGACGUUUGUUCACCCAAGCAGCCAACCAUCUUCUACCGCUUGCUCAUCCGCCGAACGAUCUGCGACACGCCAUCAACAGCCGCCGGGACGCGCGAAGCUCCAUCAAUGCUUCGCGCGAACGGCGGCAUGAGAAUGAGAUUCGCCGUCGGGAGGAGUAUGGCAGGGAUCAUGGCAUCCCGACUCAGAGUCAGGCCACCAGGACCGAGUCGGCAACAGCUUCAACUGGCGGUACCACCCGGGGACGGUCGAGGAACCACCAUCGCCACUCCCCUCCCCGGGAUAAACAUCGUCCCCGACGACAGGAGGACACGUGCGGAGUAUCCGCUCUUACUCCGUGCCUUAGGGCCAUCCAAUGGCCUCCCAACUUCAAGGUAUCCAAUGUCGACAAAUAUGAACCGAAGCAGGAUCCAGGAGGUUGGCUAGCCGUCUACACCACCGCUGCUCGGGCCGCCGGGGCAUCUGAAGACGUCAUGACCGCGUAUCUGCCCAUUGUCCUUGGGCAAGAUGCGCUGCAGUGGCUACGACAUCUACCCCGACAUUGCAUCGACGACUGGGGAGACUUCAGUCGACGUUUCACCGCCAACUUCCAGUCCCUCUCCGACAAGCCAGCGCAACCAUGAGACCUCAAAUCCAUCAAGCGCCGAGGGGACGAGACUCUCCGGUCAUACCUCAAAAGGUUCCAGACCAUGAGAAACCGCAUCCCCGAGGUCACGGAGGCGGCCGUGAUCGAGGACUUCUACAGAGGAUCCAAUGACUCAGUUUUCGUCCAAGCCAUACUACAAAAGGCGCCGACUACCUCCGAGGAGCUGUUCCGGGAAGCCGACCUCUACAUCACCGCUGACGAGCGGGCCCAGGAUCUCAUUGGAGGAGCAAAGCCCGCACCGGCAGCACCACGACGUGACGCGAACCAACCGCCCGACAAACGCUGGGAGAAGAGGCCUCGUGAAGAAGUACACGCCGCCGGACCACCCGCCUCUCGCGCCCGAGGAGGACCUCGUGGAGGCGAGCGCACGCUGGACGACAUCCUCGACGCCCAGUGCCCGUACCACAAGGACAUGCGCCACACUCUUCGUAACUGCCGGGACUUCAAGCACUCCGUCGGGCACGACCGACCCUUCCAACCUCUACCGCCUCCUCCGCCGAGGGGAGGACAAGAUGAACCACAACAGCCCCAUCAGCAGGAGGAGGGGGGAGGAGGAUCCUUCCCACGCGUUGACAGGGAGGUCAACGUCAUCUUCGGCGGACAUGGGUCGCAGGAGAACAAAAGACAACAAAAGGUCAACGACCGCCAGAUACUGGUGGCGACCACCGGUCCUCCCGCCCCAUACCGGUGGUCGGAGCACCCAAUCACUUUCACUCGGGAGGAUCAAUGGCUCAACUUCGACCAUCCAGGCAAAUACCCGCUCCUCGUCGAUCCGGUGAUCCGAGAGAGCCGGGUAAAGAAGGUGCUAGUGGACGGGGGGAGCAGCAUCAACGUCACUUUCCCCCGGACACUCCAAGGCUUGGGAGUUCACCUCAAAGAGCUCCACGAGUCGGACACUCCUUUCUUCGGCAUCGUGCCGAUGGAAGGGGAAUACCCGCUGGGCCACAUCUACAUGCCAGUCACCUUCGGAACUCCGGAGAACUACAGAACCGAGUUCCUGAGGUUCGAGGUGGCGAACUUCGACUGCGGGUACAACGCCAUCAUUGGGAGGCCGGGGUUGGCUAAGUUCAUGGCCAUUCCACACUAUACAUACAUGAUACUGAAGAUGCCAGGACCGCAGGGAAUCAUAACUGUGCGCGCCGACUUCCAAGGCGCCGCAGAAUGUUUCCGAGUGGCCAUCCAAGCAGCCCUCACCACCAAGCCGUCAACGGUUCCUUCUACACCGGCGAACUCUAAGCCUGAGGAAGACCUCGUUGUACCGGCAAACGAAGCUCAGGCCGCGACCUCUAUGCGGCCGACUGAGGAAACCAAGCGGAUCAACCUGGGGUUCGCUGAUGAGCGCAAGACGGCCAUCAUCAGCUCCAGUUUGAAUGACAAAUAGGAAAGCGCGCUCGUCCAGUUCCUGCAAGAUAACCGAGACGUAUUCGCAUGGCAACCUGCGGAUAUGCCGGGAGUCCCAAGAGAACUGGCCGAGCACAAAUUGAAGGUCUAUCCCCAGGCGAGGCCGAUCCGGCAAAAGCUACGUCGUUUCACGCCCGACAAGAGAGAGGCCAUUCGUGCCGAGUUAGCUCGCUUGGUCGCGGCGGGAUUUAUUAGAGAAGUAUUACACCCCGAGUGGCUAGCCAACCCUGUUCUUGUACUCAAAAAGAAUAAAGUGGAUUGGCGCAUGUGCGUCGAUUAUACUGAUCUCAACAAACACUGUCCGAAGGAUCCCUUCGGGCUCCCGAGGAUAGAUCAGGUGGUGGAUUCCACCGCUGGGUGUUCUGUGCUGUCUUUCUUAGAUUGCUAUUCCGGGUAUCAUCAGAUUAGUCUGGCAAAGGAAGACGAGGAGAAAACGGCGUUCAUCACUCCGUUUGGUGCCUUCUGUUAUACCUCCAUGCCGUUCGGCCUCAAAAACGUUGGAGCGACUUAUCAGAGAGCCAUUCAAACAUGCUUAGCCGAUCACUAGGGCAAGCGUGUGGAGGCUUACGUAGAUGAUGUGGUAAUCAAAACAGAGAAUUCGGAAAACUUCAUCGAAGAUUUACAGCUAGUUUUCAAUAGCCUGAGAAGAUAUAGAUGGAAGCUCAAUCCUGAAAAAUGUGUUUUCGGGGUACCAGCAGGAAAGUUGCUCGGGUUCAUCGUCAGCAACCGGGGAAUUGAGGCUAAUCCGGAUAAGAUUGAAGCUAUCAUGAAGAUGGAAGCUCCCCGUUCACAAAAGAAAGUUCAGCGACUCACUAGAUGUAUGGCAGCUCUGAGCAGAUUUAUAUCCAGGCUGGGAGAAAAAGGUUUGCCAUUUUACAAGCUACUCAAGAAGGUGGAUAAGUUUCAAUGGACCUCAGAAGCACAAGAAGCUCUAGACGCGCUGAAGAAAUUCUUGACAACACCACCAGUAUUGAAACCACCCCGGCGAGCUACGCCGAUUCAACCGGCUGAAGAUUUGCUGCUGUAUAUCUCUUGCACGACUCAUGUGGUAAGCACCGCGUUGGUAGUCGAGCGAGUAGAAGAAGGACAUGCCUAUCCAGUACAACAUCCUGUUUACUUCAUCAGUGAAGUUCUAGGCCCCUCAAAGAAAAAGUAUCCUCAGGUUCAGAAGCUAUUAUAUGCAGUACUCCUAACUGCCCGCAAGCUGCGUCACUACUUUGACGACCACAAAGUCAUAGUAGUUACUGGUUUUCCAAUAGGGGACAUUCUUCACAACAAGGAAGCCAUUGGCCGAAUAGCCAAGUGGGCUUGCGAGUUGGGAUCCCAUGAUAUCGAGUUCCGACCUCGCACUGCCAUCAAAACUCAAGCACUGGUUGAUUUCGUAUCAGAGUGGACAGAACAGCAAGUACCAGACAAUCCAGAAACGGCAGAAGUAUGGCGAAUGUAUUUUGAUGGCUCGCUAAAGCUGCAGGGAGCAGGAGCGGGGAUUCUCUUCACUGCACCUAGAGGCGAACACCUCAAAUAUGCUCUCCAGUUGUUAUUCCCGGCCUCUAACAAUGCAGCCGAGUAUGAAGCUUUGAUACACGGAUUAAACAUCGCCAUGUCACUGGGCGUCAAGAGAUUGAUGGUAUAUGGAGAUUCUCUGGUAGUCAUCAGCCAGAUAAACAAAGAAUGGGAUUGUUCAAGUGAUUCAAUGGGAAAAUAUUGCGCUGCCGUCCGAAAGCUGGAAGAUAAAUUCGAGGGUCUAGAGUUUCAUCAUAUAGGAAGAGAUCGGAACAUGGCGGCCGAUGUACUGUCCAAGCUCGGAUCCGGUCGGACUCAGGUUCCGCCCGGGGUCUUCGUGCAAGAAAUUCUCCAGCCGAGUAUCUCAAUGGAUCAAACAGAAGAGUGCAACAUCAUAAAUCAACUCGAGUCAGAUUCUGAUGACUGGAGAAGACCGAUUAUUAAGUAUAUAAAGAACGAAGAAGAACCGGACGACAAGAACUCGGCAGAGCGCAUUGCCAGACAAUCAGCUCACUAUACACUCAUUGGGGAGGUAUUGUACAGGAGGGGCGCGUCAGGCGUCCUCAUGAAGUGCGUUCUCCCGUCCACCGGAAAGCAACUUCUGGAGGAAGUCCAUGCGGGGCAGUGCGGAGUACAUGCAGCAUCCAGAACACUAGUCGGGAAGGUCUUCAGGUCAGGAUUCUAUUGGCCGACGGCGAAGAACGAUGCAGCCGAGUUAGUUCAGAGAUGCGAAGCUUGCCAAUACCUGUCAAAGCAACAGCACAUGCCAGCACAGCAGCUACAGACCAUACCAGUAACUUGGCCUUUCGCAUGCUGGGGACUGGAUAUGAUUGGACCUUUCAAGAAAGCUCAAGGAGGAUAUACCCAUGUAUUGGUGGCGAUUGACAAAUUCACUAAAUGGAUAGAGUUCCAGCCCAUUGCUUCUUUAACCUCUUCUAAAGCCGUGGAAUUCAUACAAAGCAUAAUAUUCAGAUUUGGGAUACCAAACAGUAUCAUCACUGACUUGGGAUCCAACUUCACCAGUUCAGAAUUCUUUGACUUCUGCGAGCAAAAGAGCAUUCAGAUCAGGUACGCGUCUGUAGCGUAUCCAAGAGCCAACGGGCAGGUUGAGCGAGCCAACAGAAUGAUAUUGGAGGCACUCAGGAAAAGGGUCUUCGAUAAGAAUGAAAAAUUCGCAGGAAAAUGGAUAAGAGAACUGCCUUAUGUCGUUUGGAGCUUGAGAACCCAACCUAGCCGAGCCCUGCAUGGAAACACCCCUUUCUUCAUGGUCUAUGGGUCGGAGGCAGUGCUACCUGCUGAUCUCAAGUUUGGGGCGCCAAGAUUGAUCUUUGAAAGCAUAGCAGAAGCUGAGGCCACCAGGCUGGAGGAUAUUGAUAUACUUGAGGAAGAACGACUGAAUGCAGUGAUCCAAUCAGCACGGUACCAGCAAACUCUAAGGCGCUAUCACGACAAGGCUGUGCGACAACGCUUCUUUUCGAUAGGAGACCUCGUCCUCCGCCGAAUUCUAACGGGGGAGGGACGGCACAAGUUAUCACCCUUAUGGGAAGGGCCUUUCAUAGUAGCAGAGGUUACUCGGCCCGGAUCGUAUCGCCUCACCCAGAUGGAUGGCACAGAAGUUGGGAACUCCUGGAACAUAGAGCACCUCAGAAAGUUUUACCCCUAGCUGUAUUUCAAAACAGCUGGGGGCGACCAUGUAUUCUGUAAAAUGGAAAUACGUCAUCAAUAAAGAGAGACUUCAAAGAUACUCGGCUCAUUUACGACUGACUUGCAUUCUUACUUAACUCGGGGUGACCACUAUGCCCUACAAACGGAGCAAUCGACUUAAGUCGGCAACGACUUAAGGCGGUGCAACAUGCUCACGCUUACUUAACUCGGGGUGACCACUAUGCCCUACAAACGGAGCAAUCGACUUGAGUCGGCAACGACUUAAGGCGGUGCAACAUGCUCACGCUUACUUAACUCGGGGUGACCACUAUGCCCUACAAAUGGAGCAAUCGACUUAAGUCGGCAACGACUUAAGGCGGUGCAACAUGCUCACGCUUACUUAACUCGGGGUGACCACUAUGCCCUACAAACGGAGCAAUCGACUUAAGUCGGCAACGACUUAAGGCGGUGCAACAUGCUCACGCUUACUUAACCCAGGGUGACCACUAUACCCUACUAACGGAGAUAUCGGCUAAAGUCAGUGGUGGCUUAAGCCGGUGCAGCUUACUCGCGCUUACGCAAUUCAAGGGAUGACCUCCAUGUCCCGCAAACAAACUUCAUAAUCAUCAUGCAGCGCUACCACAAACUUGCGAAUUAAUAAAUUCUGAUACGAUAAGAGAGUGAUCAUGUCAUUCGAAUGAUAGGCUGAUAUCCUCUAACGAGUACUUGAUCAUACUAACCGUGCGCUCAUAGCACACAAAAUGUUUCUCUAUUUUCCAAUGUCUUUCUCAGGAACGAUUGACGAAGAAGGGCGAUCCGAAGAAUCGGGGGCAGCAUUCACAUCGGCUUUUAUGUCUUCAGGGACAACCACGUCGGGUCUCCUCAUCAAGAUUCGUCCCGCCCGAAUAGCCUUGUCCAUGGCUUUAUCGCGCUGGGCUUUGAGAGUAGCAGCAGUCUCUUCGGCAAUUUUAGCAGCCAGCUGAACAGCUUCUAACUCCUGGGCAAUGGUUUUCUUGGAAGCUCGGAGUUCUUUGAUGGUGGCAUUCUUCGCUGAUAGCAAUCGCCUAAGACUGGUCACUUCAUCCACGGAUUCUUGCAACCUACAACGCUGAUUGUCCAGUUCCUCCAUUGUGAAGCGGUGACUCCUCUCUAAGAUGGUCAGCGAGUUGUUAGAAUCUCGAUACAAUCUGUCCAGACUGUCGCGAGAAGCAGCAAGGAUACGUUUUUCUUCCUACAAGCAAAAAUCAACUCCUUCAGAAUCCAAGCAAGUAAUAAGAGCAUAGCAAGACGAGGCACGGUUUUGUAAACUACCUUUUCAGAGUCAAGCCGAGCAUGAAGAGAAGAACUCAAAGCGUUGGCAUCAUCCAAAGCAGCGGAGACCUGAUUCAGUUCAGUCUGGCUCUGAGAAUACUUCUCCUUGAAGUCAGCACACCGUUGAGCCAUUUCAGCUUGAUCUCGGGAAUGUUUUUCCUCAAGAACUGCAAUCUGCCGAGUCAUUCCUAUCAAGAGGUAAUCAAACGAAAGGAGGUCAGAAGGUAAAACAAUCUACAAAUAAAGGCAAGGAAGAAAAAGAAGGGCACUAACCAGCAUUAGUUGCCUCCAACUCGGAUACACGACGAUAAAGUGACACCGGAUUCCAACGUUCAAAAGAUGAAGCCACUUCUGGGAUGGAAGCACCCUGUGAUCUCAGCUGGCUGGCCAUCCCAUCCACCAAAGCCUGAUGAGAAGAGCGGAUGAACAUAAUGACAAAAAUUCAUGCAACGUAAAGAUCAAGCUAAAGUACAGCACAGUACCUGGAAAUUGGAAAAGAACGAGGGGAUCCCCAAAUCAGGAGAAAUCAGCUGAUAACCAGGUACCAGACCACCACCCGAAGCAGCUUGCAACAGACCAGUAGGAACGAGCUCAGUACAUUCAACAGAGCCUAACGCCAGACCAGCGGGGACGCUGCCCUCUAAAGCGACUCCCUGAUCCAGAGUUUGGGCCACCACCAUACCGCCAGAGUGUGGAGGUGAACCCGCAUGAACAUCCAUGGAAGUGCAGGAAGGAGACCUUGCUCAGACACCCUCGGGGGCUGGGUCACAGUUGGCACUGCCCGCUUGAGCCGGAUCAUCCCCGGCAACACCCUCGGGGGCUGGGCAGUGGCUUAUACUCUUCACCCGAGUUAAGUUUUCCCCGGCGACAUCCUCGGGGGCUGGGCACGUGUCAACACUAUUCAAGGGGUCCAAGCUCUCUGCCGUAGCCACCUCUAAGGUUGACGGGCCUUCAGCUACUUCCAUGGGACCAGAACAAUCCAAGUCAGCAUCCCGACCCUCGAGAUCGUGCUCUAAGGUCGACGAGGCACGGGAUGACCUCAAUCCAGCAUCUAGCACGGCAGCACGAGUCUCUGUUGCGUCAUCAUCCACAGGUUCUGAUAGCAAGUCCUCUGGGACCAUAUCCUCUAGAGUUUGAUCAAAGUUGGCCAUGGACAGUUCUUGCAGACCAAUAAGGGCAGACAAUGCAGGAGAAGGAACUCCACUACUUCCACCGCUGGCAAUGAACUGCCGACUGUUUUUCCGAGUUAAUGGAGCUUCAUUUUCUUCCUCCUCAUCUUCCACAGUAACAACGCAAACAGCACCCCUAUCGGGGUCAGCAGCAGACGGAGCACACCCAUUGGGUUCAACAGCAGUUUGGGCACACCCAUUGGGAUCAGUGUCAGUAAGGCCAGUUGCAGGCACUUCUUCAGCAGCAGGAGCUAGGGUACCAGCGUCCUCAUCAAAGCUGGAUACUCGCCGGAGGCGUCUUCUCUUCUUCUUUUGCUCAUCAGCAGAAGGCUUGGGCUGACUGGUUCGGCUAGGGCGCCUCGGGCGAGUACUGAUAGGUUUCGGGACAUCCAAAGUUGUAUCAACCUCUGGAAGGGGCACCACUGCCAACGUACCAUCAGGAAUAGCAUCGGAUGAAUCCUCAGCUAACAGAUCAAGCAUGUCAUUUAUGUCGGCAUCACUAGGGUUCAGAGGCACUUCAAAAUAAACCUGCCGUUCAUCAUCAGGAAUCGCCCCGAGCGAAGCAACCAAAGUACUGACUUCUUCAGCAGAGGGUCGCACUCUAAGGCCCAAAUUGCUAUCAGUCACAGGCGGAUCUGACACAAAGAGGGUGAAAGCUUUGGGAGGGGGUAGGUUCCAAGCCGAGUAUGCUACUGGAGCACCAACAUUUGAAACUUUACCCCUGAGAAUCAUUUCAAGUCGGCUUACCAAGUCAACAGAAGGAAUUCUCCUAUUGGUAACCCGAGUUGAGUCGGCCAGCCCUCGAUACAGAUAUGCCGGGUAGGCCCUGUCUUUCAGUGGCUGAAUGUUCUUGAAAACAAAAUCAGUGACCACAGCUUCGGCAGUCAGACCUCUCUCUUUCAGUAAUCCGACUUCAGUUAGCAACACACCUGCCUCGGCUACUUCCUGAUCUGUGGGAGACUCAGUCCAACUCGGAGUGCGGACGUCUGGCUGUCUUCCCGACCGGGAGGGGAGAGAAUUUCCAUAAUUAUCAACUAUAAACCACUCCAGACGCCACCCCUUAAUGCUAUCUUUGAGGGGAAUCUCAAGAUACUCGGUCUUCCGCCCACGGCGCAUCUCCAAACUGGCACCUCCGACCAGCUGGUGUUGUCCCCCGGCCAUCCCAGGGCGACAAUGAUACAGAUACUUCCAUAAACCGAAAUGCAGCAGCACACCGAGAUAGGCUUCGCAUAGGUGAACGAAGAUGGAGAUUUGCAGAAUGGAAUUAGGGUUCAAAUGAGUCAAGUUGAUAUGAUAGAAAUCAAGGAGGCCGCGGAAAAAAGGAGAGAUGGGAAGGCCGAGGCCGCGGAGAAGAAAAGGAGCGUAAACUACAGACUCGUGGGUAUCUUCUGUUGGGACAGUAGUCCCGUGGCAAAUCCGCCAAGAACAGAGUUCCCGUGGAGGAAGAACCCCGAUGGAGACGAGGCGGAGAAGCUCAGCUUCGGAAAUAACGGACAUAUGGUUACCUGCGAAGGGUAACUGACUGUUGGGGUCGAUUGCGGGGAUCACCGCAGCAGACGAGUUCGUAGUUUUCCUCUUGGGCGCCAUCUUGCUUCUCACUGGCGAACAGAGUAGGAGGCGAGUGGCAGAGAAGAUUCAGAUGCGGAAAUGCAAGAACUAGGGCACGGAAAGCAAAGGCGGCUAAAAGCGCAACUCUUAUGGGAUAUUCUUGAGCCAGAUACCGCUUCAAAAAGUGCCCAGUCAUCACCCGGCGGUUAUUUCCGAAACCUCAGCAUGCCACGUGGACAUCUGGCAGUUAUUUCCGAAAAAGCCGACGUGCCACUUCAUCACUCGGUUAUUAUCCUCAAAAUAACUCGCACGGCCAGCUAUCACUCGGCGUUACCUCCAAAACGCUGAACUCGUAUUCUAUCGCUCGGCAUUACUUCUAAAAUGCCGACGCCGACCUUCAAUCACUCGGCGUUACCUCCGAAACGCUGAACUAGUAUUCUAUCGCUCGGCAUUACUUCUAAAACGCCAAUGCCGACCUUCAAUCACUCGGCGUUGCCUCCAAAACGCUGAAUUCGUAUUCUAUCGUUCGGCAUUACUUCUAAAAUGCCGACGCCGACCUUCAGUCACUCGGCGUGGCCUCUAAAACGCCGAACGCGUGUUCAAUCGCUCGGUGUUAUCUCCAAAACGCUAAACUCAUAUUCUAUCGCUCGGCAUUACUUCUAAAAUGCUGAUGUCGACCUUCACUGACUCGGCGUUGCCUCUAAAACGCUGGUCUCGUGUUCGAUUGCUCGGUGUUACUUCUAAAACGCUGAUGUCAACCUUCAGUCGCUCGGCGUUGCUUCUAAAACGCCGACACCGACUACAAUAUUACUCGGCAGCUACUUCUGGAAGCGUCAAUGUGAUGUGCAAGUUAUUCAUCUGCUAUAUCAAAAGAAUCAGUUCGACAAUCAGAGAAAGCGAGUCAUCGAGAAGGGGCCAACGACAGUUCUUCAUUAAGGGGAAGUUAAUAAGUUUACAAACCAACUCUUCGCGAGUUGGUGCUUCCCUACUUCUACUUUACAUUACUACUACUACUAAACUACACUAUACUACUCUACAUUGCUACUACAUUAUUCUAAUUACACUAUACUAAUAUCUAAAGACCAGUGGCGUUUAGCCACUGGCCUUGCUGCUGCUGCCCUUGCCGCCGCCGCCCCUGGUGCUACCUUUGCUGCUGCCGCCUCUGGUGCUCCCCGUGCUGCUGCCGCCUCUGGUGCUGCCCUUGCCGCCACUGCCCCCACCGCCGUUGCUGCCGUCACCGUCGCCAUCGCCACCGUCGUCGUCGUCGCCAUCGCCGUCGUCGUCAUCUUCGUCCUCGCCGCCGUCCGAGUCCUCCUCGUCCGAGGAGAACUCGGACUCAUCCGAGCCCUCGAGCCCGGAGCGCUCGACGGCCCGGAUGUACGUCCAGACCUCCGCGGCAAUCCCCUGGGAGUCGUCUGAAUCAUCAGACGACGCCGGGGGAGAGACGGGAGCCGGGGAUCCCUCGGACUCGGAGGAGAACUCCUCCUCCGAGUAUUCCGAGUCACCGAAAUCCUCCGACGGAGGAGUCGGCUCACGCUUGCGCUUAGUACCCUUGCCCAUGGUGGAAGCAGACAAAGGGGAGAAGAAGGACGCAGUAAAGAACAGCGAAGAGAUGUGAAAAAACCAGAGUAGCAAGGGCGUUAUUUAUAAGAAGGAAAGGCAACCGCUCACUUCCAACCGCGGUCACUGAACAGUCGCAAAGCAUUCAAUAAGCACUCCCACCCAUCUGAAGACACGUCAGACGGCAGACGCCGUUUCAUGCAACACUACACCCAUUGGGACUCCAGUCAACAGCGCAAGGGAUAUGAUUACACUAGUCGUCCCAUCACAUUACUACUCAGAAGUAGCCGGCUAAAACACUCAGCGUCCCAAGCCGUCCCUUGCCCACACCCAUUGGGGGGGACGCCCAGGAAUUGUCAGUAUAUUUUUCAAAAUGGUCACAUCUGUGCAGGGCAUGCAGUGAAUGCCUCAAGACAAAAAUGAGAUAUCAACAAGAGUUAGAGGGAAGCCAAAUAUAGCCAGUAGAGUGCAAAAUAUGGUCGACAGAAAUGAUUUGAAGACUAGACAGAGAACGUCCAUCAAAUGUCCAAUCAGUCACAGAGCAAAUAAAUUGCGCUACCUAGCAAGAUAUGGAUGGAUUGCAAACUCGGCUGCUAAAGACAAAAUAUAUGCUGACCUCUGCAGCAAAAUUUUGAUGACAUAAUGCUGACCUCCAAAGCAUAAUGCGAAUAGUUUCGUGCCAGUUUUUACAAGCAAAAGGAAGACCUUCGAAUGGAUUAUCCUUAAAAAAUCCAUUUGAAGGUCGGGGGCUACACCCAUUGGGUGCACCUCCGGUGCACCCAAUGAAGUUCAGAAUCCUACGAGUCAAAAUGCCGACCUCUAAGGCACAAGCGCAGAACUAAACUUCGGUCGAACAAGUGAUCGGAGCAAGGGAAGACAGCAGGAAGUCAUUUUCUUGGACCUUGGAUCUUUGGGUUGAUUACCUCUAAAUCAACCCAAAGAUCGGGGGCUUGUGGGGGAUAGAUAUCCCCUGGGUCCACUAAAAGAGUAAAGGACCUCACGAAAGGCCCAAGGGCCCAAUAAAUCGUGAGGUCAUUCUUUCGUGGGCCUGGGGAGAAACAACCAGCAAAGCAGAACGACAUGAGGCCGGGUUGGUGCAAACCCGGACGGCCCACAGCGUCGAACGAAUGACCGCAACAGAAAUCCGACUUUCCCGCGCUGAAGCCUCCAUGCAACAAAAGCCAUGCGAGGAUAAGUCGGCGAGGGUUACGUAGGGAUAAUCUCAAGAGGUUCACUAUCUUUUAGCUACUUGUUGCUAUCUUACCCACGUGUACCGCCCCACGGUCGAGUAUAUAAGGCCUAGGGGGCACCCCUUCAGAUCGAUCGGCCCUUUACUUAGCCACCCACGUCAACUCUCUGCAUUCUCAAUCCAGAGAGCUCUCUUGUACCCACAUUCACCAAGCAUACUCACCAGGACGUAGGGUGUUACGCAUCUCUAAGCGGCCCGAACCUGUAAACCUUGUCCACUGUCCCUCGUGCGAUCGGCACGAACCAUUUUGCUACAGUUGUCGACACCGUCCUACUCCUAAAAACACCUUGAGGGGCAACCCCGGGUGUGCGGUCGGACCCAAAACACCGACAGUACCAUGUGCUGUAAUCAGCUUUGACAACCUGUCUCAUUGUAUCAUGAUGAAAAAUCACAACCCUUGCUUGACAUGUAACAACUAGAAGUAUACUUUUAUGGCAUAUUUGUGGGCAUCAAAUUGUUCUGGAAUGUGCUUCCUUUUUUCAGAGGGAAGAUGCUACAUCCCAAAGUUCUUUCAGUGGACAAGGUCAAAAGCGCAAUUCUGUUAAUAAUAAAAUGGAUGGCUCUAGCUCUUCUGUUACUCCUCAAAGUACCUUGAUCCAUCCUCAGAAUGGAUGUUUUGAGGGUAGAGAGCAUCUGAUUCAGAAAAGCUUAAAACAAAAAUACCUUGACAGUCCCCAGGCAAAUGGAGCAUUUAAAAGGUCAUUAGGCGAACAAACCGUUGUUGGUAGUGGUGGCCCAUCACAAUUCUCUACUCCCUCAUCUUGGUCCCUUUCUCCAAAUAGGUAAAGUAGCAUAUAUGUUUAUGUUUCUGUCUUGGAAUUGUAUUUUGGCUGCCUUAUAUUGAUACAGAUCUGUUACAGGCAUAGAAAAGUUGGAGAAUGUGAUUCUAGGUUAUUACCAGUUUUGGAGAUGAACUCAAACAUAUCUUGAAAGCAGAUAAACUAGGAGUAGGAUUAUCCUUAUCUAGGAUUCCACACAUAGUAAUAUGUUACCUUUUUUUUAUUAUACAUGCAUCAUGUAUUGCUCCUUUGUUUCUUAUCACCUUGUUUUUAGGGUCAUGCAUACAUUUAAACUUCUUCUCAUCUUGCAUAUACGAAAUCUAACUUUGUUUCUUAUUGUUUCUAAAACACUCACUUGCUAUUCAACAUCAUCAACAGUUGAUUUGGACAAACUGCAAAUUCUAUACCUAAAGAAAAAAAUGCAUACCAAGCCUGAUGUCUGUUGUUCACCUUAGGUGAAUCAAACUAAAUGUAUUAUGUUCAUUGGUUCUUAACUAUAGAAAUUGUAGGUCACUGGUUUGGACUUCAAAGGAAUGAUGUGCUACUUUAGUCAGAUCUUGUGCAAGCCUUAAUUUAUCUUUCCAUUUAGUGUCAUACAAUUGCUUCAUAUGAUUAAACACUGAGUAAAUGUGAUUUCAAAACCAGGUACAAAGAAAUGUUUAGGGAGCUGCCCUAUAUCCUUUAACUAGCUGAUUUUGUUUCAUUCACUUUUCAUUUAUGGCAGCUGCUUAAAUUCCAGUAGAGCAAAUGUUCAUGUCACAUUUGGUUAAUGUUGUACCAUGCUUAUACUACUGCUAUGGCUAGUUUUGACAUGAGAAGAUUACUUAUAUCAAUGUUGUUUUGUUACAGGGUAAACGAAGGUUCCUUUACAGCUUACUUGAUGCAAUGCAGUCUCUAACAUCACAAGCUGUUGUUAUUGGUGUGAGUUGUCGCUUGGUAUGAACUAAGCUUUAUUUACUAAUAAAUAUAAACUUCAAGCUUGUUAGUUGUAUAUAAUUGAUUUUUUGUUGAAUGACAUUUGAUUACUAUGCCCUGUCAGGUGUCACGCUUGAUUGAUGUUUCAAACAACAAAGAUGUCAUUCUUGGUUAUGUAGUAGUGAUCAUGCAGCAGCAUAUAAAGCACAUAUGUUUCAGGUGACUCUAACUUUAAUUAUUAGCUAACUCUAACUCGGUUGCUGCAACUGAGAAAGGGAAUGUUGUUAAGGCUCUAUUCAUGAGCACGAUGCCAAAAAAGAGCCGGUCAAGGGGUUGGUGUCCGAGGUCUGUUCGAAGCUGAACUUGGUGUGCAGGGAGGUGUCGAGCAGAUACAUGUUUCAGAGGAAGAAUACAAAGACUACUAAGAAGGGUGAAGAGACCAUGGAGGCCAGGAUCAAAGAUAUAACAUGUAGUCGAGGUCUGUUCGAAGCUGAACUUGGCGUGCCUGGAGGUGCCGAGCAGAUAAUGUCUCAGCUGAAGAAUAAAAAGACUACCAAGAAGGGUGAAGAGACCACGGUGACCAAGAUCAAAGACAUAACAUGCAGUCCCAAAACAAAAAUGGUAAUUUGACAUCACCUUUUAAUCUGCUCAAACUGACCUUUGGUUUUUGUUACAAUAUCAAAAAGUUUAAAGCUAUCAAAAUGAUAAUUUGACAUCACCUUUUAAUCUGUUUGAACUCGCCUAUGAUUUUUUUACAAUAUCGAGAAGUUUAAAGCUGUCGAAAUGGUAUGAUAUGUUAUAAGAAUAAUGCUAAAAACAUAUAUCCUUUUAAUUUAAGUGGUAUCUUUUGAGAUGAAGUCUUUUUGUUUUGCUUGCUUUUACCAAAUUUGAUUUGACAUCCGCUUUCUAGAUAACAAACGAGCCUCCGUGGACAUACUUCUCAAGGCGUCUGUGUUCUUGGAGUGUGCUAUGGAGUUGCAGAAAGUCUGUAAGGCUGUAACACUCAUACAAGAGACCCUGUUUGAGAAAACAAACACUCAUAUUUUAUCGAAUAUUUUGUACGCCGUUGCAACGUACGAGCACAUUCCUAGUAUUUCAUCUAAUUCUAUUGGUUAUUUAUAUGCAACAUUUAAGUCACAUGUUAUCCUAUGAAAUUGUAUCACAAAACUCUCUAUUGAGAAAACAUAUUUUUAUUAAUUUAUUCUUUAUUUUAUCUUAUUUUUAUUGAUGUGACAACAUUAGAAAUGGUGUGAUGAAACUACCCUGAGAAUAACCUUAUCAUGACAUCCGGCCGCCAGGAGCAAGGCGGUUCUGAGAAGCAAUUCUCAUAUUAGCGUCACGAGGUCUGAAUUUUCAAACUCUAUUACCAAUAGAGUCAAUCAAUGGUUCAGAACGCAAGUGAUGUCAUUUUCAUCUACCCUGCAAGGCUAUUUAUUAUCAACAGAUCAGGCACGGUCAAAGCUUAUUCCUCGACCAAACCAAAGUUUCCAAGGCGGUUGGUUUCUGCUACGAUGACACAUGUGGGUCUGAUCAGCUUUGAACUCGGCCUCCUCGAACAACUUGUGGACGAAAUUAGCAGGAUACUGAGGUGGCCAUCUGAUGAUUUAGUUAGAACUGAGAUUUUAGACGAAGUCUCUAAUGCGUCAGUUCAACCGAUAAGACUGGUGGUGUAGGUAUUCUAAGUUAUGAAAUUUUCAGUUACUGGAUGUCAUUUCAGCUUCAAUUUCAUGAAUCAUAGUGUGCCAAAAAUUCAAGAGACUGCGAGUGUAGUACAUUACCAAAUAUGUAAAAUAAAAUUAUUAAGAAAAGAAUCUCACAGUAUUAUUAUUAAAAUUUUAAAAGUAUAUAUCAAGAAAAAAAUUCAACAUCAUCCGUGCUGCAAGAGAACAUUUCAGAUACAAGUUCUACAUGGAAGUCCUGAUAGUCUCGGGCUUGGAAAAUAUGGAAGCAAAGGAAUGUGUCAUUUUCAGAGAAUUAUGUCCUUUUUUAUUGGAGUUGUUUCAACGACAUGUCGAAACUUCAGCUUAUUAGAAUGGUUCCGAAGUUUAGAUCGGAGCAGGGCCGUACCUGAGGGAGGCGGCUGUAUCGGGCCCUAAAAACAGAGGACCCCUAGUCAUAGGACACUAGCACUUUUUCCUGUUAAACCUAUCUAUUCUAGACAUAAAUACGCAAAGAGGAAUACGCUAUCGACCAGUCUCGUUUAGAUUGCUAAACUAAUGUCUCAAUUACUUAUCGAAUACUCCAUCUGUUUCAAAAUAGUAUUUGUUUUAGCUCUUGAUUUUUAUGUUUAUAUUCAACUAGAUGAUGAUUAAUUCACUAAAGAAGCAAAAUGAAUUCUUUUAAAAUAGAGAGUAUUAUUUACUAUACAAAUGAUGGUUGCAUCGACAGAGAGAAGCUUUCUAAAAUUGAAAUAUGUUUGUGAACUAUUUAUGGUCAACAAAACUCAAGAGGGGUUAAAUGGCUUGGCGAUUCUAUAUAUCGAAAAAAGUUGUUGGAUGAGAUUGAUCUCAAUGGUAUAAGCGAUGACUUUGUAUCACAAAAUAUUAGAAUAUAUUUUUAAUGAUAUCAGAUAACAAGUAAAUGUUUUCGCUAUAUUUUAUAUUUAUUAUCUUAUAAUCUUUAAAACAGUGCAUAAUAAAUUUUAUACGUCAAAUAUUCGAUAAUAUAUGUAUAAUUAUAUAUUUUUGUAUGUGGAUGUGGCCUCUAUAUCAGAUUUCGUACUAGGCCCCUGAAAAGUCAGGAACGACCCUGGAUCAGAGAUCUCCCUUUGGCUUGAUUCUUUGUAGCUGCUCUGUCUUCUCCCUUUUCUUUUUCUUUUCUUUCCUUUUUUUUCUUCUUUUGCAUGUCUAAUGCUUGUUCUCUAGUCUUUGUGUUUUCCUGCGGUUUCUUUAUAGUUUCCAGCCUUCUACGCUCUCAGUCUGUCACUACGGGGUCAAUCUCAUGGGCUUGCAAUCACUUUCACUAGAAGGCUUGUAUUCAUUGGUCAGCCAAUGCUCGUGAGAUUGUAUCAUACAAAUCAAGGUGCUGGUGAGAUUGUGGAUAAGUCCAAACAACUAAUAUGCAGUUUUGUGUAUAAUAUGUGUGUCCUCCUAGAAGGGUAAAGAAAGCAUAGAUACAUGAUCCAUCAUUCCACUUAUGUGAUGUGGUUCAUGCAUCUUGUUCAUGCAUUCUAUCCUCACAAUAUACUGCUCUUUAAAUAUCACUCACUGUUCAUUACAAAAUUCCCUCCUACUUAAAUAUUCCUAAAAGCAAUGACAACUCAUGUUCAUCCCCUCCCACCCAAAUAUUUGUAUCUGCACUGAAAUACUCUUAUAUACCAUGACAAUUCAUAUUCAUCCCCUCCCAAUAAAAUACAUGUAUCUACAACUAGUUUUAUAACUUGAUAAGAUAUUGGAGACAAACAAAACAUACCACAGUUGUCUUAGAUAAUCGGAUCAAUUGUCCGUACAUAAGAAGAGUGGAGAUGUAAUUAGAGUGGACAUGGCGUUGCUAAUAUGAUCGUUUGCAGCUUGCGGUCACUGUGGGGGACAGAUAUCCCCCGGGUCCACUAGAAGGCAAGAAGGCCUCGCAAAAGGCUUUGGGCCUAUUAUCUCGCAAAGCCAUCCCUUUGUGGGCCAGGGGAGGACUACUGAUGGAAUGGGCCGAUGCGUGAUAAGGAAGCAGUCUCAGGCCCAAGCAUCUCGACAACUCAAGCGCUAUCUGUAGCGUCCGCCCGACUUUCCCGCGCGCAGCGCCUUUGGACGUCGGAAUGGAUCAGAGAUAAAUCGACAAGAUUAUAGGAAGAUAAGUUCAGUCAAUUCACUAUUGUUUAGGUACACAUCAUCAUCAUACACGCAUGUAGUGCCCCACGGUCGAGUAUAUAAGGCCUAGGGGGUACCCCGUAAUUUCCAUCGACCAUCUACUCAACUCAUUAGCCUUUCUCCAUACAGAAGACUUCCCUUGUAACCUACCACAUAAAGAUCCACACCAGGAAGUAGGGUGUUACGCAUCUCAAAGCGGCCCAAACCUGUAGAAAAUCGCCUGCCGUCUCUCGUGCAUCUCGCACGAACCAUUGAGUUACAAUCUACAGCACCGUCCUACCCAAAAGCACUGCGAGGGGUAACCCCGGGUGUGCGGUCGGGCUCCAAACACCGACAGCUGGCAUGCCAGGUAGGGGGUGUGUCGUUGAUCCAAGCUAGCUCAAUGGCCGUUACUUCCCAGUGCAAAAUCGCUCUUUGCCCUGGAUCCGUAUUCUGCUUUGGGACCAUCUUGUCCAUAGCAGAUGAAAAGGGAAUUCUGCACCAAAUAGCGGAUCCACCGGAGGAGAAGCUUUCCUUGGAAAUACCCAGGAAAGUCGGAGCAAGAUAGCAGACAGCGCAACCUCCUGCGCCCCAGACGAAGACUACCUCUUGCAAGUCGAGAGCCAGGAAUUCUCUUGCCCGAGGAACUCUGUUGUCCACUUCGUGCACAAAGGAGUGGACACGGAUUACAAGAAAGAAAGAAGCAAGCGUUCCCGGAAAAGGGACAGAGGCCCGUCGAGCUAUCUUUCCGGCACCUUCGCCCUCAAAGAAGGACGGAAAGGAACUCGCCACCGUAGUAACUCCUUUCUACCCCGACAUCCUCUUCAUCGGGGGGAGAUUGGAGUCAUCUCCCAUCUCCGAUGACGAGCCAACCAUGCCAGGAGAAGAACCUCCCCAGUGAGAAGCUCGGCGAUGAAGGAACAGAUGCCGGAAUAUUCGGCGACAUCACGAAGCUGGGGAGCAGGACCCAGCGCAGCCCGUAUCUCAUGAUGAAGUCUCAGAAGUGGGAGAAACUCCAGACGAGCGAGUAUUCAGAGAAAGGAGGAAUUCUCGCCGAUGUGACCGCUGGCAAGCUCAAGACCGAGAUCGAGAACAAGCUGAACAUGGUGCAAGGUUACGCCGAGAGAACCCUCUCUUUGCUCGAAACCUGAACCCUGACUUUGCUCGUGCAAUGAACACGCCGAGCGAAGUCGGAGGAGUGCUGGCUCAGAUAGCUGAUGGCCGCCCGCAGACUCCAGAUGCUAAAGGCUAUCGGCGGCUGCUUACUCGGGCAGCUAAUCAUCUUCUACCGCUCUCUCAUCCCCCGAGCGACAUGCGACAUGCCAUCAACAGUCGGCGAGAUGCGUGGAGCUCCAUCAACGCUUCGCGCGACCGAUGACAUGAAAACGAGAUAAGGCGCCGGGAGGAGUACGAUCGGGACCAUUGCGUCCCGGCUCGAAGUCACACCACCAGAGUUGAGUCAGCAGCAGCCUCAACCAGUGGCCCGAUCCGGGGACGGUCGAGACGACACAUCAUCGACUCCCCUCCCUGGAACCAACACCAUGAACGUCGACGGGAAGACACAUGUGGAGUAUCCGCGCUUACUCCACGUCUCAGGGCCAUCCAGUGGCCCCCAAACUUCAAGGUCUCUAACGUUGACAAGUACGAGCCUAAGCAGGACCUAGGAGGCUGGUUGGCCAUCUAUACGACCGCCACCCGAGCCGCUGAGGCGACUGAAGACGUGAUGACCGCAUAUUUGCCCAUCGUCCUUGGGCAGGAUGCAUUGCAGUGGCUACGACAUCUGCCGCGACACUGCAUCGACGAUUGGAGUGACUUCAGUCGGCGUUUCAUCGCCCACUUCCAGUCCCUCUCCGACAAGCCGGCGCAGCCAUGGGACCUCAAAUCCAUCAGGCGCUGGGGCGAUGAAACACUUCGGUCGUGCCUCAAGAGGUUUCAGACCAUGAGAAAUCGUAUCCCCGAGGUUUGAGGACUUCUACCAAGGAUCUAAUGACUUGGCCUUCGUACGAGCCAUACUGCAGAAAGCGCCGACCACCUCCGAACAACUGUUUCGAGAGGUGGACCUCUACAUCACCGCUGAUGAGUGGGCCCAGGACCUCAUCGGAGGAACAAAACCUGCACCACUGGAACCGCGCGCGCGACACCAACCCGCAACCCGACAGGCAUUGGGAGAAGAGGCCUGAUGAGGAGGUCCACGCCGCCGGACCACCCGUCGCUCGUGCCCGAGGGGCACCCCAUGGAGGCGAUCGGACACUAGACGACAUCCUCGAUGCCCAGUGCCCAUAUCACAAGGACAUGCGCCACACCUUGCGGAACUACAAGGACUUCAAGCACUCCGUCGGGAAUGGCCUACCGUUCCAGCCUCUACCACCUCCCCCACCACGAGGAGGGCCUGGCGAGCCCAGGCAGCCUCAGCAACCAGAAGGGGGAGGGGUGGAGCAUUCCCACGCAUUGACAGGGAGGUCAACGUCAUCUUUGGAGGACACGGGUCGCAGGAGAACAGAAGGCAGCAAAAGCUCAACGACCGGCAGGUCCUGGUGGCAACCACCAGUGCCCCAGCUCCCUAUCGGUGGUCAGAGUACACAAUCACCUUCAGCCGAGCGGAUCAAUGGCUCAACUUCGACCAACCUAGCAAGUACCCGCUCCUUGUUGAUCUGGUAAUCCGAGAGAGCAGGGUAAAGAAACUACUAGUGGACGGGGGAAGUAGCAUCAACGUUACCUUCCCCCGGACGCUCCUGGGCUUGGGGGUCGCACUCAAUGACCUCACUGAGUCAGACACCUCUUUCUUCGGCAUUGUGCCGACCGAAGGGGAGUACCCGCUCGGGCACAUCUACAUGCUCAUCACCUUUGAAACUCCGGAAAACUACAGAACCGAGUUCCUGAGGAUCGAGGUGGCGAGUUUCGACUGCCGGUACAACGCCAUCAUCGGCAGGCCGGGAUUGGCAAAAUUCAUGGCCAUUCCACACUAUUCAUACAUGAUAUUGAAGAUGCCAUGACCGCAAGGAAUCAUCACCGUGCGCACUGACUUCCAAGGCACCACGGAAUACUUUCGGGGAGCCAUCCAGGCGGCCCUUACUACUAGACCGUCGAGGACUUCCUCCACGCAGGUGAACACAAAACCUGAGGAAGACCUCGCAAUACCCACAAACGAAGCUCAAGUCGUGACCUCUAUGUGGCCGACUAAGGAGACCAAGAGGAUCAACCUAGGAUUCGCUGAUGAACGCAAGACCGCCAUCAUCAGCUCUAGCCUCGACGACAAAUAGGAAAGCGCGCUCAUUCGGUUCCUACAAGAUAACCGAGAUGUAUUCGCAUGGCAACCUACGGAUAUGACGGGAGUCACGAGAGAACUGGCCGAGUAUAAAUUAAAGGUCUAUCCUCAAGGAAGGCCGAUUCGACAGAAGCUGCAUCGUUUCACGCCUAACAAGAGAGAAGCUAUUCGCGCCGAGUUAGCUCGCUUAGUGGCUGCAGGGUUCAUUAGAGAAGUGUUGCAUCCUGAGUGGCUAGCAAAUCCUGUUCUUGUACUCAAAAAGAAUAAAGUGGAUUGGCGCAUGUGUGUCGACUAUACUGAUCUCAACGAACACUGUCCGAAGGAUCCCUUCGGGCUCCCUAGAAUAGAUCAGGUGGUUGAUUCGACCGCUGGAUGUUCUAUGUUGUCCUUCCUAGACUGCUAUUCUAGAUACCAUCAGAUCAACUUGGCAAAAGAAGAUGAGGAGAAAACUGCAUUCAUCACCCCGUUCGGAGCUUUCUGCUAUACCUCCAUGCCGUUCAGCCUCAAGAACAUGGGAGCGACCUACCAGAGAGACAUUCAAACAUGUUUAGCCGAUCACUGGGGCAAGUGAGUGGAAGCCUAUGUCGAUGAAGUGGUGAUCAAAACAGAAAACUCAGAAAACUUCAUCGAAGAUUUGCAGUUGAUUUUCAAUAGCUUGAGGCGAUAUCGAUGGAAGCUCAAUCCAGAAAAGUGUGUCUUCGAAGUACCGACAGGGAUGUUACUCGGAUUCAUUGUUAGCCAUCGAGGAAUUGAAGCCAACCCAAAAAAAAUCAAGGCUAUCAUGAGAAUGGAAGCGCCACGAUCACAGAAAAAGGUACAGAGGCUUACUGGAUGCAUGGCAGCCCUAAGCAGGUUCAUAUCAAGGCUAGGCGAGAAAGGCAUGCAUUCUACAAAUUGCUCAAAAAGGUGGACAAGUUUCAGUGGACCAUAGAGGCAUAGGAAGCUCUAGAGGCACUGAAAAAGUUCCUGACUACACCACCAGUACUCAAGCCACCACGCCGAGCCAUGCCGAAUCAGCCAGCAGAAGAUCUGAUGUUAUACAUCUCCUGCACGACUCACGUGGUAAGCACCGCGUUAGUAGUCGAGCGGGUGGAGGAAGGACAUACAUACCCAGUGCAACAUCCGGUCUACUUCAUCAGUGAAGUUCUUAGGCCCUCAAAAAUGAAGUAUCCCCAAGUCCAGAAACUGUUAUACGUGGUACUUCUAACCGCUCGCAAGCUCCAUCACUACUUUGACGACCACAAAGUCAUAGUAGUCACAUGAUUUCCAAUAGGGGACAUUCUCCACAACAAAGAAGCUAUCGAAAGGAUAGCCAAGUGGGCAUGUGAGCUGGGAGCUCACGACAUAGAGUUCCGACCUCGCACAACAAUAAAUACUCAAGCACUGGUUGACUUCAUAUCAGAGUGGACUGAGCAUCAGGUCCCAGACAACCCAGAGAUUACCGAAGUAUGGAGAAUGUACUUUGAUGGCUCGCUGAAGUUGCAGGGAGCAGGUGCAGGGAUUCUCUUCAUUGCUCCUGGAGGUGAACAACUCAAGUAUGCACUCCAGCUAUUAUUUCUAGCAUCAAAUAAUGCGGCAGAAUAUGAAGCACUGAUUAUGGCAGAACCUCUCAAGUUAUUGGGCCCACAUGCACCUAUCCUUGUCUCAAAGACCUUAGACUUCUAUGCAUGUGCACCAGAUAACUUAAUAGGAUCCGUCCGAGUGCCCCGAGGACCUUGGAUAAACCACUUACAACCAAGAUCGCAAGAUUAAGUAACACAAAUCACACACACCAAUAGUUUGCAACGGAAAUCUUAUUACCAAAUUUUACAAGUUACAAAAAUUUUACUUUGUACAUGAUCGGAGUGAUUACAAAAGUGAUUCAAAGAAAUAACUUUGAACUAUUAUAAAUUAUUUGUAGUUUUGAAAUAUAUGCUAGCUCAAGUGACCAUCCUCAAUAAGAAGUAUAGAAGAGUUACUUAGACUUAUAAGAAGGCCGAGCCCACUGGCACUUAACACCAUCAACAGCAGCACAAAGUUAAAACCUGAAAAACAAUAGAGAAUAAAACCCUGAGUAUGGAAUUACUCAGCAAGACUUACCCGACUAAAGAAAAGACUCUCAAGGAUAUGCUGGAUAAAUAGGAAUCAAGGAAAAGGCUUUAGCAAGAAUCAACUUAGAUACUUUUGCAGAAAUAGCUUACUAAAGUGAGUCCUUACUUUCAACAUUUUAAUGCUAGAUUAAUUAUUAAUAGAUCUUGUUUGCAUCUAGUCUAAUUUCAUCAUCACAUUAAUCAAUCCAACAUGAUUUUUUUACUCAUUAAUAUUCCAUCCAUGACUUAGAUUGCAGGGCAGUGACCAAGUCUUCAUAUCCGAGAAGUAACGGCGAUCCAGAACCGAUUAAUACCCAGCUGGGGAUCUCCGAUCACACGACAUAUGUAGCACUUAACCCUUGCAUAUGUCAACUCGCCACCGGGGUUCUUAAGACCAGAUCAGGUUCACGCCAACCGAGAGCACAGAUACACCACCGUCCAGCCUCUUGCCACGGAGGGUACACGCUACUCUCGCCAUCUCUCCACUCCCAUUGCGUGUUAUCUUAUUCUGGUAUUAGUCUACCCGAGGCAAAGCUUACCCAUGAUGAGGCAUGUGACCAGUUAAAAGAUCCUCGAUCAUCAAGCCUACAUUCAGUAUAAUCCUUAAUCAACCUGGGUAGAACAUCACCUGUUCCUAGCCCAAGUCCCGAUUUAAUUACUUCCAUCCUUAUGAUUGUUUGUGUUCCUUAGGAUGAAAAGAGCAUUAUAGGGAACUUUGCAGUAAGAUCCCACCAUUGCUCCCAAUGAAAAUAUUCUUGUAGGCAGAAGCCAUCCUUCCUCAGGAUAACCCCUGAGCUAGGCAUUAACGCAAAGGAGAACCUCUAUCUACAAGAUUUACCUCUAAGAAAGGCUAAGCAAUUUUGUAAAUCAUAUUUUGAUACUUCAUCAGAAGUAUCUAUAAAGGUAUGGAUAUCAAGGUAGGCAAUGCAUCAAAGGGUUUCUAAGAAACUCCUAUAAACCUAAUGCACAUUUCACUAGACUUAAAGUGUGAAAAAAUUAUUUAAAAACACAAGGAAGGGGUAGCAUGCACCGGGGCUUGCCUAGAAUAAACACUAGGUUAGUGUUUGUUACAUGGCGACCACUUGACGACCAUCCUUUUGUCUUGGCAUUUGUUCAGGCAGGUUCGUCCAUCAGCAUCACCAUGCGGAGUAGCUCGCGCUUGGGGUCGACUUGGCUUUGGUCCUCCGCAUCAUGUAGUCAACAAACGUACCUAAAUGAUUUGCAUAAUGCACAUGAAUGCAUAUAAGUAGGAAUAGCACAAAUCUAAAUAGUGCUACGCGAUAGCGAAUUAAACACCUAGUGACGAGGCGUUGUACUGUUUCACACGGAAACACUAGUUAUCGACGUAUGACUAAGUGCAAUAGCUGUGCCUUUCUAGCUUAACCAAAUCCAAUUCAAACAUCAAGCAGCAAUGAAUAUGAAUACACGCUAUGUUAUCCUUAGCUAAAGCAUAACAUCGAGAGUCUAACAAUAUUUAGACUCCUAUUGUUGGACACCCAGAGUGAUAGUAUGUGCAGGAACAAUUUAACUAAUCUUUUAAAUCAUGUUUCUAGAUUAAUUUGAAUUACAUACAAAUUAAAUAAACGCUAAACUUAUCCUUCACAUUAUUAAUUAUACCACAUCGCUCACAAAAGAACUAUUUUAAUUUUAUUUCACACCUCACAUAUUUAUUCAAUCCAUCUAACAAUACGACUACGGGAAUAACGAAUCAGCUUGCCAUACUAAAAUCCUACUUGAACCCAUGAAAUCGACGACGCUUCCCGGUCUGCGCAUAACACCAAAUACGUAACGAGCGACGUACUAGACUGCACUAUUCUACCCGAUCAAAUUUUAUUUUGGCACUAAUUCAGUACUACGAUUUACGCGCACGUCACUGGCCCACGUUAACAGCGCAAGUAUACCAAACUAACGAGAAAUAUUAAAAUGAAAAGCAAGAGCGACGACAACACACCAAUAAUUUAAUCCAUAUUGAAGACCACGAGCACAGCUACGAUUUCCGAUUCUGCUGGGAUUUGUUGCUUCAUCCAAACUCUCAGGAUUUUUUGACGACGCAAAGGAUGUUGACGAGUUGGAGGCUUCUAGGGUCGAGCACGAUAGGGGACUUCGAAAAAUCGACGUAGGUAGCACGCAAUUGAAAAACAGGUCAUCGGAGUCGACGAGCACGUCGUGGACACAACGUGAAUUGACGACGUGGAGCAAGGGGGUGUCACAGCACAUAAAGGGCGACACGAAGAUGUUGGGCACUGACUAUGACGUGCGUGCAGGUUCCUGGGACUUGACGACACGCGAAGCUAUCACCAACGACGACACGAUGAUGGCUUGACACGGAAGUGGACAACGACAACACCAAGGUUAGUGGCAAAGCGAGCGUGAGGGUGUUUUAUCGAAUAGGUGGGAUGCGAGGCACGACGUCAACAAUCGGAGGGGUGAAUAGCGUCACAAUUGGGCUAUACAGGCGCAGCGAGGACACACAGGCUUGUGACCAAGGCGAACUCGGUGAGGGAACUUGACGCGCCCAGAGAAACAGCACGGCACAGUGGAGCAGGGACCAAGCGCCAAUGAGCAGGGAAAUUUCAUGCGCGCGACGAUUAGAAAAGGAGGAACACCGGCGAGUACCACGGAGCAGCGCGCGCGGCGAAGAUCCAAGCGUAAGGGAGCAAAGAGACGGGCGCGUCUUGGCUGGAGAGAAGCGUUGGGAGCAAGCUAAACUGCUGGCAGGCGACCCGGAGCGUGGCGAGCAGGGAGCACGGAGCCGGCGAGACAGCAGGGGAAGAUGCCAUGGGGGCGAGCUCGAGGCAUGGAGAUCCGGCGAGCUGAAGCCUCGUGCAGGAGCUGGGCACAAUGGAGGAAAUCCAGGGCGCGACUGAGAGCGGGGCCGAGCAGGGAGCCGGCAGCACGCUGGGAACCUGAGGAGCGCGCGAUGGUGGAGCCGAGCUACGCGCGGGGAGAGAGAGGAGCGGCUGGGCGCUCAGCAAGGAGGAGCGCCAGGGAGCAGGUGCGCAGAAGAGAGAACGCGCAGGGGAGGAGGAACGCUUGGCGCUGAAAUAUCCCAGGAGAUUUGCAAUGCGGCCAGAAGAAGAUAAGGUCGCGUACACGAAGAAGAAGAUACGUGCGCAGAUGGAAAAAAAUCAGGGUGUGGGCGGCGGGGAGAUAAGGCUGGGAGAUUUUUCUUUUUUUUUCAGAAAUUCACUGAUAUUUUUGAAUCGGGAUUUUUAGCGAUGAUUAAAGAGUCGCCGCGCAAUACGGCAAACAGCUACACACUCUGUCUUUCGAAUCACGAAACGGAAAAAUCCGAGGUUUACGAUUCUGACUACAUUGUGUUUAGAUAGUUUUCGAGACUAUUUUAGACAACAUGCAAACGGAUUGGAUAUCAGUUACAUUAUUUGAGACAACCCUGGUUUGGUCGAAAUCAGAUAAAAAUUUAUCUGGCACCAAAACACAGUUGAUUUAAUUAUCCUACAGUGUGGGCUGAAGAAUAAAUUAGAUCAUAACCUCGUGUACGGUUUUUCUCAGACAAUGCGCGAUACAGAUUAUUUUGCCUCCAACAUUAUAGUCGUCGAGUUUAAAUUAAUUUGCCUGGGAUAAAAUGCGUAAAAGCACAUCGAGCUUCCGAAUUCGUAUUUGCGCGAGCGAUGAAUUUUAAAUAAUCACCGGACGCACCGAUUUUCGGUACAACUAUGUUCUGAACAUCACAAAAAUUUAGGAAGAGGCCGGAUAAAUAAAAAUGAUGUCGAACUCGCGAUAGACAGAACAGAUUAAGAUAGAGAGGCUGUUAUUUAGUUUCGCCUAAUUUUUACGAUCCUCACCAGUAAUCGAUUAUUUGAUCUAACGCCAACGAUCACAUGCUGAGAGGAACGAUUCACUUAAUCAGCUGUCGCAUCAUUCUGUUCGGACAGCGUGGGGCUCCAAAUUUUACGUAAAAUCAGAAGUUUUCUGAUUCUCGCAUUCACUUACGCGCGUGAUUCGAACAGUUCAAAAUUCGCCAGCGAAAGAUUCGAUAAUCCAAAAGCUUCAUGAACCCUUUUUAGCUGUUUAGAUUAUCGAAAUGAAAACGACACCAAACUCGAUAGAUUUUAAUUAGGCACAGGACUCGCAAAUUUUUGGAACAAUUACGUUCCGAAUUUCGCGAAGACUUAGGAAGAGUCUAAAUAGACAGAAACAAAUGUGAUAUUAAAAUCGCGAUAGCGAAGAUGAUUAAAAUUUAGCAUUCGUUUUAUCCACUGAUAUUACGUGCUUAAAUCCAUACUUGUUGUUGAGCGGAAUAUAAACACCAGGGGUGUUACAACCGUCCCCCCUUAAAAGAAUCUCGUUCCGAGAUUCGGAGCGAAAGACUUUUAAGAGUAGAGAAGCAUGUAACCCAUGUCCAUAUCAGCGAUAAUCGUGAGACAUUUCCAAAUAAGGCUAGUGUCUCGGGAUGUUGUUUCUCCCGUGGACAUAACAUGUAUCGCCUUAAGCUAACUUAGAGAUGUCCAUUAGUAGAGACAAUGUCUGCCAGAAGAACACAUAAGGUUCUAUGUGUGCAGUUUGCUUUUUCUGAUGACACUGUACUAUCUAAGUCUGUUGAGCGAGCGGUAAAUACGCGAUUUUGCCCAAACAGAACAGAUGCAACCUCUUGGGUAAAGCACACAGAAAGAGGUUUACCAACAAGUGGUCACGGUAAGUUCAUAGCACACGAGACGAGUGUGAAUGUUGAAUAACAUCACAGUUAACUCGUGUUAGCCAGAGAAUCCAAGUCCAAGAAAAUGAUAGAGACUCGAAAAAUCACGAGCGAAGAGAUCUGUAAAUGCUGACUUCGUGUCCAACCCAUUUUAUCAAGCACUAGGCAUGGCUCGACUUGAUCACACAUGCUGGAAAAGCACACGUGAGGCGAUCGAGGCAUGACUAGAGCGAUGAUUAGGUGGUUAUCAGUCAAUUUAACUUGAUUCUUAUAAUCACUUCCUUAAAAUGGGUUGAACCAAAGUGAGUUUAGACAACUCGAUAAAAUAAUCUCUAAACUCAAUCUUUGUUUACUGGGCAGUUACAAGUUAGUAAAAACUAACUUGUUGAACUACUUUUGACAUUGAGUAAUUUCUCUUAUUACCCAUCGGUAAUCUAAUGGUCGGGAGUUCACUCUUAUUAACAGUUGAUCAUACAUUUGAAUAGAAAUUCAUUUGGUCAUGUUGCUCAUUCGUUUCUUCAUGCAAGAUGAACAGACUUGGUUCGGGAAUACAUGGAUUAAAUAAGAGAGCGAAUGAACAAACGCCUGCAUCUCAACAGCAGUGAAGAUCUCCAUUUUGAGAGUUAAUCAGCUGUCUUUCAACACUAAAAAGCUCCAAGGCUUCACCUUUACAACAAAGGAUGCAAAGGGAACUUGUAUGUUUAAAGUCACCAUCAAAGUCAAGGAAAAGAGACCACACAUGAAAGGGGUAUGCCCUUUUGAUCCAAUAGAGAUGAUAGAUGUUGCUUGAUCACUUGACAAACAACAUAGAAAUUGUUUCAAGGAAGUAGUUUACGGAGGAUCACAUAUCAGUGUAGUUCCUCAAUGGAUCAUGACUAGAGACCUUGAUACCAGCAUCCGAGGAGUAGCACAACCUUGCGUGUACAUUCACAAGGGGCUCUCAUUUUCGCUGCGGCACCAUAAGUCCUUAAUCAUGACACCAUCACCGAACUGGCACAAAUAAAGAAUCUCAUGUAGCAAAAAUAGAUUGUGCCAAGAUAACGCAAUGACAUAGUCUCAUAAUGGAUUACAACUACUAACUGUGAUACCAGCGCGUGCCGAGUAGCACAACCAUGUGUGCGCGCCCACAGAAGGCCCUCGGCUUCGUCACGGCACCAUCAGUUUUAGUCAUAACACCAUUACCAGACGUAACCAAUAAGAAAUCCCGUGCCACACCAAUAGGUUGAGCAAGGGUGACAAUAUACAAAGAGAUACUCCACUUGUUAAGAACGGUUACAAGUAGAGAGCCAAAUAGAUUAUGGCUCGAUGAAAUGAACAAGGUAUGGCCAUAACCUAAGUUUGUUAAUGAAGGGAGUACGAUGGGAGACUGUUAUUUCAGUCCCAAGCAUAUUUCUAUGCCCAUCGCAACGAUUACAAAGUCAAGGGUUAGUAUCUGAUUAGAUACGGAGGGAAAACAAUCAUAAGAUUAAGUUGGUAUGCCUUUGAUAGAUGUGAGGAAACCAAAUGCAUCAAAUUCAAGAAAAUGGUCAAACAUGCCUUUCCUAGGUUAGGUUGAUAAAGUAACAUGGUAAUCCACAAGGAGAGGCCAAAUAUAAUAGAGACCUCAACCUGCAUCAACUGAACAAGGGAAUGGUUCUAGAAGGAGAUGUGGCUUGAGAUUCUUGGUUUAAGCUUGGGUACAUUUUAUGUCCAAUAAGGAAAUUAUCUAGACAUUUGUUUUCAUGUGUUUGGUCAUGGAGGGAUAACGGAAAAUUCAACUUUAGGUCAUGGUUCACUACAUACGAACAUGGCCUAGUUUUGGGUUUAGGCAAACAUGUCACAACCAUUCUAUCGGCACAUCAAGUACAAGGGCAAAUACAUAUGACACAUAAAUAGAUUACCUAAGGAACGUAGAAUACUAUUUCAAUGAAGUUCAUAAUACAACAUUACACUACAUUAUCUACAAUCACUGUUUACUGGAAUAAAGAUGAGAGAAGCAUCUUGGGUGUAUAGGUGACAAAUAAGAUGCAACAAUCAGGAUGCAUGCUCGUCCUAUUCGUCCUCACAAAUUUUUGCCAAUCUAAUGUGGCAAUAGCGUUCUAUCUUGGUGGCAUACGUUCUCUCUUGGUAUUUUGCUAGUCGUCAACUACACAUAUGUUUUCGAAGUUAGUGUACCUGCAGAAAAUUCCAUCACAGCCCAGUUUCCCAAUGAUGCAAUUCACACAUGACAGUUUAUCACAGUUUAUACUCCAUAUAUUGCUAUAUCUCCCAGCUCAUCAUUAAGCGCUGAGCCACGCAUAGGCGCCACUGCCACACUUUAACCAUAGGGCAGCUCAUUAUGGUUACUCACCUUCUUACCUGAGCGUAGGUGCAUCGUUGCAAGUACAUUACACUUCUCAGUAUUCCCAUGUCUAUAUAUCCAUACACAUCCAUGUGGUACUGAAUUCCCAAAAAAAGUAAAUACUCCACAUCGCAGCUUUUAUAUAUACAUAUGUACAACAUGUAUAUAAUCAAGCGCCACAAACAAGCACUUCCCUAGACCGACGUUUGUUUGGUCAUGCUCUCACAUCUCACCUUACCUGAGCGUCGAUCCAUUCACAACUGAAUGGCCUCAAAAUAACAAUACACAUGUAUGCAAUACCCACCCAAUUGUGGGUUACUGGUUUUGAACUAAGCCACCUGAUAGUCCUUAACUUCGGGCUUAACAGAGGAUGUUGCUAGCAUUAUAGUUUUUCAAAACUAUUUUUCAAGGCCAAACAAUGUGUUUAGUCGAAAAUAGGUUUUUCGAAACCAAAACUUUUGUUUUGAAAAUAUGUAUGUGACCGUAUAUACUUAAUCCUGCUUCGAUACCAGCUGUGGCAGAACCUCUCAAGUUAUUGGGCACACGUGCACCUGUCCUUGUCUCAAAGAUCUCGGACUGCUAUGCAUGUGCACCAGAUAACUUAAUAGGAUUCGUCCGAGUGCCCCGAGGACCUCGGAUAAACCACUUACAACCAAGAUCGCAAGAUUAAGUAACACAAAUCACACACACCAAUAGUUUGCAGCGGAAAUCUUAUUACCAAAUUUUACAAGUUACAAAAAUUUUACUUUGUACAUGACCGGAGUGAUUACAAAAGUGAUUCAAAGAAAUAACUUUGAACUAUUAUAAAUUAUUUGUAGUUUUGAAAUAUAUGCUAGCUCAAGUGACCAUCCUCAAUAAGAAGUAUAGAAGAGUUACUUAGACUUAUAAGAAGGCCGAGCCCACCGACACUUAACACCACCAACAGCAGCACAAAGUUAAAACCUGAAAAACAAUAGGGAAUAAAACCUUGAGUAUGGAAUUACUCAGCAAGACUUACCCAACUAAAGAAAAGACUCUCAAGGAUAUGCUGGAUAAAUAGGAAUCAAGGAAAAGGCUUUAGCAAGAAUCAACUUAGAUACUUUUGCAGAAAUAACUUACUAAAGUGAGUCCUUACUUUCAACAUUUUAAUGCUAGAUUAAGUAUUAAUAGACCUUGUUUGCAUCUAGUCUAAUUUCAUCAUCACAUUAAUCAAUCCAACAUGAUUUUUUGCUCAUUAAGAUUCCAUCCAUGACUUAGAUUGCAGGGCAGUGACCAAGUCUUCAUGUCCGAGAAGUAACGGUGAUCCUGAAUCAAUUAAUACCCAGCUGGGGAUCUCCGAUCACACGACAUAUGUAGCACUUAGCCCUUGCAUAUGUCAACUCGCCACCGGGGUUCUUAAGACCAGAUCAGGUUCACGCCAACCGAGAGCACAGAUACACCACCGUCCAUCCUCUUUCCACGGAGGGUACACGCUACUCUCGCCAUCUCUCCACUCCUAUUGCGUGUUAUCUUAUUCUGGUAUUAGUCUACCCGAGGCAAAGCUUAUCCAUGAUGAGGCAUGUGACCAGUUAAAAGGUCCUCGAUCAUCAAGCCUACAUUUAGUAUAAUCCUUAAUCAACCUGGGUAGAACAUCACCUGUUCCUAGCCCAAGUCCCGAUUUAAGUACUUCCAUCCUUAGGAUUGUUUGUGUUCCUUAGGAUGAAAAGAGCAUUAUAGGGAACUUUGCAGUAAGAUCCCACCAUUGCUCCCAAUGAAAAUAUUCUUGCAGGCAGAAGCCAUCCUUCCUCAGGAUAACCCCUGAGCUAGGCAUUAACGCAAAGGACAACCUCUAUCUACAAGAUUUACCUCUAAGCAAGGCUAAGCAAUUUUGUAAAUCAUAUUUUGAUACUUCAUCAGAAGUAUCUAUAAAGGUAUGGAUUUCAAGGUAGGCAAUGCAUCAAAGGGUUUCCAAGCAACUCCUAUAAACCUAAUGCAAAUUUCACUAGACUUAAAGUGUGCAAAAAUUAUUUAAAAACAUAAGGAAGGGGUAGCAUGCACCAGGGCUUGCCUAGAAUAAACACUAGGUUAGUGUUUGUUAGAUGGCGACCACUUGACGACCAUCCUUUUGUCUUGGCAUUUGUUCAGGCAGGUUCGUCCAUCAGCAUCACCAUGCGGAGUAGCUCGCGCUUGGGGUCGACUUGGCUUUGGUUCUCCGCAUCAUGUAGUCAACAAACGUACCUAAAUGAUUUGCAUAAUGCACAUGAAUGCAUAUAAGUAGGAAUAGCACAAAUCUAAAUAGUGCUACGCGAUAGCGAAUUAAACACCUAGUGACGAGGCGUUGUACUGUUUCAUACGGAAACACUAGUUAUCGACGUAUGACUAAGUGCAAUAGCUGUGCCUUUCUAGCUUAACCAAAUCCAAUUCAAACAUCAAGCAGCAAUGAAUAUGAAUACACACUAUGUUAUCCUUAGAUAAAGCAUAACAUCGAGAGUCUAACAAUAUUUAGACUCCUAUUAUUGGACACCCAGAGUGAUAGUAUGUGCAGGAACAAUUUAACUAAUCUUUUAAAUCAUGUUUCUAGAUUAAUUUGAAUUACAUACAAAUUAAAUAAACGCUAAACUUAUCCUUCACAUUAUUAAUUAUACCACAUCGCUCACAAAAGAACUAUUUUAAUUUUAUUUCACAACUCACAUAUUUAUUCAAUCCAUCUAACAAUACGACUACGAGAAUAACGAAUCAGCUUGCCAUACUAAAAUCGUACUUGAACCAUGAAAUCGAUGACACUUCCCAGUCCGCGCAUAACGCCAAAUACGUAACGAGCGACGUACUAGACUGCACUAUUCUACCCGAUCAAAUUUUAUUCUGGCACUAAUUCAGUACUGCGAUUUACGCGCACGUCACUGGCCCACGUUAACAGCGCAAGUAUACCAAACUAACGAGAAAUAUUAAAAUGAAAAGCGAGAGCGACGACAGCUCACCAAUAAUUUAAUCCAUCUUGAAGGCCAUGAGCAUAGCUACGAUUUCCGAUUCUGCUGGGAUUUGUUGCUUCAUCCAAACUCUCAGGAUUUUUUGACGACGCAAGGGAUGUUGACGAGUUAGAGGCUUCCAGGGUCGAGCACGAUAGGGGGCUUCGGAAAAUCGGCGUAGGUAGCACGCAAUUGGAAAACAUGUCAUCAGAGUCGACGAGCACGUCGUGGACACAACACGAAUUGACGACGAGGAGCAAGGGGUGUCACAGCACACAAAGGGCGACACGAAGAUGUUGGGCACCGACUAUGACAUGCGUGCAGAUUCCUGGGACUUGACGGCACGCAAAGCUAUCACCAGCGACGACACGACGAUGGCUUGACACGGAAGUGGACAACGACAACACCAAGGUUAGUGGCAAAGCGAGCGUGACGGUGUUUUAUCGAAUAUGCGGGAUGCGAGGCACGACAUCAACAACCGGAGGGGUGCAUAGCGUCGCAAUUGGGCUAUACAGGCGCAGCGAGGACACACAGGCUUGCGACCAAGGCGAACUCGGCGAGGGAACUUGACGCGCGCAGAGAAACAGCACGACGCAGUGGAGCAAGGACCAAGCACCAACGAGCAGGGAAAUUUCGUGCGUGCGGCGAGCAGAGAAGGAGGAACGCCAGCGAGUACCACGGAGCAGCGCGCGCGAUGAGGAUCCGAGCGUGAGGGAGCAGAGAGAUGGGCGCGUCUUGGCUGGAGAGAAGCGCUGGGAGCGAGCUGAACUGCUGGCAGGCGACCCGGAGCGCGGGGAGCAGGGAGCAUGGAGCCAGCGAGCCAGCAGGGGAAGACGCCAUGGGGGCGAGCUCAAGGCAUGGAGAUCUGGCGAGCUGAAGCUGCGCGCAGGAGCUGGGCACAAUGGAGGAAUCCAGGGUGCGGCUGAGAGCGGGGCCGAGCAGGGAGCCGGCAGCACGCUGGGAACCUAAGGAGCGCGCGAUGGCGGAGCCAAGCUACGCGCGGGGAGAGAGAGGAGCGGCUGGGCGCUCAGCAAGGGGGAGCGCCAGGGAGCAGGUGCGCCAGAAGAGAGAACGCGCAGGGGAGGAGGAACGCUUGGCGCUGAAAUAUCCCAGGAGAUUUGCAAUGCGGCCAGGAGAAGAUAAGGCCGCGUACACGAAGAAGAAGAUACAUGCGCAGAUGGAAAAACAUCAGGGUGUGGGCGGCGGGGAGAUAAGGCUGGGAGAUUUUUCUUCUUUUUUUAGAAAUUCACUGAUAUUUUUGAAUCGGGAUUUUUAGCGACGAUUAAAGAGUCGCCGCGCAAUACGGCAAACAGCUACACACUCUGUCUUUUGAAUCACGAAACCAAAAAAUCCGAGGUUUACGAUUCUGACUACAUUGCGUUUAGAUAGUUUUCGAGACUAUUUUGGGCAACACGCAAACGGAUUGGAUAUCAGAUACAUUAUUUGAGACAACCCUGGUUUGGUCGAAAUCAGAUAAAAAUUUAUCUGGCACCAAAACACAGUUGAUUUAAUUAUCCUACAAUGUGGGCUGAAGAAUAAAUUAGAUCAUACCUCGCGUACGGUUUUUCUUGGACAAUGCACGAUACAGAUUAUUUUGCCUCGAACAUUACAGUCGUCGAGUUCAAAUUAAUUUGCUCGGGAUAAAAUGCGUAAAAGCACAUCGAGCUUCCGAAUUCGUAUUCGCGCGAGCGAUGAAUUUUAAAUAAUCACCGGACGCACCAAUUUUCGGAACAACUAUGUUCCGAACAUCACGAAAAUUUAGGAAGAGCCCGAAUAGAUAAAAAUGAUGUUGAACUCGCGAUAGACGGAACAGAUUAAGAUAGAGAGGCUGUUAUUUAGUUCCGCCUAAUUUUUACGAUCCUCACCGGUAAUCGAUUAUUUGAUCUAAUGCCAACGAUCACAUGCUGAGAGGAACGAUUCACUUAAUCAGCUGGCGCAUCGUUCUGUUCGGACAGCGUGGGGCUCCAGAUUUUACGUAAAAUCAGAAGUUUUCUGAUUCUCGCAUUCACUUACGCGCGUGAUUCGAACAGUUCAAAAUUCGCCAGCGAAAGAUUCGAUAAUCCAAAAGCUUCAUGAACCCUUUUAGCUGUUUAGAUUAUCGAAAUGAAAACGGCACCAAACUCAAUAGAUUUUAAUUAGGCACAGGACUCACAAAUUUUUGGAACAAUUACGUUCCGAAUUUCGCGAAGAGUCUAAAUAGACAGAAACAGAUGCGAUAUUAAAAUCACGAUAGCGAAGAUGAUUAAAAUUUAGCAUCCGUUUUAUCAACUGAUAUUACGUGCUUAAAUCCAUACUCGUUGUUGAGCGGAAUGUAAACACCAGGGGUGUUACACUGAUUCACAGAUUAAACAUCGUCGUAUCACUCAGCAUCAAGAAGAUGAUGGUAUAUGGAGAUUCGCUAGUGGUCAUAAGCCAGAUAAACAAAACCUGGGAUUGCUCGACUGAUUCCAUGGGAAAGUACUGUACAGCCGUCCAUAAUUGGAGGACAAAUUCGACGGAUUGCAAUUCCAUCACGUGGAAAUAGACCGCAACGUGGCAGCAAACGCGUUGUUGAAGCUGGGAUCCAGUCGAGCCUAGGCUCCACCCGGGAUCUUCGUCCAAGAAGUAUCACUACCAAGUAUCCUCUCAGAUCAGAUGGAAGAGUGCAGCACCUUGAGCCAACCAGAAUCAGACCCCAAUGACUGGAGAGAGCCUAUCAUCAGGUACAUAAAAAAUGAAGAAGAACAGGAUGACAAGGCGGCAGCGGAACACAUCACAAGGCAGUUAGCCCACUACACCCUCAUAGGGGACACACUGUACAGAAGAGGUGUGACGGGAGUCCUCAUAAAAUGCAUUCACUCGGCUAUUGGGAAGCAACUGUUAGAUGAAAUCCAUGCCGGGCAGUGCGGAAUACAUGCAGCAUCCAGAACUUUGGUCGGGAAGGCUUUCAGAUCUGGUUUCUAUUGGCCAACAGCGAAGAGUGAUGCUGCCGAGUUAGUCCAAAGAUGUGAAGCUUGCCAAUUCUUAUCAAAGCAACAACAUUUACCUGCACAGCAACUGCAGACCAUUCCUGUAACAUGGCCAUUUGCAUGCUGGGGACUGGACAUGAUCGGACUAGAGAUGGCAAUGGGGCCCCAUUACCCGUUACUCGGCGGGUAAUUACUCCAUUAGGGGACGGAUUUGGUUGCAAAUUUGUACCCACGGGUCUUAUAACGGUAGAAAAAGAACACCCAACGGGUAGAGCGGGUUCGGGCAUGUAUUCGUUAAACCCAUACCCGUAUACCCGUGGGUAUAAAAUACCCAUAAUUUUAGCCUACCUAACCCAUUAAUUUGCCUAGGUGGCUAGGAGCCUAGGUCCAAGCGUCCGGUCGACUGGGAAUCCAAACGUCCAACAUGACUACACGAAGCCACAUGUAUCAGUCCACCAUGCCACCUUCGCUAGAGGCCUGAAUAUGGCGACACACUCGAGCUCCAUCGAUGAUAGCAACCGGUAACUUUUUUCCAUUUUUUUGUCCAUUCUGGUUCCAGAAUCCUCUACAGCCUUACUGAACUGCCAUUGCAAAGGGACUUCGACGACUCUGACCGAUGACCACCCCAGGUUUCCAAGGGCGCAGACUCGAACUCGCAAACUGAUGCUGGGGCUAGAGCUAGAUUCGUCCAAAAUGUCCCUAACCAUGGUAUGAGAAAGAGGGUGCCUAAGCCGAAGAAUCUUCUGUAUUGAUAUCAUCCUCAGGUUUCUACAAGUGAAGGGACUCCCUCUGCCUAUAACGUUCUUCAAUCAAUUGGGUAAAUAAAAUUCAGUUUAAGUAAAUAUACAUGUCGUCCAGAUUUAUGUUUUAUGUCGGAUAAAUAAAAUUCAGUUUAAGUAAAUAUACAUGAUGUCCAGAUUUGGUAUGUUUUUAUGUUGGAUAAAUAAAAUUUAGUUUAAGUAAAAUUUAGUUUAAGUAAUUUACAUGCUGUAAGGGUCUUCAGUUUAAUUAGAUUUUUGCCUAUAUUUGUAGGAUCAUAUUACAACUAGUUUAGAUUAUCUUUUUUCCUGUUCAUGAGUUGAUUAAGAAUUUGCUAUAGGAUGAAAUCACGGCCCGUUGAACUAGAUGGCAAGGAGGAUGUUCAAAUAGUAGAAGAUGAAGAUGAUACUGAAGUUGUUGACUCGGGUUCCAAGAGAAAGCUCGCUUCAGUUGUUUGGAAUGAGUUUACUAGAGUAAAAAUAAGAGGUGUAAUAAAGGCCAAGUGCAAUUAUUGUUUUAAGUAUCUUUCUAUAGGAGCAAACAUUGGAACUAUGCAUCUUCAUGACCAUUUGAAAAUUAGUACUUUGAAAAAGAUUAAGAUGGUUGGAAACAAGACACUUUCACAAUCUUCUUUAAGGUUUGGUUCCUCAAAAAUAGGGGCAAUUUCAGUCGAGAACUAUACAUUUGAUCAAGAGAUAGCUAGAAGCGAACUUCGCGCGAUGAUAGUUCUACAUGAGUAUCCACUGAGCAUGGUUGACCAUGCUGGUUUCCGAAGGUGUCGGGGACCAUAAUUAGGGGUACCCUCAAGACCCCUAAAUCUCAGCUGGUAACCCCCAUCAGCACAAAGCUGCAAAGGCCUGAUGGGUGCGAUUAAGUCAAGGAUCGGUCCAUUCAAGGGACACGAUCGUGCCUCGCCCGAGCCUAGCCUCGGGGAAGGGAAGCCGACCCCGGAGAACCUAUGUCUCGCCCGAGGACCCCCUCCAGCAACGGGCACACUAUCGGCUCGCCCGAGGCCCAGUCUUCACCGAGAAGCAACCUUGGCCACAUCGCCACGCCGACCGACCAAAUCGCAGGGGCAUUUAAUGCAAAGGUGGCCUGACACCUUUAUCCUGACGCACGCCCUCCAGUCGACAGAGCCGAAGUGACCGCAGUCACUUCGCCACUCUACUGACCGGUCUGACAAGAGGACAGCGCCGCCUGCUCCGCUCCGACUGCCGAGCCACCCGACAGAGUGAGGCUGACAGCAGCCAAGGCCGGCCUCGGGCAACAUAGGAAACUCCGCCUCGCCCGACCCUAGGGCUCGGACUCGGGCUCAGCCCCGGAAGACGGCGAACUCCGCUCCGCCCGACCUAGGGCUCGGACUCGGGCUCAGCCCCGGAAGACGGCGAACUCCGCUCCGCCCGACCCAGGGCUCGGACUCGGGCUCAGCCCCGGAAGACGGCGAACUCCGCUCCGCCCGACCCAGGGCUCGGACUCGGGCUCAGCCCCGGAAGACGACGAACUCCGCUUCGCCCGACCCCAGGGCUCUGACAUGGGCUCAACCUCGGAAGACGGCGAACUCCGCUCCGCCCGACCCAGGGCUCGGACUCGGGCUCAGCCCCGGAAGACGGCAAACUCCGCCUCACCCAACCCCAGGGCUCGGACAUGGGCUCAACCCCGGAAGACGAUGAACUCCGCCUCGCCCGACCCGGGGCUCGACCUCGACCUCGGAGGAGCCUCCACCUCGCCCAGCCUAGGGCACGGACCGACCACGUCAACAGGAAGCGCCAUCAUUACCCUACCCCAAGCUGACUCGGGCUACGGGGAAUCAGACCGGCGUCCCAUCUGGCUCGCUCCACCAUGCGAGUAAUGAUGGCGCCCUGCAUGCCCUGUGACGAUGGCAGCUCUCAGCCCCCUUACGGAAGCCAGAGGACGUCAUCAAGGACUCGACAGCCCCAACAGUUGUCCUCCCGCCAGGCUCCAGCACUCCUCCGAUGGCCACGACACCACGCGAACAGGGCGCCAAGACCUCUCCGGCUGCCACGAUGGCAUGUACUUAGGGCGCUAGCUCUCCACCGCUAGACACGUUAGAACAUUGCUACACUCCCCAUUGUACACCUGGAUCCUCUCCUUACGCCUAUAAAACGGAGGACCAGGGCCCUCUUACAGAGGGUUGGCCCGCGCGGAGAAGGACGGGACGGCGCUCGCGCAAGGCCGCUCGCUCCCACUCCCACGUGGACGCUUGUAUCCCCCUACUGCAAGCGCACCCGACUCAGGCGCGGGGCUAACACGAAGGCCGCGGGAUCCACUCUCUCACGCCUGCCUCCCUCCGGCUGCUUCCUUUCCCCCCUUCGCGUUCCGCCUCGCGUCGACCCAUCUGGGCUGGGGCACGCGGCGACAAUUCACUCGUCGGUCCAGGGACCCCCCGGGUUUCGAAACACCGACAGUUGGCGCGCCAGGUAGGGGCCUGCUGCGUGUUGACGAACAGCUUCCCGUCAAGCUCCAGAUGGGCAGUCUCCAGCAACCUUUCCGGCCCGAGACGGUGAUUUGUUUCGGGAAUCUUGAGUUCAUGUCCCUCGACGGCAGCUACGACAUGAUACUCCUUCCCCCGCCACGCGACAGCGACAAUGGCGGUCGACAACCCGCUCGCCGACGGGGAAAUCGACGACGCCUUCCCCACGUGGUGGAAGGACGACAUUCGGGCUUGUCCCGUCCCCUCCCCCGCCGACGGAGGAGGAGGCGGGGCAACCAAGGCCAAGCGGGAAGCGGCACCUCGUUGGCUGUCGAGCGAGUCGACGGCGCCGGCGCCCCAACGGAGGGCGCGUCGGGCAUCGAUCUCGCGUCUGAGACAAAGACGAGCGCCGCCUCCCCGCAACACGCCAAUCUCAAGCAAACGCACGACGCCAGCAUGCUCGCGAAGGACUUGCUGGGCGUCACCCUCGUACCUGAGACAACAGUGCAGUCAGUCCCAGACGCGACCUCGUCACCGCCCGUCGACCGAAAGGUACCGACCGAUUCCCAUCUCACGUCUUUUGGAUUCGGCCUCGACCCACCAAACGACUCCGCUUCGGUGAGCACUCUCAUAGAGGCGAGUCCAAACCCUCUGGGGUAUCGUGUGCGGUCACCCUGGGACCGACUGACGGCCGACUCGACCUACGAGCCCUCGGGGUCCGAGGAAGAUGGCGAGCCCGACCUCUGUUGGGAUUUCUCCGGACUUGGUAACCCCAGUGCCGUGCGGGACUUCAUGACCGCAUGUGACUACUGCCUUUCCGGCUGUUCCGACGGCAGCCGCGGCCUCAACAACGAGGACCGCGGCCCAAGUCGUGAAUGUUUCCACGUCGAUCUAGGGGGUCCCGGCGAAGGCAACCAUCUUGGUAUGCUGGAAAACGGUGAUCCCCCUAGGCCCGUGCCUCGCGUUGACAUCCUUCGGGAGCUAGCUGUGGUCCCCGUCCCGGCGGGGGGUCCUGACCCACAGCUCGAGCAAAUCCGCGAGAGGCAGGCCAGGCUCGACGAGGGAGCAGGAACGCUUGUGCCGAUCCGCCAGGACAUCGGGCAGGAAUGGGCGGUCCAUCCCCCGGCCGGAGAAGCGCGUCAUCUCCCCCAGGACAUCCCGCACCGCAUCGCCGACGACGUCAGGGUGAGGCUGCCGCCGGAUUCCAGUGGAGUCGGCCAGAACCUGGCUGCAGCGGCAAUACUCCUCCGCGCGAUGCCGGAUCCAUCAACCACCGAGGGGCGGCGUAUCCAGGGAGAGCUCAAGAAUCUCCUGGAGGACGCCGCGGUCCGACGGGCCGAAAGCUCUGCCUCCCGAAGGCAGGGGUCCCCCUCGGAACAUCGCGCCGUGACUUCCCGAUUCAUGCGGGAAGCCUCGGUCCACUCCGGGCGCACGCGCAACACAGCGCCUGCGGCCCCGGGUCGCCUCGGCAACGAGCGCCAUCAUCACAGCCGUCAGGCCCACCUCGACGACAGGGCACGCCGAGGCUACCACCCCAGGCGUGGGGGACGCUACGACAGUGGGGAGGAUCGGAGUCCUUCGCCCGAACCACCCGGUCCACAGGCUUUCAGCCGCGCCAUACGACGGGCACCGUUCCCGACCCGGUUCUGAACCCCGACUACUAUCACAAAGUACUCGAGGGAGACAAGACCGGAACUGUGGCUCGCGGACUGUAACACCCCUGGUGUUACUGUAACUAAAACUUGAGCAUGGCAUCAUAAGCAUUGGCAUUGCAUAUGUUUGACACACCUAGAGUGCAUUCACUAGGCAAAAUUUUCAAACAAGUUGUAUUGUUUAAGUGUUUUUGCAAAUAGAACCCUGGAUAGGAAACUUAACCCUAAAUAGGGAUUAAAGGGGUAAGACCUAACCCAAGAUGAGAAAACCUAAAGACUUUAGGGAAAGAGUCAUAAAAUAUCCCCAAAAACAAAGUUGAAUCACAUUUAUGCCCCUGGGAUACCAAAAACCCUAAUUGGAAUCCUGGAAAACCCUAAAACCAAACCCUAGGGACCUAUGAGCAAAAUUAGUCCACUUUUGGGACUACAGUGCAAAAACCAAGUCAAGUAAGUAUCUUAAGUCAUUUGGGCCACUUAUAUGUGAAUUCACAAGCCAAACCCUGAGUUUUGGACUUAAUUGCAAAAUAGACCUCCAUUGAGUUCUAUACUAAGUCUGAAAAACAGUGAUAUUGGCUCAACUUUGGGGCCCUGUAUCUUUUAAAAUAUAGGGUUUUUGCCCUAGGUCACCACAUAAAAACUAUAGAGCAAACUAAGGAGAACAACUUUGCUUAAGGUGGUAAGCAUGGUUGUUAAGAGUAUUUGAGAGAUAAUUAAGCUCAAAGUCGGGCUGUCAGUCCCUCCCUGAACUAAAUUUCCAGGAGCAGUGUGAUGGGAUGAACUUUGAGCUCGAUUUCGAAUGAGAUUCAGUGACUAUUUGAUAGUAAGCUUUGUGGCAAAGUUAAAGAUUAACUAUAGCUCUAUAACUUUGGUGUAGAGAGAUGACCAAGUCGUAAUGCAAAAUUUUGAGAAAAAUGGCCAUAAACCGUGGCUGUCAGGUGCAUUUGACUGAAUUUUCCCCAUGGUACAGUACACGGAUUAGGAUGCCAGCUCGGAUAGCUCAACGCCGGUGAUCCGCGUGACCGGAGUUGGGUUGGGCGACGAGAUUCGUGUCGCGGGGGAGUGGAUUUUGCUGAUCUUGGAAAGAUCUCCUUGCCGAUGGGUAUGAACUACUGUGGCCUCGCUGUCUUCACCUUUUACGCCGGCGACGUGGCUUCGUGGCCAUCGCCGGAGUUGCCAUUCUGCGCCGCGAUGGUGCCACGUUUCCAGCCGUUAAACACGUCGUCACUAGCCGCCCUAGCUCGACGAUGACCGCCGUAGCUUCUCAACCAGUAAGUGCCACUGUAAGCCGCGCCGAUGACUCACCCUGUCAUUCCGGCCGUCGCGCGUCCUCCUCAAAUUCGUGGCCACCGCUUUGCCCUUCUAUAAAUUGAGGGCCAGGCCGGUUGUGCCAUGUAAUCCGCAAGCUAUCGCACCCACUCUCAUCCCUGUUCGUUCACCGUAGCGCUGCAAUUUGGGUUUUCCCCCAAAUUGAAACUCCACGCCGCCGAGAUAGCCCUCCCGUGGCCAGGCGAACCUGGUAUGAUUCUGCGCCUUUGAAUCAUUGUUUUAGUAGCUCUGGGUACCCGUGGUGCUCAUCGUGGCAGCAAAUUGAUCUAUUCAGAUGAGAUCGACUGGGAACGUGAGCUCGACGCCCCGGUUUUCGCCCUGAGCGUGGGCAGAACACUUUCUUGGGGUGCCAUUUGAAAUUGAGGAUCGUUCUUAGGUCACCUUAGGUCCAUAAAGCCUCUCCGAUAGUUAGCUUGAACAAUCAUCGCCGGUCAUGGCCGGUACGAACCACGACAGGGAUGAACGGGGAGCGUGCCGUGACCAGGGAGGUGUUUGGAGAAGAAAUAGAAAGUCGGGGGCAUUUCUGUGAAGUGUCAACGACUAUUUUAAAUAGUGUUUGGAGUUCUUCAGGUUAUUCAAUACUGCAGGGGCUUGUUUGCAAAAUCGCCGGAGCGCGCGGGCGCACGCGCGCGCUUUCCUCUUUGAAUUGGGCCGCUGGGCUGAAAUCAGCCCAGUACUAUUCACUGGUUUCCUUUUUCUUUUAUUUCCAGAGCCAAAACAAUUAUAAAAAUGUAGAAAAAUGGUAAAAUUAUAAAACCAAUUUUCCUAGGUUUCUUAUUUUCCCUAGAAUUUAAUAAAAAUAGUUUUGUGAUUUUUAGGUUAAAUGAGGAAUUUUAAGGCAUUUAAAGUAGUUUAAGAUAGUAGUUCUGGAUUUUUAAAAGAUAAAUGGUAAUCCCAAAAAUGCUCAAAAUUUUUAUAUGAGUUCCUCAUAUUAUUUAGAAGCCUUGGGUAGAAUUUGGGUUGAUUUGGACCUUGUUUGAUCACCAAACCCUAAAACACCCCCCUGCCUUGUGAACUCCUUUACCGACUCUAGAAACUCUAAGUUCUCGGAGUUCCGUGAAGGAAAGUUGUAUUCAAGACUUAGAUAAUAAAUCUUUAUUGUCUUCGCACUCUCAUGAGCAUUACAUGACAUUCAUUCUUAUAUAUAUGUAUGGUUAUGUUAGAACACGAAGAAGAAGUGGAAGUCACCGAAGAAAGGACACCACACCCUCGGAUUCUCAAGCAGGCAACUGCUUCUACUUUGAUAUUUGUGGAUCCGAGCCAGACUCACCUGUUAACGAAGGCAAGCCCCGGUGCAUGCAACCCCUUUCCUUGUGUUUUUAAAUACUUUUCGCACACUUUAAGUCAAGUGAAAUGUGCAUUAGGUUCAUAGGAAUUGCUUGGAACCCUUUGAUGCAUUGCUUUCCUUGAUAUCCAUACCUUUAUUGAUACUUCUGGUGAAGUAUCAAAAUUUGAUUUACAAAAAUGCUUAGCCCUGCUUAGAUCUUGUGGAUAGAGGUUGUCUUUUGCAAUACUGCCUAGCUCAGGGGUUAUCCUAAGGAAAGAUGACUUCUACCUGCAAGAAUACUUUCAUUGAGAGCGUGGUGGGAUCUUACUGCAAAGUUCCCUGUGAUGCUCUUUUCAUCCUAAGGAACAGAAACAAUCCUAAGGAUGGAAGUACUUAAAUCGAAACUUGGGUUAGGAACAGGUGAUGUUCUACCCAGGUUGAUUAAGGAUUGAAUGCGUAUGUAGGCGUGCUGAUCGAGGACCCUUUAACUAGUCACAUGCCUCGUUAUGGGUAAGCCUUGCCUCGGGCAGACUAAGGCCAGAAUAAGAUAACACGAAAUGGGCGUGGAGCGGUGGCGGGAGUAGCGUGUACCCACCGUGGCAAGAGGCUGGUCGGUGGUGUAUCUGUGCUCUCGGUUUGCGUGAACCUGAUCUGGUCUUAAGAACCCCGGUGGCGGGUUGACAUAUGCAAGGGUUAAGUGCUACAUAUGUCAUGUGAUUGGAGAUCAUCAGCUGAGUAUAAUCGAUUCGGAUCGCCGUACCUUCGCGGUUAUGAAGACUUGGUCACUUCCCUACAACCUAAGUCAAGAUGUGAACUUCGUGAACAAAAAUGAUGUUGUACUGAUGAAAUGAUGAAAUUAGACUAGAAGCAAACAGAGUCUAUUAAUACCUAAUCCGACGUUAAAAUGUUGAAAGUAAGGACUCACUUUAGUAAGCUAUUUCUGCAAAAGUAUCUAAGUUGAUUUUUGCUAAAGCCUCUUCUUGAUUCCUAUUUAUCCAGCAUACCCUUGAGAGUCUUUUCCUUAGUCGGGUAAGACUUGCUGAGUAAUUCCAUACUCAGGGUUUAUCCCUCCGUUGUUUUUAGGUGAGGAAGCGACAAACCUUUGUUGCUUUUGCUCCAAGGUGGUUCCUAAUGAAGAUAAGCAAGACUGAAGUACGGGAGGAAAGGAUCCUCCAUUAGGACUUUUUGUGUGAUAACUGUCGGGAGGAGUUUUUGCCUCCCUUGGUAUGUGUAAUAAUAUUAUUCGGCACUCGAUAUAUAGUUCUGGUCUGUAAUAAACAACUUGAUCUUACUUUUUAAUAAAUGUAAACUUAUGUAAUCGCUUCCGCAUAUCUAUAUCUCCGAUGUUCUGUAAUGUCUGCAAGACGGGUGAGACGUUCCUGGAAAGGUAAGGAAAGAUACCGAGCUUGUCGAGUAGUUCAGGGUCACAUACAGGGUUGUCUGAGGUCCGUUGGACAAGGACAACUGUAGGUGGGCCUAAUUACUUGGGAGGUUCCGUCACACGGACUAUCGGCUGGCCUGCCAACUGGGUGGAACGGACGAUGAUAACCUCAUCAUCCGCAACCUCCCCCUGUUCCUCUCCGACACCGCUCGAGCCUGGCUGGAGCACCUGCCCCUGGGGCAGAUCUCCAACUGGGACGACCUGGUCCAAGCCUUCGCCGGCAAUUUCUAGGGCACGUACGUGCGCCCUGGGAACUCCUGGGAUCUCCGAAGCUGCCGCCAGCAGCCGGGAGAGUCUCUCCGGGACUACAUCCGGCGAUUCUCGAAGCAGCGCACAGAGCUGCCCAACGUCACCGAUUCAGAUGUCAUCGGCGCGUUCCUUGCCGGCACCACCUGCCGCGACCUGGUGAGCAAGCUGGGUCGCAAGACCCCCACCAGGGCGAGCGAGCUGAUGGACAUCGCCACCAAGUUCGCCUCUGGCCAGGAGGCGGUUGAGGCCAUUUUCCGGAAGGACAAGCAGCCCCAGGGCCGCCCACCGGAAGAUGUUCCCGAGGCUUCAACUCAGCGCGGCGCCAAGAAGAAGGGCAAGAAGAAGUCGCAAGCGAAACGCGACGCCGCCGACGUGGACCUUGUCGCCGCCGCCGAGUACAAGAACCCUCGGAAACCUCCCGGAGGUGCCAACCUCUUCGACAAGAUGCUCAAGGAGCCGUGCCCCUAUCAUCAGGGGCCCGUCAAGCACACCCUUGAGGAGUGUGCCAUGCUUCGACGACACUUCCACAAGGCCGGGCCACCCGCGGAGGGUGGCAAGGCCCUCGACGACGCAAAGGAGGAAGAUCACAAGGCAGGAGGGUUCCCCGAGGUCCGCGACUGCUUCAUGAUCUACGGCGGGCAAGUGGUGAACGCCUUGGCUCGGCACCGCAAGCAAGAGCGUCGGGAGGUCUGCUCGGUAAAGGUGGCGGCGCCAGUCUACCUAGACUGGUCCGACAAUCCCAUCACCUUCGAUCAGGCCGACCAUCCAGACUACGUGCCGAGCCCGGGGAGAUACCCACUCGUUGUCGACCCCAUCAUCGGCAACGUCAGGCUCACCAAGGUCCUCAUGGACGGAGGCAGCGGCCUCAACAUCAUCUACGCCGAGACCCUUGGGCUUCUGCGGAUCGAUCUGUCCUCGGUCCGGACGGGCGCUGCGCCUUUCCACGGGAUCGUCCUCGGGAAGCGCGUUCAACCCCUUGGACAACUUGACCUACACGUCUGCUUCGGGACGCCCUCCAACUUUCGAAAGGAGACCCUCACGUUCGAAGUGGUCAGGUUUCGAGGAACCUACCACGCAGUGCUGGGGAGGCCAUGCUACGCCAAGUUCAUGGCUGUCCCCAACUACACCUACCUCAAGCUCAAGAUGUCGGGCCCCAACAGGGUCAUCACCGUCGGGCCCACGUACCGACACGCGUACGAAUGCGAUGUGGAGUGCGUGGAGUACGCCGAGGCCCUCGCCGAAUCCGAGGCCCUCAUCGCCGACCUGGAGAGCCUCUCUAGGGAGGCGCCCGACGUGAAGCGCCACGCCGGCAACUUCGAACCAGCGGAGACGGCCAAGUCCAUCCCUCUCGACCCCCGCAACGACGCCUCCAAGCAGAUCCGGAUUGGUUUCGAGCUCGACCCCAAAUAGGAAGCAAUGCUCAUCGACUUUCUCCGCACGAAUGCCGACGUUUUCGCGUGGAGUCCCUCGGACAUGCCCGGCAUACCGAGGGAAGUCGCCGAGCACUCUCUGGAUAUCCGAGCUGGGGCCCGACCCGUGAAGCAACCUCUGCGCCGAUUCGACGAAGAAAAGUGCAGGGCCAUAGGCGAGGAGAUCCACAAGCUACUGGCGGCAGGGUUCAUCAAAGAGGUAUUCCAUCCCGAAUGGCUUGUCAACCCUGUGCUUGUGAGAAAGAAAGGGGGAAAUGGCGGAUGUGUGUAGACUACACUGGUCUAAACAAAGCAUGUCCGAAAGUUCCCUACCCUCUGCCUUGCAUCGAUCAGAUCGUGGAUUCCACUGCUGGGUGCGAAACCCUGUCUUUCCUUGAUGCCUACUCAGGGUAUCACCAGAUCAGGAUGAAAGAGUCUGACCAGCUCGCGACUUCAUUCAUCACACCCUUCGGCAUGUACUGCUAUGUUACAAUGCCGUUUGGUUUGAGGAAUGCGGGGGCAACGUACCAGUGAUGCAUGAACCAUGUGUUUGGCGAACACAUCGGCCGAACGGUCGAUAGUCAAGACGAGGAAGGCCUCCGACCUCCUUUCCGACCUUGAAGCGACAUUCCGAUGUCUCAAGGCGAAAGGCGUGAAGCUUAAUCCCGAAAAGUGUGUCUUCGGGGUCCCCCGAGGCAUGCUCUUGGGGUUCAUCGUCUCCGAGCAGGGCAUCGAAGCUAACCCGGAGAAGAUUGCAGCCAUCACCAGCAUGGGGCCAAUCAAGGACUUGAAAGACGUACAGAGGGUCAUGGGAUGUCUUGCGGCUCUGAGCCGCUUCAUCUCGCGCCUCGGCGAAAGAGGUCUGCCUCUGUACCGCCUCUUAAGGAAGACCGAGUGCUUCGCUUGGACUCCCGAGGCCGAGGAAGCCCUCGGGAACCUGAAGGCGCUCCUCACGAACGCGCCCAUCUUGGUGCCCCCCGCUGCCGGAGAAGCCCUCUUGAUCUACGUCGCCGCAACCACCCAGGUGGUUAGCGCCGCGAUUGUGGUUGAGAGACGAGAAGAAGGGCAUGCAUUGCCCGUCCAGAGGCCAGUCUACUUCAUCAGUGAGGUACUGUCCGAGACCAAGAUCCGCUACCCACAAAUCCAGAAGCUGCUGUACACGGUGAUCCUAACACGGCGGAAGUUGCGACACUACUUCGAGUCUCAUCCGGUGACUGUGGUGUCAUCCUUCCCCCUGGGAGAGAUCAUCCAGUCCCGAGAGGCCUCGGGUAGAAUUGUGAAGUGGGCGGUGGAGAUCAUGGGCGAGACGAUCUCGCUCACCCCUCGGAAGGCCAUCAAGUCCCAGGUCUUGGCGGACUUCGUGGCUGAAUGGGCCGACACCCAACUCCCGACGGCUCCGAUCCAACCAGAGCUCUGAACCAUGUUUUUCGACGGGUCGCUGAUGAAGAUGGGGGCCGGCGCAGGCCUCCUCUUCGUCUCGCCCCUCAGGAAGCACCUACGCUACGUGCUACGCCUCCACUUCCCAGCGUCCAACAAUGUGGCAGAGUACGAGGCUCUGGUAAACGGGUUGCGAAUCGCCAUCUAGCUAGGGGUCCGACGCCUCGAUGCUCGCGGUGACUCGCAGCUCGUCAUCGACCAAGUCAUGAAGAACUCCCACUGCCGUGACCCGAAGAUGGAAGCCUACUGCGAUGAGGUUCGGCGCCUGGAAGACAAGUUCUACGGGCUCGAGCUCAACCACAUCGCCCGACGCUACAAUGAGACUGCGGACGAGCUGGCUAAAAUAGCCUCGGGACGAACAACAGUUCCCCCGGACGUAUUCUCCCGAGACCUGCAUCAACCCUCCGUCAAGACCGAGGACACGCCCGAGCCCGAGGCACCUUUGGCUCCGCCCGAGGCACCUUCGGCUGAGUCCAAGGUAUCCUCGGCUCAGUCCGAGGUACCCUCGGCCCAGUCUGAGGUACCCUCGGCACGAUCCGAGGUACCCUCGGCUCAGCCCGAGGUACCCUCGGCCCCCGAGGGUGAGGCACUGCGUGUCGAGGGGGAACAGAGCGAGGUCACGCCUAAUCAAAGCUGGCAGACCCCGUACCUGCAAUAUCUCCACCGAGGAGAGCUGCCCCUCGACCAAGCCAAAGCUCGGCGGUUGGCGCGGCGCGCCAAGUCUUUCGUCUUGCUGGGAGAUGGGAAGGAGCUCUACCAUCGCAGCCCCUCAGGCAUCCUCCAGCGAUGCAUUUCCAUCGCCGAAGGCCAGGAGCUCUUGCAAGAGAUACACUCGGGGGCUUGCGGCCAUCACGCAGCACCUCGAACCCUCAUUGGAAACGCCUUCCGACAAGGAUUCUACUGGCCGACGCUACUAGAAUUGUCCGCACCUGCGAAGGGUGUCAGUUCUAUGCGAGGCAGACCCACCUGCCCGCUCGGGCUCUGCAGACCAUACCCAUCACCUGGCCGUUUGCUGUGUGGGGUCUGGACCUCGUUGGCCCCUUGCAAAAGGCACCCGGGGGCUACACGCACCUGUUGGUCGCCAUCGACAAAUUCUCCAAGUGGAUCGAGGUCCGACCCCUAAACAGCAUCAGGUCCGAACAGGCGGUGGCGUUCUUCACCAACAUCAUCCAUCGCUUUGGGGUCCCGAACUCCAUCAUCACCGACAACGGUACCUAGUUCACCGACAGAAAGUUCCUGGACUUCUGCGAGGAUCACCACAUCCGGGUGGACUGGGCUGCCGUGGCUCACCCCAUGACGAAUGGGCAAGUGGAGCGGGCUAACAGCAUGAUCCUGCAAGGACUCAAGCCUCGGAUCUACAACGACCUCAACAAGUUCGGCAAGCGGUGGAUGAAGAAACUCCCCUCGGUGGUCUGGAGUCUGAGAACAACGCCGAGCCGAGCCACGGGCUUCACACCGUUCUUUCUAGUCUAUGGGGCCGAGGCCAUCUUGCCCACAGACUUGGAAUAUGGUUCCCCGAGGGCGAGGGCCUACACCGACCAAAGCAACCGAGCCAACCGAGAAGACUCACUGGACCAGCUGGAGGAGGCUCGGGACAUGGCCUUACUACACUCGGCGCGGUACCAGCAGUCCCUGCGAUGCUACCACGCUCGAGGGGUUCGGUCCCGAGACCUCCAGGUGGGCGACCUGGUGCUUCGGCUGCGACAAGACGCCCGAGGGCGGCACAAACUCAUGCCUCCCUGGGAAGGGUCGUUCGUCAUCGCCAAGGUUCUGAAGCCCGGAACGUACAAGCUGGCCAACAGCCAAGGCGAGGUCUACAGCAACGCUUGGAACAUCCAACAACUACGUUGCUUCUACCCUUAAGAUGCUUUCAAGUUGCUCGUAUACCUCGUUCACACACCAAGUCUGGUCGUCAAGGAAGGGUCAGCCUUGCCUCGGCAAAGCCCGACCCUCCCUCGGGGGCUAGAAGGGGGCAACCCCCUCUGCGUCAAAAUUUUCCUCGAAAAAAGAAAAAAAUCUUUUCUGCCAGAAUGCCUUUCGUGCUCUUCGAUUACUCCAAAAGUGGAUCCUGAAAACGACAGAGUACACGUAAGCAGCCAAGGCUGACCGAGCCGAGGGACUCCUACGCCUCCGGGAUACGGAUACCUCACUCAUCACCUUCUGCGAUAAGUAACUCGCGCUCGGAUAAGUGACUCCACGGACCGAACAAGUCUUCAUGCUCGAGAGCUCCUCUGCCGAAAUGAUUUUUCGGGCCUUCUUGACUGCGUCGGUAACAGAACCCUAUGGACGAGUAAGAGCGCGCGUAAGCAGCAAGGCCGACCGAGCCGAGGGAUUCCUAUGCCUCCGGGAUAUGGAUACCUCACUCAUCGCCUUCUGUGAAAAGCAACUCUCGCCUGCACAAACAAUUCUGUUGCCAACAAAUGAGUCCGGAUACUCGAAACAAGAGGAAAAGAAACGCAACUUUACAACACGACGACGGUGUGUUUAGGCCUCGGCGGCCGCAGAAAACAUACACACACUACAAGACAACGUGAUCCUGCAGGCUCGGACGUCGACAGCCGAAGGGGGCAGCAGCACCCUCGACAUCAACUACACCUUCGACGGGGUCUGACCUAGCCUCGGACGGCGACGUGGUCGGAGGGCCCCCACUCUGAAGGACGACAUCAGCACCACACCCGGGCCAUCGCCGCCAGGGUCUUCUUCGAGAAUCCGGCCCGAGCAGGUGGCUCGGCCGGCCACCUCGAGGCCUCGGCCAGCUGUCCCCCAAAGACAUCAGCUCAGCUUGUGGCCUCGGCAGCUCAACUUCGGCGUCGGUUCCACCAGUGGACGACCCGGCCAGGCUCUGGCCAACCACACCUCCUUUUCGAAGCCAACUCUGCCUUCGUCCGUGUCCGUACUGACACCGCUACCUCCGGCUUCGGCUCAUCGAAGGGCGGCCGAGGGGUUCCUUUAACUAAGCAAGAGGGGCCUCGGACAGCAAGGCCGACCGAGCCGAGGGACUCCUACUCCUCUGGGAUACGGAUACCUCACUCGUCACCUUUGCACGAGGCAACUCACGCUCGGUGAAGCGGUUCAGAUAAUCGACAAGGCGAGUCUCAGUGCUCGAAAUGAAGAAAAAACACGGCUCCGUGCCGAAAAUACAUACACGUUCAGGCCUCGACAGCCGCAUUGAAAAAAACACCGGCACUUAAGGUGCCUUUACAAACGGAACUCUGGUUCCACCUCCGCAGGUACGAAUAACCCCACGCGAUUGGGGGGGGGCCUGCGGAGCAACAGAAGACCGACGAACGGCUCGUCGUCGCCCGCCCCGGCAGCGGCAACGACGACGACUUCUGCUCUGGAGGGCCGAACAGCAGCAGCGAUGACCUCAGGGCAGAUGCUGCUGCCAUGAGGCCCUCGCCCAUGCCCCCAACUCGAGAGGCAAGGACGGACAGAAGGCCGUAGAGUUGGAGGUCAGUCCGUGGGUGGCGCCGGCUAGCUCGUCGGCGGCGGAACCUCUUCCAGCUGCCGUGGCGGAAGGCAGCACCAGGAGCGGCUCCGAAGCCGCUCGGCUCAGAGAGCCGGGCACGCGGCAGCUGCCCAUGCCACGAACGGCGGACGCCCUUCCCCCCGAUCACUGAGGGGAGGACGGGCCGCCGCCCGCACCGGGACCGACCCCAACUCGGCACACUCCCCUCCCCAGCACUGAUGAUGAACAUCCUUGAAGCUCAGGGAGGGGCAGAGGCCGCAGCCCGGCUCGCUUCUCCCUGCCAUCAAGUUGGAGGUCACCGUCUUGGGUGACCACCGGCGAGGGGAUGCAGCCGGGCUGCAUGAUGAAAAUCCUUGAAGCCGAAUGAUGGCUGAAAGGUACCAACUUCCACGAAGUUGCGUUCCUCCGACGACAAGGUGGAAGGAUUGCGGGCGUCCCCCAUCCGGGGGGCUCGGAAGGUGGAAAGGCACGAUGCAUGAAGGGAGCGCGAAGACAUGGUUGCCCUCCAAGGGGGUCGCCCCCCUUUUAAAGGCGACUCUCCCCACUUGCGCCCUCAACCGUUGCGGGUUGAGUCUUCUCCAACACGCUCCAAGAUUCUCCCCCCCCCCCCACGGCGCGGGGGCUGGGUCCCACACGUCAUGCAAGCCGGUCCAGGGGAGAAGAAGCCAAACCGCCACGCGCGCGGUGCAUGCAACCACCCGGCGGUUACAAGCACUCCUCCACUUUCGCCCAGACCAGCGGGUGAAAGGGCAGACAGCCAUGCAGGCGGCAUGCAACCGUGCCAAGUGGGCGUGCCCCUUCAACUCCAACGCGCCCAGCAUGGAGGUCCAGGCCCACGCGUCAUGCAACCGGCAUGCCGGUUGCUACAUGCGAGCAACUGCACCGCCACUCGCGCCACUACUGCGCCUCCUCGACUGUGGAGUCAAUACCGCGACUCGAGGCAACCCUGCAGUGCCAGCCAAGCGCGACGGUCAAAUGCGGUCAAAAAUGGGCCGGCAGUAAUGGCGGUGAUAGGCGGGCAGGAGCAGCGGUCACGUCGUCAGCCAAGCUUACGUCCCAUCCAGGGGCAGCGAGGGAGCCCUCUCUCACGGCGUGAAGACGGUGCGCCCGUGAUCCGUUCCUCGAACGGCUCGCACACGCGCAACGACCGCCUCGCGAACCGCUCGCCCCGUCGCAUUAACUCCGCGGCAGGACAGGCGGCGCCUCAGGCGGGAGAAGCAAGCGACGCUUCGCCUUCGCCAUAAUAACCGCGUAAAAAAAAAGGUACGCCACAUCAUUCGACUUCGUAUCCUUUUCCUUUUCCUCUUUCUCUCUCUUACAACAGGGACCGAAAAAGGGGGAUACCCCGAGAAGGACCCUUCUCCGCGAAGGAAACAGGCUCCGAGCCUCCCUACUGAUCAGAGGUUUGAAGGCUGGCCCCUCGGAGGGGUUCAACGGCCGCCUCAGAUCGAUUGGGUUCUACGCCCACUACUGGUCAGAGGUUCGAUGGCUGGCCCCUCGAAGGGUUCAACGGCCGCCUCAGGCCACUCGGGCUCCGCGCCCAUUACUGAUCAGGGGUUCGUAGGCUGGCCCUCGAAGGGUUCACAGUCGCCUCAGACACAAAGCGAGGGAUGACCCUGGGUACGUUCGAUACAUAACCAAGGCUCGAGCUACGCUCCCGAGGUACCCUAGGACAUUUCCGAGACCAGCGGGAGCGAUCUUGUAACGGAAUCCCAUCAGAGGGAGGCAUCAAUCCCUCGGACCCCGUCAAAGGGGACCGGGUCCGGCAGAUCACUCGUAGGUACUUUUGGAGCGCGCCUCCGGGCCUCUAGCCGACCCCUAGCAAAUGGGGCACGGGCGUCCGCUCGGAUUACCCGCCAGCAGCUCACCGGAAACACCAUGUCCGGCGCCCUCCGAGGGCAACAUGGCGCUUUCCCCCUCCUCCUUGCGGAAAGGCGACGCAGAGGCAUAUGUAAAAAAGACGAGUCUGUCCUUGACCGUCCUCUCGCCCUGUGCAGAGGCUCGGGGGCUGCUCUCGCAAACCAGGCUCCGGCCAAACCGUUGAUAGCGUCAACAUACCAGCCCGAGAACUUGGGACCCGACCGUGCACUCGGGCUACGGCCAGCUCGCAUGAGGGAACAACUAGACCAGCCGAAGCGUUGCGAAACGCACUAAGACCUCGAAGGAGUAAAACUACUCCUCCGAGGCCUCGGGGGCUACACCCGGCGGGUGCGCUCGCGCGCACCCACCGGAACAGAAUGCAACCGAAAAAAGGCUGGUCCCCUUGCAAAAAAGUGCGGCAAAAGCCUCCAAGCGAGUAUUAGUACUCCCUUGGAGGCUCGGGGGCUACUGUCGGGGACCAUAAUUAGGGGUACCCUCAAGACCCCUAAAUCUCAGCUGGUAACCCCCAUCAGCACAAAGCUGCAAAGGCCUGAUGGGUGCGAUUAAGUCAAGGAUCGGUCCAUUCAAGGGACAUGAUCGUGCCUCGCCCGAGCCUAGUCUCGCGCAAGGGAAGCCGACCCCGGAGAACCUACGUCUCGCCCGAGGACCCCCCUCCAGCAACGGGCACACUAUCGGCUCGCCCGAGGCCCAGUCUUCACCGAGAAGCAACCUUGGCCACAUCGCCACGCCGACCGACCAAAUCGCAGGGGCAUUUAAUGCAAAGGUGGCCUGACACCUUUAUCCUGACGCACGCCCUCCAGUCGACAGAGCCAAAGUGACCGCAGUCACUUCGCCGCUCUACUGACCGGUCUGACAAGAGCACAGCGCCGCCUGCGCCGCUCCAACUGCUGAGCCACCCGACAGAGUGAGGCUGACAGCAGCCAAGGCCAGCCUCGGGCGACAUAGGAAACUCCGCCUCGCCCGACCCCAGGGCUCGAACUCGGGCUCAGCCCCGGAAGACGGCGAACUCCGCUCCGCCCGACCCAGGGCUCGGACUCGGGCUCAGCCCUGGAAGACGGCGAACUCUGCUCCUCCCGACCCAGGGCUCGGACUCGGGCUCAGCCCCGGAAGACGGCGAACUCCGCUCCGCCCGACCCAGGGCUCGGACUCGGGCUCAGCCCCAGAAGACGGCGAACUCCGCUUCGCCCGACCCUAGGGCUCGGACAUGGGCUCAACCCCGGAAGACGGCGAACUCCGCUCCGCCCGACCUAGGGCUCGGACUCGGGCUCAGCCCCAGAAGACGGCGAACUCCACCUCGCCCGACCCCAGGGCUCGGACAUGGGCUCAACCCCGGAAGACGACGAACUCCGCCUCGCCCGACCCGGGGGCUUGACCUCGACCUCGACCUCGACCUCGGAGGAGCCUCCACCUCGCCCAGCCUAGGGCACAGACCGACCACGUCAACAGGAAGCGCCAUCAUUACCCUACCCCGAGCUGACUCGGGCUACGGGGAACCAGACCAGCGUCCCAUCUGGCUCGCUCCACCAUGCGAGUAAUGAUGGCGCCCCGCAUGCCCUGUGACGACGGCGGCUCUCAGCCCCCUUACGAAAGCAAGAGGACGUCAGCAAGGACUCGACAGCCCCAACAGCUGUCCUCCCGCCAGGCUCCAGCACUCCUCCGACGGCCACGACACCACGCGAACUGGGCGCCAAGACCUCUCCGGCUGCCACGAUGGCAUGUACUUAGGGCGCUAGCUCUCCACCGCUAGACACGUUAGCACAUUGCUACACUCCCCAUUGUACACCUGGAUCCUCUCCUUACGCCUAUAAAAGGGAGGACCAGGGCCCUCUUACAGAGGGUUGGCCCGCGCGGAGAAGGACGGGACGGCGCUCGCGCAAGGCCGCUCGCUCCCACUCCCGCGUGGACGCUUGUAUCCCCCUACUGCAAGCGCACCCGACUCAGGCGCGGGGCUAACACGAAGGCCGCGGGAUCCACUCUCUCACGCCUGCCUCCCUCCGGCUGCUUCCUUUCCCCCCUUCGCGUUCCGCCUCGCGUCGACCCAUCUGGGCUGGGGCACGCGGCGACAAUUCACUCGUCGGUCCAGGGACCCCCCGGGUUUCGAAACACCGACAGAAGGUUUGUCAGUGCUCUUCAGCCACUGUUCAAGAUUGGGACUAGGAACACAAUAAGGUAUACAACUUUCUUAUUUACAUAAAAAAUUUAUGACACUAUACUUUGUUGUAGUGUAAUGUAUUUCUUUAUUUAUUUUAGAAAGGAUAUUUUGAUGCAAUAUGAAGCAGAGAAGAAGAAAGCCAUUGAAUAUAUGGCUGCAAUUAAUUCUAGAGUGGCUAUUACUACUGAUUUAUGGACUUCUGAUAACCAGAAGAGAGGAUAUAUGGCCAUCACUGCCCACUUCAUUGAUGAAUCUUGGACUCUUAGAAGCAUUAUCAUGAGGUACUUAAUGUGACAUCUAGUUCACUAUUCACAUAUAUGUUUAUUGAGUAACAUAUUGUUCGCUAUUCACAUAUAGGUUCAUUUAUGUUCCUGCCCCUCAUACUACUGAUGUCAUAUGUGAAGAACUCUAUGAAUCUUUGGUUGACUAGAAUCUUGAUGAGAAGAUAUCCACAGUUACUCUUGAUAAUUGCACUACGAAUGAUGCUGUUAUUCCAGCUCUUGUAAGAAGAAUCGGCAAAACUAAGCUUCUGAAUGAUGGCAAGGUACUACACAUGCGUUGUUGUGCUCAUAUUCUCAAUCUGAUUGUUAAAGAUGGAUUAGAGCUGUUGAAAAAGACUAUUGAGAAUAUUCGUGAAAGUGUAGCUAAGUUUGUUAAAGUUAAUAUGAAAAAGAAGAUCAAUCUUGAUUGCAAGCCUCGAUGGAACUCCACAUUCAACAUGAUUAACAUUGUAUUGCCUUACAAGGAUGUUUUCUUAAGAGCUAGCCAUGUUGAUAAACAAUAUACUUGCUUGCCUAGUGAAGAAGAAUGGAAUUUUAUAGCUGAUGUAGUAGAAAGGCUUUGCAUGUUUAAUGACAUAACAGAAUUAUUCUCUGGAACUCAAUAUGUCACUGCAAACAUUUAUUCCAUGAAGAUCUGUGAGAUUAGAGUGAAAAUUAGACAAUGGUCAACCCGUGGUAAUCCAUUAGUACAAACCAUGUCAUCUAAUAUGAUUGCCAAGUUUGACAAGUACUAGUCUGAUAUUCAAGGACUAAUGGGUAUUGCAACUGUUCUUGAUCCUUGACUCAAAAUUUUAAGCUUGCUGAUGUGUUUUGAAUGGUUACUUGGUAUGACUGGACAAGUGUGUGAGGAUAAAGUUGGUAUACUCAUGGAUUUGCUACGUGAUCUAAUGCACGAUUACCAUGUGUAUGUGGAAGAGGUUGAAGAUACCACUAAUUCAUCAGCAACUUCUAUCAAUAACAUGGAGUUCUUAUCUUCCUUCAGUGCACAUGUGGCAAGUGCAAGGCCAGAAUCUUUGAUGUUUAAAUCUGAGCUAGAUCGGUAUUUAGAGGAUGGACUAGUCCCAUUUGAUACUAAAGGUUUUAAUGUUUUAGAUUGGUGGAAGGUGGCUGGAACUCGUUAUCAUACUUCAAGACGGAUAGCUAGGGAUAUUUAUGCAAUUCCUGUGACUACAGUUGCAUCUGAAGCUGCUUUCAGCACAAGUGGAAGAGUUCUUAGUGAGCAUCGCAGCAGGCUCACUCCUCACUCCUCAGGUGUUGGAGGCUUUAAUGUGCUCGCAAGAUUGGUUUCGUAACAAGUACAAAGGUAUAUGUAUUACUAUUACCAAUACCAAAUGUGAGUUUUCUUACUUUAACUAUAACUGAUUCUACAUAUUCUUUUGUAGUUGAUGACACAGACAUAAAAACUGCUACAUUUUGGUCUUGUCUCCAAGAUAUUCAAGAAGCAUGCAUUCAAGAGCUUGAAAGCUAAUCCAUCGAGAUUCAAAUAGAAGCCAUCUUUCAGCAAGUGAACAUUUCAGUUUUUGAUGCAUGUAUAUACCGUGGAACAUGUAAACAUGCAUUUUUAUUGUAUUAGUAUUGUAGAUUUUGGUGUGCUGAAAGAAUGCACUAACAUAUAUUAUUAUUGGUUCAACAAUGACUAUCUCUGAAAAUAUAUAUUAAAAUCGAAUACUAUUCGUAUCUGUUAUGUUUGUGCAUUUUUAUUAUAAGGUAUGGGUACCCAUCGGGUAUAGAAUACCCACACGGGUAUGGGUAUGGGUGUGCAUUUAUACCCGUGCACGGGUACGGGUAUUGGACUGGGGAGUUUUUAGUCUGAUGAGGCUAGGUCUGGUGUAGCAAAACCCGGUAGGUCUUCACCCGUUGCCAUCUCUAGAUCGGACCUUUCAAGAAAGCUCAGGGAGGCUAUACUCACGUGCUGGUUGCCAUUGACAAAUUCACAAAAUGGAUAGAGUACAAGCCCAUUGCCUCUUUGACCUCAGCCAAGGCAGUGGAAUUCAUACAAGACAUAAUAUUCAAGUUUGGGAUACCAAAUAGCAUCAUUACCGACCUGGGAUCCAACUUCACCAGCUCUGAAUUCUUUGACUUCUGUGAGCAGCGGAGCAUCCAGAUUAAGUAUGCAUCAGUAGCGUAUCCAAGAGCCAAUGGCCAAGUAGAAAGAGCCAAUGGGGUGAUACUGUAAGCACUCAGGAAGAAAGUAUUUGAUAAGAAUGAAAAACUUGCAGGAAAAUGGAUCAGAGAGCUACCAUACGUGGUUUGGAGCCUGAGAACUCAACCCAGUCGAGCUCUGCAUGGAAAUACCCUGUUCUUCAUGGUUUAUGGGUCAGAGGCAGUGCUGCCCGCCAACGUAAUAUUCGGGGCGCCGAGGUUGGCUUUCGAAAGCAUAGCUGAAGCAGAAGCUACCAGGCUAGAAGAUAUUGAUGUGCUGGAGGAAGAACGGUUGAACAUAGUAAUUCAGUCGGCUAGGUACCAGCAGACCUUGAGGCGCUAUCAUGAUAAAGUCGUGUGACACCGGUCCUUUGUUGUGGGAGACUUGGUCCUUCGCCGAAUUCUAACGGGGGAAGGACGGCACAAGCUAUCACCACUAUGGGAAGGGCCAUUCAUCAUAUCAGAGAUCACUCGGCCAUGAUCAUACCGGCUUACUCAAAUGGAUGGCACGGAAGUUGGGAACUCAUGGAACAUAGAGCACCUCAGAAAGUUCUAUCCCUAGCGAGGCCUCAAAAAUUCUCGAAGAAACUUUGUACUUUGUAAUCUGGGGACUUCAUCAUCAAGAAAGUUUUCGUUUUCAAAGGCAUUCAGACUCUUGACUUUCAGCUAACUUCGAUUGGAUUGGACUUGAAAUCAGCGCGCUUACUCGACUUAGGGUGACCACUAUACCCUACUAAUGGAGCAAUCGGCUUAAGUCGGCGACGACUUAAGACGGUGCGACAUGCUCACUCUUACUCGACUUAGGGUGACCACUAUUCCCUACUAACAGAGCAAUCGGUUUAAGUUGAUGACGACUUAAGUCGGUGCGACAUGCUCAUGCUUACUCGACUUAGGGUGACCACUAUACCCUACUAACAGAGCAAUCGACUUAAGUCGAUGACGACUUAUGUCGGUGCGACAUGCUCACGCUAACCUUACUUAGGGUGACCACUAUACCCUGCUAACGGAGCAAUCGGCUUAAGUCGGCGAUGACUUAAGACGGUGCGACAUGCUCACACCUACUUAUCUUAGGGCGAUCAUUAUGCCCUACCAGCCAGGCGAUCGGCUUAAGUCAGAAAAUGCCUCUAAACCAGCAUGGCACACUUGCUUUCGUGACGAUCAGGGUGACUACUAUACACUAACAGCGAAACUAUUAGCUCUUCAGGAAAAAAGAAUGUUUUACUUGUUGGCACCAGGGGCGUGUUCUAGCACCCUGUCCACAAAAAAUUCGAGUUCUAAUACACCGUCACACGCACAUAGAAUUCAUAUUACAUCCUCUAAAAAAGAUGCUAACUCAAUAAGAAAGAGUGCUUUGCACGACAUCACUGCAUUGAAACAUCUUUGCUAGCAAUGUCUUUCACAGGUGAUACGGAAGAAGAAGGAUGACUUGAAGCAUCGGGCGCGACCUUGACAUCGGCGACAAUAUCGUCAGGCACCACGACGCCGGGCCUCGCGAACGGCUUUGUCCAUAGCCUUGUCACGCUGAGCCUUCAAGACGGUGCAGCUGUCCUCUAAAGCUUUAAGAGCCAGUCGAGCGGUCUCUAACUCCUGUGCAACAAGCUUCUUGGAAGCACGCAGAUCCUUUAUGGUGGAAUCCUUGGUCGAUAACAGUUGUCCAAGUCGCAGAACUUCAUCUUGGGAUAUCUGCAGCUCAUGGCGGUGAUGAUCUAGGUCAGACAUGGUGAAGUGGUGGCUCCUCUCCAAGAUGGUCAAGGAGUUACUAGUGUCACGGUACAGCCUGUCCAAAUUGUCACGAGAGGCAACGAGUGCUCGCUUCUCCUCCUACGAACAGAAAGCAACAUUCAGUACUGAAAGUCGCCUUGAGGGGGGUGGAUAGGCGGAAUAUGAAAACUAUAACUUUAAACACACACUACAAGCCGGGGUUAGCGUUAGAAUGAAUAUUAAGUCCGGGAGAGAGGGGAAAACAAAUCAACCAAGAAAUAAUGUGGAUGAACAUGGUGAUUUGUUUUGCCGAGGUUCGGUUCUAAAGAACCUAGUCCCAGUUGAGGUGGUCACAAAGACCGGGUCUCUUUCAACCCUUUCCCUCUCUCAAACAGUCACUUAGACCGAGUGAGCUUUCUUCUUUACUUCUCACGAGUCACUUAGACCCCGCAAGGACCACCACACAAUUGGUGUCUCUUGCCUUGCUUACAAAGCACCUGAGAGUAACAAGAAAAGAAAAGAAAGCCAACCAAGCAAACAAGAGCAACAAGAAACACAAGUGAUCCUCUCACAAGCUCUAAUGCGCUAGAGAUGAAUUCGGGACUUUGAGUGGAUCUAUCGCUUGAUUUGUGUCUUGGAGUGUUGCACUUUGCUCUUGUAUUGAUUGAAGUGUGAUGAAUGCUUGGAUGGUUGGAGUGGAGGUGGUUGGGGGUAUUUAUAGCCCUCAACCACCAAACAACCGUUGGGGAGGGGCUACUGUCGAUGGGCGCACCGGACAGUCUGGUGUGCCACCGGACAUUGUCCGGUGCGCCGCCACGUCACCCAACCGUUAUGGUUCGGACUCAGUCGACCGUUGGCGCUGUUGACUUCUGGUGGCACACCAGAUAGGUCAUGUUCACUAUCCGGUGCGCCCCUGACUUCUGCUCUGACUUCUGCCGCGCACUGUAGCCUUUGCAGAGUCGACUGUUGCGCGAGUUAGUCGUUGCUCCGCUAGACAUCGGACAGUCCAGUGGCACACCGGACAGUCCGGUGAAUUUUAGCGGAGUGCGCCUGAAGAAACCCCAGAGCGGCUGGUUCAGCCCUGUACGGACCUGGUGCACCGGACACUGUCCGGUGGCACAUCGGACAGUCCAGUGCGCCACACCACAGCACACUCGGUUUCUUUGCUCCUUUGUAUUUGAUCCCUAACUUGAAUAUUUAUUGGUUUGUGUUGAACCUUUAUGCACCUGUAGAAUAUAUAUUACAGACUUUGAUGUCCUUGAGAGGAAUGUCAAGGUACUCUACUUUCCUCCCCCGGCGAAGCUCUAGACUUGCACCGCCAACAAGCUGAUGUUGUCCCCCAGCCAUCCCAGGCCGACAGUGAUAGAGAUACUUCCAGAGACCGAAGUGGGGGAGAAUCCCGAGAAAGGCCUCACACAGGUGAACGAAAAUGGAGACUUGCAUAAUGGAAUUAAGGUUCAGAUGCGUCAAAUUCAGCUCAUAGAAAUCAAGGAGACCGCGAAAAAAGGGGAGAUGGGAAGAGCAAUCCCAUGGAUGAGAAAAGGAACAUAAACGACAGAUUCAUGUGUAUCCUCUAUCGGGACGGUGACACCGUGGCAAAUCUGCCAAGAGCAGAGCUCUUUUGGAAGCAAAACCCCAACUUCAAUGAGAUGAAGAAGGUCAGAUUCAGAAAUAACCGACACAUGAUUACCAGCAAAGGGAAGCUGGCUGUUGGGGUCGAUGGGGGAUGAAUGCAGCAGCGGUGCUCUGCGUCUUUCGUUUUGGCGCCAUCAUGAUCUCUCUGGCGGAACGAGCAAGUUCGAAAUCUCAGGGAAGCAGAGGAGUGGUUCAAAGGCAAAAAGUGAAAUUAGGGCUCAGAAAUCAAAAAAGCACGUCGACGCGAGUAUAAAUGGGAUUUCCUGGGUUGGGCACUAUUUCUAAAGUGCCAGGUCGCUACUUAGGAAAGCAAAGUUUCAGGCAUCACUCGGCGUUUACCUCUAAAACGCCAGUAGCGUCAGGCAUAUGGACAAACUAUCAAGCACAUGAACAGAAAACGCCGCAAAAGACAGCAAUCACUCGGAACAACUAAAGUUCUUCAUUAAUAUUGGAGGGGGUUUUCACAAACUCAAAAGCCGACUCAUUAUGAGUCAGCCUUUUCCCCUUUUUUACUACAUUACAUUACAUUGCAUUACCUUACAUUACAUUACAUUACCUUACAUUACAUUACACUACCUUACUACAUUACUAACUAUCACUAUAUUAUUCUACUUCUACUACUACUAAUUAUCUAUACUAAUAUUUAGACCAGUGGAGCUUUUGCCACUGGCCUUGCUGCUGCCGCUGCCGCCCUUGCCUCCACCAUCACUGUCGCCGCUGUCACCCUUGGUGUUGUUGUCGCCGCCGUCGCCUUUGCUGCCGUUGCCACCGCUGCCUUCACCGUCGCUGCCGCCACCUCCCCCGUUGUCGUCGCCACUGCCGUCGCCUUCAUCGCCACAGUCGCUACCGCUCUCUUCCUCGGACGACUCGGAGGAGUUCUCAUCUGAGGAGACCUCUAACUCAUCCGAACCUUUGAGCCCGAUGUGCUCGACGGAGCGGAUGUACGUCCACACCUCAGCGGCUAACCCCUAGGAGUCGUCUGAGUCAUCGGACGACACCGGAGGGAAGCAUAGACCGGCGACCCCUCGAACCCGGAGGAAACCUCCUCCGAAUACUCCGAGUCGCUGAAGUCCUCUGAGGGAGGACUUGGGUCAUGCUUCCGCUUGUCGCCUGCGCGACGGGGCGAACCUCGACCUUUCUUGCCCUUGCCCAUGGUUGGAUGGAGGAGAAGAGGGAGUUAGAAGAAAAGCAACAGAUGAUCAAAAGAUUAGUGAAGAGAACGACGGUGCAAGCAAGCUAUUUAUAGAGGCUGGGAGUGACUGUCCACUUCCUACCACGCUUGCCGAACAGUCGCAAGUAUUCAAUAAGCAAUUCAAGCCGCCUGAAAAUGAGUCAGGCAACAGGCGCCACUUCGCAUAACACGACACCGUUUGGACCAAGGUCAACUGCUCGGACGGUAUGAUUACACCCCAUGGUCAUAUCAAGUUACUACUCCAGAACAGUGUUCUAAACGCUCUGCGUACCAAGACGUCCCUUAGUCACGCCCAUUGGGGGGUAGCCAAGAAUUAUCAAAAGAUUUUCUGAAGAGGUCAUAUCCAUACAGUAUACACAAUGAAUGUAUUGAGACAGAAGGAAGAGAUUGAUAGAGAUCAGAGGAAGUCCAAAUAUAGCUAUUGAACCGCAAGUCUAAUCGACAGAGGCAUUGAAGCACAAAGCGGGGUGAUGACCAGCCAAGAGCCAUCUACCAAACGUCCAAUCUAUCACCGAUCAAAUAAAUUUUAGACCUAACAAGGUGUGGGCAGAUAACGUUGUUCGAAUUCGCAAGGGCAUGAGAUGAAGACAAAAUGCUGAUUUCUAAAGCACAAGACGAUGACGAAAUGCUGAUUUAUAAAGCAUGAGAUGAAGACCUUUGAGUGGAUUAUUUUCAAAAAUCCACUCAAAGCUCAGGAGCUACACCCAUUGGGUGCACCUUCGGUGCACCCAAUAGAUUUUUAAUUCUAGAAGACAAAAUGCUGAUUUCUAAAGCAUAAGACAAGACAGAAUGCUAAUUUCUAAAGCAUAAGACAGGACAAAAUGAUGAUUUCUAAAGCACAAGACGAUGCUGAUUUCUAGGGCAUGAGAUGAAGACCUUUGAGUGGAUUAUUUUUCAAAAAUCCACUCAAAGCUCGGGAGCUACACCCAUUGAGUGCACCUUUGGUGCACCCAGCAGAUUAUCAAUCCAAGAAGACGAAAUGCUAACUUCUAAAGCAUGAUAUGAUGACAAGACGCUGAUCUCCAAAGCAUCAAAUGAAGACCCUUGAGAAGACUGUUUUUACUGAGUCACUCAAAAUUUAGGAGCAACACUCAAUGGGAGCACCUCUGGCGUGCCCAUUGUCAGAGUGGAACCAUGCUACAAACUCACGAGCUGGACUUAGGAUCUUUCGGCUGAUUAUUUCAAAAUCAACUCAAAGGUUGGGGGCUUGUGGGGGAAAAAUAUCCCCCGGGUCCACUAGAAGGUAAGAAGGCCCCGCGAGAAGCUUUAGACCUGUCAUCUCGCUAGGCCAUUCCUUCGUGGGCCAGGGGAGGGUUACUGGUGGAAUGGGCCGAUGUGAGAAGGAAGCAGGCUCAGGCCCAAGCAACUCGAGCGCUGUCCGUAGCGUCUGUUCGACUUUCCCGCGCAGUGCCCUUGAACAUCGGAAUGGAUUAGAGUAAAUAGACAAGAUUAUAGGAAGAUAAGGUCACUCGGUUCACUAUUUGUCGGUGUUUCGAAACCCGGGGGGUCCCUAGACCGACGAGUGAAUUGUCGCCGCGUGCCCCAGCCCAGAUGGGUCGAUGCGAGGCGGAACGCGAAGGGGGAAAGGAAGCAGCCGGAGGGAGGCAGGCGUGAGAGAGUGGAUCCCGCGGCCUUCGUGUUAGCCCCGCGCCUGAGUUGGGUGCGCUUGCAGUAGGGGGAUACAAGCGUCCACGCGGGAGUGGGAGCGAGCGGCCUUGCGCGAGCGCCGUCCCAUCCUUCUCCGCGCGGGCCAACCUCCUGUAAGAGGGCCCUGGUCCUCCCUUUUAUAGGCGUAAGGAGAGGAUCCAGGUGUACAAUGGGGAGUGUAGCAAUGUGCUAACGUGUCUAGCGGUGGAGAGCUAGCGCCCUAAGUACAUGCCAUCGUGGCAGCCGGAGAGGUCUUGGCGCCCAGUUCACGUGGUGUCGUGGCCGUCGGAGGAGUGCUGGAGCCUGGCGGGAGGACAGCUGUUGGGGCUGUCGAGUCCUUGCUGACGUCCUCUUGCUUCCAUAAGGGGGCUGAGAGCCACCGUCGUCACAGGGCAUGCGGGGCGCCAUCAUUACUCGCAUGGUGGAGCGAGCCAGAUGGGACGCCGGUCUGGUUCCCCGUAGCCCGAGUCAGCUCGGGGUAGGGUAAUGAUGGCGCUUCCUGUUGACGUGGUCGGUCCGUGCCCUAGGCUGGGCGAGGUGGAGGCUCCUCCGAGGUCGAGGUCGAGGUCGAGCCCCCGGGUCGGGAGAGGCGGAGUUCGUCGUCUUCUGGGGUUGAGCCCAUGUCCGAGCCUUGGGGUCGGGCGAGGUGGAGUUCGCCGUCUUCCGAGGCUGAGCCCGAGUGCCCUGGGUCGGGCGGAGCGGAGUUCACCGUCUUUCGGGGUCGAGCCCAUGUCCGAGCCCUGGGGUCGGGUGAAGCGGAGUUCGCCGUCUUUCGGGGCUGAGCCCGAGUCUAAGCCCUGGGUCGGGCGGAGCGGAGUUCGCCGUCUUCCGGGGCUGAGCCCGAGUCCGAGCCCUGGGUCGGGCGGAGCGGAGUUCACCGUCUUCCGGGGCUGAGCCCGAGUCCGAGCCCUGGGGUCGGGCGAGGCGGAGUUUCCUAUGUCGCCCAAGGCCGGCCUUGGCUGCUGUCAGCCUCACUCUGUCGGGUGGCUCAGCAGUCGGAGCGGCGCAGGCGGCGCUAUCCUCUUGUCAGACCGGUCAGUAGAGCGGCGAAGUGACUGUGGUCACUUCGGCUCUAUCGACUGGAGGGCGUGCGUCAGGAUAAAGGUGUCAGGCCACCUUUGCAUUAAAUGUCCCUGCGAUUUGGUCGGUCGGCAUGGCGAUGUGGCCAAGGUUGCUUCUCGGUGAAGACUGGGCCUCGGGCGAGCCGAUAGUGUGCCCGUUGCUGGAGGGGGGUCCUCGGGCGAGACGUAGGUUCUCCGGGGUCGGCUUCCCUUGCCCGAGGCUAGGCUCGGGCGAGGCACGAUCGUGUCCCUUGAAUGGACCGAUCCUUGACUUAAUCGCACCCAUCAGGCCUUUGCAGCUUUGUGCUGAUGGGGGUUACCAUCUGAGAUUUAUGGGUCUUGAGGGUACCCCUAAUUAUGGUCCCCGACACUAUUAUUUAGGUACUCAUCAUCAUCCUAUACGCAUGUAGUGCCCCACGGUCGAAUAUAUAAGGUUUAGGGGGUACCCCAUCAUUUCCAUUGAUCGACCAUCUACUCAACUCAUUAGCAUUCCUCCACACUGGAGACUUCUCUUGUAACCUACAACAUAAAGAUCCACACCAGGAAGUAGGGUAUUACACAUCUCAAAGCAGCCCGAACCUAUAGAAAAUCGCCUGUCAUCUCUUGUGCAUCUCGCACGAACCAUUGAGCUACAGUCAACAUCAUCGUCCUACCCAAAAGCACCACGAGGGGUAACCCUAGGUAUGCGGUCAGGCUCCAAACACCGACAACAGGCUCGGAGUGAAUUGCUCACCAGAGCAGAGUGGACGCGGCAGAUCGUGUUUCCCCGUGGGCUGGUGCCGGCAUCACGUAACCGCCAGUAAGUCAUCCCCUGUUGUGUUCGCAUGGAUCUCCUCAAUCUUCUACACCUACCAGCGUUGGGAUAGGUGCGUCUGGGCCAGGGAGUACUGCUCAUCGGCGUUGGCAUUGCUGUUGGCCGUCGCUCGCCGCCACGUGGUAUCAACCAGUGUGGGGGAAGGGAGCCUGCGGCGCGUGCCGUUGGCUCCGUGAUGAAGGGUCAGGAUUAGAAGAUGGCAUACCGCUUCGCGGAGUGGGUUGUGACUGUUUAUCCGAUCAUGUAUGGUCACGAUCACAGUGGAGGUAUCGUUUUGGCGCAAUAAAUCGUGGCCCCAGAUCAACAAUCUGAGGCCUCUGGAUUGAUGGAUGUGUAGAUGACUCGUGGACCGAUGAUCUGGGAACCAACGACCACGACUCCUUACUAGUUCGGUGAGCCAAGACCUAAUCCCAACCGUUAGAUUGGCAUCCAAUGGAUCGCACUUGAGGAUACCCCUUCGGUGUUGUCAUUUUAUUAAAUAACCCCCUGUGAAUCUUUAAAUUAACCCAACAUACUUUGUUCUAUUGAAAGUGUUACAUCAGGGUCCUUGGUAUUAGCAGAAACACCCCUGAGACAAUUUUAGAGUAUAAAAUUAAUAUAAAAUACUUUGAAAUUCAAUAACUUCUUCAAUAUAUCUCUGAUUUAACCCGUUCCAGUUGCGUUAGCUUCAUAAAAAUAUUUUCUACACAGUAGCAACAUUAUUUGUACUGUAUCACAUACUUUUAUAAUUAAAUAUUUGUUUACCCUUUUAGUAGUAGAUUUUUUUUCUAAUCACGGUUGACAUGUUUAUAAUUAUAAUUUGACUAUAAUAUGAUUUCUAAAACAAGUUAUAAUCUGGAUUUCUUAUAUGAUGUAUAUUAACCAAUUUAUAAUAUAGUUUAAUAUUUAAUCAUGCAAAUCUUCAUAAAAUCAUAACUCUUUAACCAUAACUCCAAAUUUAGUGGUUCUCAAGCUCAUGAUCUUGUAGCAACGCGUAGAAUAUUAUUAUGCAGUUUGUGCUUAUGUUUGGUGUGAUGUUAAUUUUUGCAUAUACCAUGUUUGUUUGUAUUGCUACGAAUAGCGGUGAGGUUAUGGGCUCCCACCUCUGGCGAGUUCAUAUACAUUAUUCCCCACAACUUGUUGAGCGAUGAACGUAUGUGAGCUCACCUUUGUUAUACUCACAUCCCCCAGGUCAAGAACAUGUACCAUUGGAUGAGGCGCAUGAAGGAUGCUGUGAUGAGUUCGUGAGAGGUCUAGGCCGUCGUCUCCCAGUCAACUUUGGUUGCUAGAUCGUUGUCUUCAUAUGAUGUAAUUAUUUAAUUAUUUUGUACAGAACUCUGUUAUAUAUUAAUAUUGUGACAUUCAUUUCUAUACCAUGAGUCAUCAUAUGUGUAAGACUUGGUCCUAGCACACUUGGUGAUUAUCUCACGCCUGGGUUUUGGUGCCCCUAAAAUCCAGGUGUGAAAGCAGUCCUCCUGGCAACACAGAUUGUAAGGUUCUUGACCAAUUGAAUGCCCUUAUGUGUUGCUAUAGAUGGUUGGUUAUGUACAAUAGCUAGUUAUAAUUAGCCAUCUCCAAAAAGAUCAUGAACACAAAUAGGGGAGAAGACAGGGACGAGAAGAAAAUGUGGAGCAGGAGGACGGUGCCGAUCUCUUGGGUUCACUUGGUGUUGAGGAUAUUGAACAACCCCAUCUGCGUGGUGGAGUAAAGCGACUUGCGCGGCAUGGUGGUGGAGACCCCCCGAGAAGAGGCCCACGAUGCCCUUGGAGAGUAGGAUCAUGACGGCCUGCGGCUCUGGUUUUCUCGAUGGCCCCGAAAUAUCGUGGUGGUGCGGGAGCGGGAGUGUGAUGGUUCUCCCUCCACUGAGCGUGCUUCGCCUUGAUGUCGGGAAUGGAACGAUAGACGAGAGGGUUCUUAUCCACGCAGGGCGGGUGAAAGGGAAUUAGGCUUACACCUAGUUCCUAAACAAUUUUGGUGGUUAAAUUGCCCAACACAAAUAUUGGACUAACUAGUUUGCUCUAGUGUAUAAGUUAUACAGGUGCAAAAGGUUCACACUUAGCCAAUAAAAAGACCAAGAGUUGAGUUCAACACAAGAGCAAAGGAGCAACAGAAGGCUUCUCUGGUCUGGCGCACCGGACUGUCCGGUGGCAUCUGGUCUGGCGCACCGGACUGUCCGGUGUGCCACCGGACAUGUCCGGUGCACCAGGGGACUCCAACUUCGAACUGCUCGGUUUCGGGAAUUUCCGGAGGACACUUCGCUAAAAUUCACCGGACUGUCCGGUGUACACCGGACAGUGUCCGGUGCUCCAAGGGAGGUCGUCCUCAGGAACUCGCCAGCCUCGGGUUUUCACUCCAGCCGCUCUGCUAUAAUUCACCGGACUGUCCGGUGUGCACCGGACUGUCCGGUGCAUCCUCGGAGCAACGGCUACUUCAGGCGCCAACGGCUACCUGCAGCGCAUUUAUUGCGCGCCAGCGCGCGCAGAGGUCAGGAACGCCCAUACCGGCGCACCGGACAUUGAACAGUGCAUGUCCGGUGCGCCACCGGACAUCAAGGCGGGCCCAGAAGUCAGAACUCCAACGGUCAAUUUCCAACGGCACUGGUGACGUGGCUGGGGCACCGGACUGUCCGGUGUGCACCGGACUGUCCGGUGUGCCAUCGAACAAACAGCCUCCACCAACGGUCAAGUUUGGUGGUUGGGGCUAUAAAUACCCCAACCACCCCACCAUUCAUUGCAUCCAAGUUUUCCACUUCUCAACCACUUACAAGAGCUAGGCAUUCAAUUCUAGACACACCCAAAGAGAUCAAAUCCUCUCCAAUUCCAUACAAAGCCUAAGUGACUAGUGAGAGUGAUUUGCCGUGUUCAUUUGAGCUCUUGCGCUUGGAUUGCUUUCUCUCUUUCAUUCUUUCUUGAGAUCAAUAUUCACUUGUAACCGAAGCAAGAGACACCAAUUGUGUGGUGGUCCUUGCGGGGAGGUUUUGCUCCCGAUUGAUUUGAGAAGAGAAAGCUCACUCGGUCCGAGGGACCGUUUGAGAGAGGGAAGGGUUGAAAGAGACCCGGCCUUUGUGGCCUCCUCAACGGGGAGUAGGUUUGAGAGAACCGAACCUCGGUAAAACAAAUCCGUGUGUCUCACUUCAUUAUUCGCUUGCGAUUUGUUUUGCGCCUUCUCUCGCGGACUCCAUUAUAUUUCUAACGCUAACCCGGCUUGUAGUUGUGAUUAUUUUUGAGAAUUUCAGUUUCGCCCUAUUCACCCCCCCUCUAGGCGACUUUCAAUUGGUAUCAGAGCCCGGUGCUUCAUUAGAGCCUAACCGCUCGAAGUGAUGUCGGGAGAUCACACCAAGAGGGAGAUGGAGACCGGCGAAAAGCCCACUACGAGCCAAGGGAGCACUUCAUCGGAAGAGUCCCGCACCAAGAGGAAGGAGAAGAAGAAGAUCUCCUCCAACAAAGGGAAGGAGAAGAAAUCCUCUUCUCACCACAAAGAGAAGAAAGAAAAAUCUUCUUCCCACAAGCCGAGUCGGAGUGGGGACAAGCACAAAAGGAUGAGGAAGGUGGUCUACUAUGAGACCGACACUUCAUCGACAUCUACCUCCGACUCCGAUGCGCCGUCCGUCACUUCUAAACGCCAAGAGCGUAAGAAGUAUAGUAAGAUCCCCCUACGCUACCCCCGCAUUCCUAAACAUACACCUUUACUUUCCGUCCCAUUAGGCAAACCACCAACUUUUAAUGGUGAAGAUUAUGCUAUGUGGAGUGAUUUAAUGCGAUUUCAUCUAACCUCACUCCACAAAAGUAUAUGGGAUGUUGUUGAGUUUGGUGUACAGGUACCAUCCGUAGGGGAUGAAGACUAUGAUACGGAUGAAGUGGCCCAAAUCGAGCACUUCAACUCCCAAGCCACAACCAUUCUCCUCGCCUCUCUAAGCAAGGAGGAAUAUAACAAAGUGCAAGGGUUGAAGAGUGCAAAAGAGAUUUGGGACCUACUCAAGACCGCGCACAAGGGUGAUGAACUCACCAAGAUCACCAAGCGGGAAACGAUCGAGGGGGAGCUCGGUCGCUUUCGUCUUCGCCCAGGGGAGGAGCCACAAGAUAUGUACAACCGGCUCAAGACCUUGGUAAACCAAGUGCGCAACCUCGGGAGCAAGAAGUGGGAUGAUCACGAAGUGGUUAAGGUUAUUUUAAGAGCUCUUAUUUUCCUUAACCCCACUCAAGUUCAAUUAAUUCGUGGUAAUCCUAGAUAUCCACUAAUGACCCCCGAGGAAGUUAUCGGGAAUUUUGUGAGCUUUGAAUGCAUGAUCAAAGGAUCAAAGAAGAUCAACGAGCUUGACGAACCCUCCACAUCCGAGGCGCAACCGGUGGCCUUCAAGGCGACGGAGGAGAAGAAGGAGGAGUCUACACCAAGUAGACAACCAAUUGACCCCUCCAAGCUCGACAAUGAGGAGAUGGCUUUAAUCAUCAAAAGCUUUCGCCAAAUCCUCAAGCAAAGGAGAGGGAAAGACUACAAGUCCCGCUCAAAGAAGGUUUGCUACAAGUGUGGUAAGCCCGGUCACUUUAUUGCUAAAUGUCCAUUAUCAAGUGAUAGUGACAGGGGCGAUGACAAGAAGGGGAGAAGAAAGGAGAAGAAGAAGUACUACAAGAAGAAGGGCGGCGAUGCCCAUGUUUGUCGGGAGUGGGACUCCGACGAAAGCUCAAGCGACUCCUCCGACGACGAGGACGCCGCCAACAUCGCCGUCACCAAGGGACUUCUCUUCCCCAACGUCGGCCACAAGUGCCUCAUGGCAAAGGACGACAAAAAGAAGAAGGUUAAAUCUAAAUCCUCCACAAAAUAUGAAUCCUCUAGUGAUGACAAUGCUAGUGAUGAGGAGGAUAACUUGCUUACCCUUUUUGCCAACCUUAACAUGGAACAAAAAGAAAAAUUGAAUGAGCUAAUUAGUGCCAUCCAUGAAAAGGAUGAUCUCUUGGACUCCCAAGAGGACUUCCUAAUCAAGGAAAAUAAAAAACAUGUUAAGGUUAAAAAUGCUUAUGCUCUAGAAAUUGAGAAAUGUCAAAAAUUAUCUAGUGAGCUAAGUACUUGCCAUGAAACAAUAGACAACCUUAGAAAUGAAAAUGCUAAUUUGUUAGCUAAGGUUGAUUUUCAUGUUUGCAAUGUCUCAAUUCCCAACCCUAGAAAUGAUAAUGAUGAUUUGCUUGCUAGGAUUGAAGAAUUGAACAUUUCUAUUGCUAGUCUUAGAGUAGAAAAUGAAAAUUUGAUUGCUAAGACUAAAGAUUUUGAUGUUUGCAAUUCUAUUAUUUCCGACCUUAGAACUAAAAAUGAUAUGUUACAUGCUAAGGUUGUUGAAUUAAAAUCUUGCAAACCCUCUACAUCUACUAUUGAGCAUGUAUCUAUUUGUGAUAGAUGUAGAGAUGUUGAUAUCAAUGCUAUUCAUGAUCACAUGAUUUUAAUUAAGCAACAAAAUGAUCAUAUAGCAAAAUUAGAUACUAAAAUUGCCGAGCAUAACGUAGAGAAUGAAAAAUUUAAAUUUGCUAGAAGUAUGCUCUAUAAUGGGAGACGCCCGGGCAUCAAGGAUGGCAUUGGAUUUCAAAGGGGAGACAAUGUCAAACUUAAUGCCCCCCUAAGAAUUUGUCUAACUUUGUCAAGGGCAAGGCUCCCAUGCCUCAAGAUAACAAGGGUUACAUUUUAUACCCUGCCGGUUAUCCUGAGAGCAAGAUUAGGAAAAUUCAUUCUAGGAAGUCUCACUCUGGUCCUAAUCAUGCUUUUAUGUAUAAGGGUGAGACAUCUAGUUCUAGGCAACCAACCCAUGCCAAGUUGCCUAGAAAGAAAACUCCUAAUGCAUCAAAUGAACAUAGCAUUUCAUUUAAGACUUUUGAUGCAUCCUAUGUUUUGACUAACAAAUCCGGCAAGGUCGUUGCCAAGUUUGUUGGGGGCAAACACAAGGGGUCAAAGACUUGUGUUUGGGUACCCAAAGUUCUUGUUUCUAAUGCCAAAGGACCCAAAACAGUUUGGGUACCUAAAGUCAAGAACUAAAUUUGUUUUGCAGGUUUAUGCAUCCGGGGGCUCAAGUUGGAUACUCGACAGCAGGUGCACAAACCAUAUGACCGGGGAGAAAAGGAUGUUCUCCUCAUAUGAGAAAAACCAAGAUCCCCAACGAGCGAUCACAUUCGGGGAUGGAAAUCAAGGUUUGGUUAAAGGUUUGGGUAAAAUUGCUAUAUCUCCUGACCAUUCCAUUUCAAAUGUUUUUCUUGUUGAUUCAUUAGAUUACAAUCUGCUUUCCGUAUCCCAAUUAUGUCAAAUGGGCUACAACUGUCUAUUUACUGAUGUAGGUGUUACUGUCUUUAGAAGAAGUGAUGAUUCAAUAGCAUUUAAGGGAGUGUUAGAGGGUCAGCUAUACUUGGUAGAUUUUGAUGGAGCUGAACUCGACACUUGCUUGGUUGCUAAGACUAACUUGGGUUGGCUCUGGCACCGCCGACUAGCCCAUGUUGGAAUGAAGAAUCUUCACAAGCUUCUAAAGGGAGAACACAUUUUGGGACUAACCAAUGUUCAUUUUGAGAAAGACAGGAUUUGUAGCGCAUGCCAAGCCGGGAAGCAAGUUGGCACCCACCAUCCACACAAGAACAUCAUGACUAGUGACAGGCCACUAGAGCUCCUACACAUGGAUUUAUUCGGCCCGAUUGCUUACAUAAGCAUCAGCGGGAGUAAGUACUGUCUAGUUAUUGUGGAUGACUAUUCUCGCUUCACUUGGGUGUUCUUUUUGCAGGACAAAUCUCAUACCCAAGAAACCUUAAAGGGAUUCUUGAGACGAGCUCAAAAUGAGUUCGGCUUAAGGAUCAAGAAAAUUAGAAGCGACAAUGGGACGGAGUUCAAGAACUCUCAAAUUGAAGGCUUUCUUGAGGAGGAGGGCAUCAAGCAUGAGUUCUCUUCUCCCUACACUCCACAACAAAAUGGUGUAGUGGAGAGGAAGAAUCGAACUCUAUUGGACAUGGCAAGAACCAUGCUUGAUGAGUACAAGACACCGGAUCGGUUUUGGGCCGAAGCGGUCAACACCGCUUGCUACGCCAUCAACCGGUUAUAUCUACACCGAAUCCUCAAGAAGACAUCUUAUGAACUCCUUACCGGUAAAAAGCCAAAUGUUUCAUAUUUUAGAGUUUUUGGUAGCAAAUGCUUUAUUCUGGUUAAAAGAGGUAGAAAAUCUAAAUUUGCUCCUAAAACUGUAGAAGGCUUUUUACUAGGGUAUGACUCAAACACAAGGGCAUAUAGAGUCUUUAACAAGUCCUUAGGACUUGUUGAAGUUUCUUGUGACGUUGUGUUUGAUGAGACUAACGGCUCUCAAGAAGAGCAAGUUGAUCUUGAUGAGAUAGGUGAAGAACAGGCUCCAUGCAUAGCACUAAGGAACAUGUCCAUUGGGGAUGUGUGUCCUAAGGAAUCCGAAGAGCCUCCACAUGCACAAGAUCAACCAUCCUCCUCCACGCAAGCAUCUCCACCAACCCAAGAUGAAGACGAGGCUCAAGAUGUUGAACAAGAAGAUCAAGAAGAUGAGCCACCUCAAAAUGACGGCAACGAUCAAGGGGGAGAUACAAAUGAUAAAGACAAGGAGGAUGAACAACCAAGGCCGCCACACCCAAGAGUCCACCAAGCAAUCCAACGAGAUCACCCCGUCGACACCAUCCUCGGUGACAUUCAUAAGGGAGUAACUACUCGAUCUCGGGUUGCACAUUUUUGUGAACAUUACUCCUUUGUUUCCUCUAUUGAGCCACACAGGGUAGAGGAAGCACUCCAAGAUGCGGAUUGGGUGAUGGCGAUGCAAGAGGAGCUCAACAAUUUCACAAGGAAUGAGGUAUGGCAUUUAGUUCCACGUCCUAACCAAAAUGUUGUAGGAACCAAAUGGGUCUUCCGCAACAAGCAAGAUGAGCAUGGUGUGGUGACAAGGAACAAAGCUCGACUUGUGGCCAAAGGAUACUCCCAAGUCGAAGGUUUGGAUUUUGGUGAAACCUAUGCACCCGUAGCUAGGCUUGAAUCUAUUCGCAUAUUAUUGGCCUAUGCUACUUACCAUGGCUUUAAGCUUUAUCAAAUGGACGUGAAAAGUGCCUUCCUCAAUGGACCAAUCAAGGAGGAAGUCUAUGUUGAGCAACCUCCCGGCUUUGAAGACAGUGAGUACCCUAACCAUGUCUAUAGGCUCUCUAAGGCGCUUUAUGGGCUCAAGCAAGCCCCAAGAGCAUGGUAUGAAUGCCUAAGAGAUUUCCUUAUUGCUAAUGGCUUCAAAGUCGGCAAGGCCGAUCCUACUUUGUUCACUAAAACUCUUGAAAAUGAUUUGUUCGUAUGCCAAAUUUAUGUUGAUGAUAUUAUAUUUGGGUCUACUAACGAAUCUACAUGUGAGGAAUUCAGUAGGAUCAUGACACAAAAGUUCGAGAUGUCUAUGAUGGGGGAGUUGAAGUAUUUCUUAGGAUUCCAAGUAAAGCAACUCCAAGAGGGCACCUUCAUUAGCCAAACGAAGUACACUCAAGACAUUCUAAACAAGUUUGGGAUGAAGGAUGCCAAGCCCAUCAAGACACCCAUGGGAACAAAUGGGCAUCUCGACCUCGACACGGGAGGUAAGUCCGUGGAUCAAAAGGUAUACCGGUCGAUGAUUGGUUCAUUGCUCUACUUAUGUGCAUCUCGACCGGACAUUAUGCUUUCCGUAUGCAUGUGUGCAAGAUUUCAAGCCGACCCUAAGGAAUCACACCUUUCGGCCGUAAAACGAAUCUUGAGAUAUUUAGCUUAUACACCUAAGUUUGGGCUUUGGUACCCUCGGGGAUCCACAUUUGAUUUGAUUGGUUAUUCGGAUGCCGAUUGGGCGGGGUGUAAGAUUAAUAGGAAGAGCACAUCGGGGACUUGCCAGUUCUUGGGAAGAUCCUUGGUGUCUUGGGCUUCAAAGAAGCAAAAUUCGGUUGCUCUUUCUACCGCCGAAGCCGAGUAUAUUGCCGCAGGCCAUUGUUGCGCGCAAUUGCUUUGGAUGAGGCAAACUCUGCGGGACUACGGUUACAAAUUAACCAAAGUCCCUUUGCUAUGUGAUAAUGAGAGUGCAAUCAAAAUGGCCGACAAUCCCGUCGAGCACAGCCGCACUAAACACAUAGCCAUUCGGUAUCAUUUUCUUAGGGAUCACCAACAAAAGGGGGAUAUCGAGAUUUCAUACAUUAACACUAAAGAUCAAUUAGCCGAUAUCUUUACCAAGCCACUUGAUGAACAAUCUUUUACCAGACUUAGGCAUGAGCUUAAUAUUCUUGAUUCCAGGAAUUUCUUUUGCUAAACUUGCACACAUAGCUCAUAAAUAUACCUUUGAUCAUGUCCCUCUUAUAUAUGCUAUGACUAAUGUGUAUUCAAGUGUAUUUCAAACCAAGUCAUAGGUGUAUUGAAAGGGAAUUGGAGUCUUCGGCGAAGACAAAGGCUUCCACUCCACUCUACUACUCAUCCUUCGCCGUCACUCCGAGCAUCUCUCCAACUUUGGUAUAAUCCUCACUCAUUUCUUUUAUGACCAAAGGAGGAGAAAGUUAGUUAAGGGCUCUAAUGAUUCCGUUUUUGGCGAUUCAUGCCAAAGGGGGAGAAAAUAUGAGCCCAAAGCAAAAGGACCGCACCACCACCCUAAUUUUAAACAUAUGAUUUUCAAUUGGUUGAAAAAUUUCAAAAUUGGUAUCUCUUUGUGUUCUAAAGGGGGAGCAAGUAGUAUUUUCAAAACUUAAUACCUUAAAACCCUCUUGAACACUAAGAGGAGAAUUUAUUUGAGGGGGAGUUUUGUUUAGUCAAAGGAAAGGCAUUUGAAACAGGGGGAGAAAAUUUCAAAACUUGAAAAUGCCUUGCCAACUCUUAUUCAUUUACCUUUGACUAUUUGCAAAAGAACUUUGAAAAGAAUUUACAAAAGAUUUUGCAAAACAAAACAUAUGGUGCAAAUGUGGUCCAAUAUGUCAAAAACAAAGAAACAAUCCAUGCGCAUCUUGUAAGUAUUAAUAUUGGCUCUAUUCCAAGCAACCUUUGCACUUACAUUAUGCAAACUAGUUCAAUUAUGCACUUUUAUAUUUGCUUUGGUUUGUGUUGGCAUCAAUCACCAAAAAGGGGGAGAUUGAAAGGGAAUUAGGCUUACACCUAGUUCCUAAACAAUUUUGGUGGUUAAAUUGCCCAACACAAAUAUUGGACUAACUAGUUUGCUCUAGUGUAUAAGUUAUACAGGUGCAAAAGGUUCACACUUAGCCAAUAAAAAGACCAAGAGUUGGGUUCAACACAAGAGCAAAGGAGCAACAGAAGGCUUCUCUGGUCUGGCGCACCGGACUGUCCGGUGUGCCACCGGACAUGUCCGGUGCACCAGGGGACUCCAACUUCGAACUGCUCGGUUUCGGGAAUUUCCGGAGGACACUUCGCUAAAAUUCACCGGACUGUCCGGUGUACACCGGACAGUGUCCGGUGCUCCAAGGGAGGUCGUCCUCAGGAACUCGCCAGCCUCGGGUUUUCACUCCAGCCGCUCCGCUAUAAUUCACCGGACUGUCCGGUGCGUCCUCGGAGCAACGGCUACUUCAGGCGCCAACGGCUACCUGCAGCGCAUUUAUUGCGCGCCAACGCGCGCAGAGGUCAGGAACGCCCAUACCGGCGCACCGGACAUUGAACAGUGCAUGUCCGGUGUGCCACUGGACAUCAAGGCGGGCACAGAAGUCAGAACUCCAAUGGUCAAUUUCCAACGGCACUGGUGACGUGGCUGGGGCACCGGACUGUCCGGUGUGCACCGGACUGUCCGGUGUGCCAUCGAACAGACAGCCUCCACCAACGGUCAAGUUUGGUGGUUGGGGCUAUAAAUACCCCAACCACCCCACCAUUCAUUGCAUCCAAGUUUUCCACUUCUCAACCACUUACAAGAGCUAGGCAUUCAAUUCUAGACACACCCAAAGAGAUCAAAUCCUCUCCAAUUCCAUACAAAGCCUAAGUGACUAGUGAGAGUGAUUUGCCGUGUUCAUUUGAGCUCUUGCGCUUGGAUUGCUUUCUCUCUUUCAUUCUUUCUUGAGAUCAAUAUUCACUUGUAACCGAAGCAAGAGACACCAAUUGUGUGGUGGUCCUUGCGGGGAGGUUUUGCUCCCGAUUGAUUUGAGAAGAGAAAGCUCACUCGGUCCGAGGGACCGUUUGAGAGAGGGAAGGGUUGAAAGAGACCCGGCCUUUGUGGCCUCCUCAACGGGGAGUAGGUUUGAGAGAACCGAACCUCGGUAAAACAAAUCCGCGUGUCUCACUUCAUUAUUCGCUUGCGAUUUGUUUUGCGCCUUCUCUCGCGGACUCCAUUAUAUUUCUAACGCUAACCCGGCUUGUAGUUGUGAUUAUUUUUGAGAAUUUCACUUUCGCCCUAUUCACCCCCCCCUCUAGGCGACUUUCAGCGGGCGGGUGAAGCGGAUGGCCGGCUGGCGGCGACGGGUGUCGACUGGGGUGGGGAGCUGCGGACCUAUGGCGCGUGCGUGGGAAGGGAACGCGGUGUGCGGGUGGCGGCUAUGGGUCGAGCGGAGUCUAUUACAGGCAGUGACUGGGAUAGGGGUUGUGGGCCUACGGUUCGUGCGGGGGGGGGAGCAGGGGGCUGGGGUGGUUGUUGUUACAAAAUAUUGUAUUUAUGAUCAAUCCAAGGGGUGCGACAGAUAAUUCCCAAGGGAAACACUCCUUGGGAACGCACCCCUUCAUAUGUAUAUAAACAUAAUCCUUGCUGCAAUAAAGGAAUUGUUGUCAUUCUCUCCAGUCUUGUUUUCGUUAUUCUCUAAUACGUUAUCAGCAUGAGCUCUCCAUCGAGCGAGAAAAGGCCGUCAUGGCGCGCACAGAAACGAAGGAGAAGAACACUAGCUGUUCUUGAAUUUUUGUUCUUGUUCACUGCAUCAUCACCAUGGACAGAGAUGAGAAGAACAUGUCAACUAUGGAGGAGGUCAGUUUGCUUCAAUUUUUUCUUGUGUUUCAACGAGAUGUAAAAGAGAGGCUUUGACCUCCAUGAACUGUUGGCGGACACUGUGCCCGUGGGGCUGCUGUGGCCUGCCUGACAGUUGAUGGUCGCGCGACCGAGCAGUCAACGCCAGGGCCCGCCCGCGUGCCGGGAAGCCACGCCCGAGCAGGGGCUACGCUCGCGCUCCACGCUGCCGAGGAGGUCGUGCCCGUGCGUGCAGGGGGUCACGCGCGUGCCCCUGGGGUGCCUCGCCCGCGUCGCCGGGCCGUGGCCGCGCCCGUGCGCCGGAGGCCGCACCCUCGCCGGGCUCGUGUGCUGGGAUGGGGAGCCGCCGGGGCAGGGUCUGCGCCGGGGCCGGGGCCGCUGGGGCAGGGUCCACGCCGGGGCCGGCGCCGCCAGGGCUUGCACGCUCGUGCCGCCGGGGGAGCUGCGCCCCGCACCAUCGCUCCUAGGCUGGGGGUCAUGCGCCCGGGCCGCCUGGAGGUCGUGCCCCACGCUGCCGCUUCUAGGCCAGGGGCCACGCGCUCGGGCCGCCGCAUCUAGGGCUGGCCGCGCCCAGGCCACCCAUGCACUGCUGGGGGAGUCGCGCUGGGCCACAUCCGCGCAGCCACCGGGAGGCGCACCUGCGCAACAGUGCCGGGCCCGCGCGCGCCUGGCCAAGGCCGUGCCGCUGGGUUCGCGCCUGUGCCUAUCGGCCGCGUCGCUGGGUUCGUGCCCGUGCCUAUCGGCCGCGCCCGCUGCGCCUGAGCCGCCGGGGCCGAGGGCCACCGCGCUCGCGUGCCGGGGUUGACGCGAGGCUGCACCAAACUUCGUCGGGCCCUGGUGGCGCGCACCGCAAGCCCUGCUCCUGCACCUGGCCGCGAGCCACCACGCCGUCGGCUGUAAUCGCCAGGACUUGGCCAGAUGAGAUUCCAUGGCGGCGGUGGCUGGAACCGUCCCUAGUAGCGACGGCUGCAGGAAGGGAGCGGUUAGGGUUUAAACCCUAACCGGCUCCCUAUAUAACGGCGUGUGGGCCGUGGCUGGUUGCACGGGCCGCCUCGGCCUGAUGGGCCGACCUGCAUAGGCCGCUCUGGCCUGGUGAUUGGCGCGCCUGGGCCGCACCAGCCUGGAGGCUGGCAGCAUGGGCUGCCUCGGCCUGGUGGCACCUGGGCCGCCUUGAACCAGAUUUGCCUAUAUGGCCUGAUUAUCAUUUUAAAAUUCUAAAUUUCAGUAUAAGACUAUGUUUUAUAUGAAAAUUCAGUUCUAACUUGAGUUAGGGCGUCUAAAUUCGUUAUUUAGACUGCUGAUGAUAUAUGUAGUUAUGAUAGUUGUUUGUUUUUAUUAUGAAAAAUGCAGACUUGUUAAUGAAUUAUAUUUUAUUUACAUUUAUAAUUCAUAGUUUUUCGACUUGCUUUUAUUUUGCAUUCUUUUAUGUUUGCAUGGAAAAUAUAGCACAUAAUUAAGUCGAAACUUAAUGGUCCUCAUGCAAAACAAGGUUGCAUUUUUUUGUUAAAAGCAUAGGGUGAUGGAGUCCUAAGCACUGACUGCGCUAAAUUCUUUAUAGAGUUUAGUAGCUCAGAGACCGUGCUUUAGGCCGCAUUUGAAAUGCCUAUCACUAUGAGGUCUACAUCUUUUGAGAUGAUUAUCUAUACGUGCUAUCCAAAAAGAUCACAGGACCAAGCAGGCGUCGUGGGCUAUGGAGCCAGGCUAGACACUGCAGUCAUGCUGGCAACUCAAAGAGUUCUUUUAAUUAAGUUCUACUUAAUUAAAUGAUGAAUUCUUGCAAAAUAUGAUACAUAUCUUGAACUUGGGAUUAUUCAACACAUGAUGGAGAUCUAGGCUUUGGCUGCAAUAAGUUCUUAGAAUUUAUUUGCCCUGAGACCAAGCUUUUAGACAACAAAAGGUUAUUUGCCCAUCAGUAAGAGGUCUACAUCAUAUGUUGAUGAUGAUUACCUAUGUGUUCUCCCAAGUAGAUAUGUUGGAGAUGUGAUGUUGGUUAUUCACCUUUAUGGUGAUUUCUGUAUUAUUUUUGAAAUUUUGGUCAAGCACAGGGUAGUGGAGUCCUAAGCAUUAGAUGCGGUAUGUUCUUUGAAUAUAUGAGCCUGAGACCAUGCUUCUAGGCAGCAAAAUUUUUGCCCACUACUGGGAGAUUUACUCCAUUGUUUUAUUACAUGGAGAUUAUCUACAUUGUGUACACCAAUUUUUAAAAAUCUUUUGGUACACUUUAUGUGAUACCUGGAAUUCUCCAAUAUAUGAAGAUAUGAUAUAUUUUGCGACAAUGUUGCAACAGCACACAAAAAUGGUUAUGUUAUUUAAGGAUAAUUAUUUAAUAGAGUUUGAUGAACUCGCCUAAUGGGCUUAAUUAUCCUCAAUGUUCAUUGGAUAUGUUCAUUGGAUAUUAAGAUCAUCUUUGCAUAAUAUGGGGAUUCACUUUCUUCAUUUUGGAAGAAGUGAGAUGCUCCCUUUCUCUUGCGGUUCUUAUGAAAAGAACUAAUGUGUUUUUAUGGCUUGAUGUGCAAGCCCAGAAUGAAUAGCAAAUAAAAUCAUAAGACAUGUGGAAUUAUGAGUAUGUGUCUACAUUAUGUUGUAGACUAACACUUUGUAUUCAUAUAUUUUGCUUGAAAGCAAAUAUAUAAGCACAUUAAAAAGGGAAGGGCAAUGAGUAUGACAAACUCUUUUGUCAUUACACUAUACGUGGUAUAGUGUUGUAUGCUUAAGCAUCUAAUCUUGUAUAUGAAAUCCCAAUAGAUGCAUACUACUCAUGAAAGCUAAGAUAUGAAGUGUACUUCAAUCUUCCAUCUGACAUGAUAACAGUAGUUAGUUGUGUAAAUCAUGAUUUGGACUAAUCAUGUAACAACACUUCUUUUUCUAAGAGAAGACCACUUUGUUAGAUAAUUUGCUUUUGAGUAUUAUUCAAAUGAUCUAUGAGAUUUGGUAUAAUCUCAUUAUUAUUGAUAUCAUAUUUAUUGACGUUGUGAUAUGUUCAAGCUCAUAUGAAUUUGAGUUAAACAAACUCAUCGAUUUGAGUUGAAUGAGCUCAUCAAGGGAGUUGAAGACUCAUUGAUUUGAGUUGUGCAAACUUGUACGAGGAUUCUUCCAAUUGAGGGAGAAACAUGCAAUGUGGAGAAUUGAACCACAAACUCUAUAAGUGGGGAACAAAAUAUUAUCAUAUUCCUUUGAAAAUAGGAAAGAAUAUUUUGACAAUCGCUUCAUGCGAUACCAUGAUAUGUUAAUAUCAAGUCCCCUUUGGUAAUGGAAGUAUCAAGGAUGUGUUGAUAUAUCCUCAUUUUAUCUUACCAAAUUAUAGAGAUAUCCAUGUAAUUUCUAUCAUGGGCAAUCACAAGGUGAUAGUGAUGGAUAUUGCAUGUGUUUCUCGGAAACAUUUCUUAUAGAUUGUAUUCUACAUACAUCCUCCCGUACAAUGUGCUGCAUUUGUUAUAAAUUUUCAUGUGAUGAUACUUACCAUGCUGGGUAAGACUGAAUUGGUAAUUCCAUUUGUUGGGGGCCUUCGUCCUCCGAAGGUCCUCAAAAACAUGAUUUGACAAUGUUUUCCGAGUGGAUUAUGUGAACAGGUAUUUUCGGAUCCAGAAUUAUGAAUAUGGAGCACGGCCAGGACGAAGCCUGAACCAGACGAAGGUCGAGUGUAGCCGAAGCUGUGCGCAGGGAAGCUUCGGCGCGAUGGCAGAAGGGGGAACCGACUUAAAGAUGAAAAGACUUCGGGGGCCUCGACAGAUUUCCAUAAGCCGUUAACAAAUGUAAUGGACAUGGAUGUAAUUUUACGUGGGCUGCGUCCCGCGUCUAUAAAUAGAUGAACAGUACUCCCAUACUGUUCACGCUGACUUGGCAUUUGCUUUUGCGUCACGCUUGUACUUUCUACCUUCUCUCAGGACCGAAGGUACAUUUGUAAUUUAAAAUCAUUUCUAUUUUUCCAUGUUAAUAAAAUAGAAAUGAUUCUGCGAUGAUGCUUAUAUUAUAUUUCAUGCUUUAUAUAAGUCCUUCGUCAUUAUCUGUUAUGUUUGCGAAGGUAUUUCUCUUAUGACCUUCGUCCCAGACUCAUUAUUUCCCGAAGGGGACAUAAUGCUUCGAGGGACGAAGGACUUUAACACUUAACACUUUUUAUGUUGCCUUGUUCUUAACUCUUAGCAUUUGAGAACAAGUCUCCAACAUUGGCGCCCACCUCCGGUGAACUCACUUCCACUUCGAGUCUUCGUGAACACCUUCGGAAGCUAUAGACCUUCGCUAUGGCGCCGAAGAAAGCUUCAGCGGCUGGGGCUGCAGCAUUACAACCGCUGGACCACAACCAGGAGACCGUCUCUCUUCGGGAGGCCAGAAGCCAGAAGAGAAAAGCUGUUAGCCCGACGCUUGAGGAAGAAGAGCUAGACCAAGAAAUCAGAGAGAUGGAGAUGCUACAUCAACAAGUGCAGAGGAAGAAGGAGAAGAUGGCCCGCCUAGCUGAGUUGCAAAGGCAAAUUGACGAAGCUUCUGAGGAAGUUCGCCAUCUCACCCACGAUGAGCAGAACAGAAGGCCUCAUCAGAAAGACCUCCAUCAGGAGGGCUUCGUCAACGAAGACGACUGGUAUGAUAAUUUCCAUCAGGGAAAUUUUGUUUUUGAUGAUGCUUCUCCUCUGUCUGCUGAGCUGCAGGCUACACCUUGGCCUCCAUCCUAUAAGCCACCCCAGCUCCCCAUGUUUGACGGCCACUCCGACCCGAAGCAAUUCUUGAUGAGCUACGAAGCAACAGUGUCUUCGUACGGGGGCAACGCUGCAAUCAUGGCGAAGUCUUUCGUCAUGGCCGUCAGGAAUGUUGCUCAGACCUGGUAUUCCUCCCUUCGGCCAGGAACAAUCACUUCAUGGCAGAAGCUGAAGGAUAUGUUACUGACCAGCUUUCAAGGAUUUCAAACGAAGCCGGUUACAGCUCAAGCCCUCUUCCAGUGUAUUCAGGAUCACGAAGAAUACCUUCAGGCGUAUGUCCGAAGGUUCUUACGAUUGAGGGCGCAGGCACCAACGGUGCCCAAUGAAAUCGUUAUCGAAGCCAUGAUCAAGGGGCUCCGUCCUGGACCUGCAGCUCAAUACUUUGCUCGGAAGCCUCCUCAGACCUUGGAGAAAUUGCUCCAAAAGAUGGAUGAGUACAUUCGUGCUGACAAUGACUUUCGCCAAAGAAGGGAGGAGGCCUUCAGAUUUUCUGAGAUGACCAGGGGCUUCGGAGGAAGAUACUACCCGAGGCAUGUCCGUUCCAUUCACAACACUCAGAAUGAUGAUAAGGGGAGUCAGCAAAACAGGCCGCAGUGCUCCUCACAGGCUUCGGGGCAACAACAAACUUUCUUUCGGCCACCAGCUCCAAGAGGCAGAGGCGCCAGGGGCUUCGGCGGAAGAUUCGGAGAUCAGCCAAGGAGACUGUUUUGCCUAUUCUGUGGAGAGGGCAAGGGCCACACCACUAGGACGUGCCAUGUUACAAUCCAGAAGCAAAAGGAACUAGCCGAAGCUGCACCUCAACAAGCUCAGUCGAAGCAGGUUAUGCAUACUGCUUCGUUUCAUCCGCCUUAUGUCCCACAAUACAUAGACAACCACCCUGCGGCUUCUGUAGCUUCGGCAAGUCAACCUCAAGCUUCCUGGCAGCAGCUUCCGCCUCCACCUCCAUUGCAGCAAGGUCAACAGCCAGAAGGGAGCCAAUACGCUCCACAUCAGAGGGACUUCAGAGAACAGUCCGAAGCUCGCACAGUCAACAGCACUGUGCCAGAGUCGAAGCACAUUUAUUGACAUAUCCUACCUUUCAUAGCAGUCUUUUCUAUUCAGUUUUAUUUUCUGUGAAGCAAAAAACAUUGAUAGUUUUCAUGUAAUAAUUUCGUUGUUUCCCACGAGGAAAAUCUAUUUGCUCCACAGGCCUAAGUUGCUGAAGCCUAAAACUUUUUCCGUUACCAAGGAGGACCUUCGGAUUAAAAAUCCUUCGGAGUAACAGAAAGUCGUUCUAAGGAACGCAGAGUAAGUUUAUGAAGUCACAAAAAGCCGUUCCAAAGGGAGCGCAGUGUAAGUUUUCUGCUCAGAAGUCGUUCCUAAAGGAAUGCAGAGCCUACAGCGAAAAGUCAACGCUGAUACCGCCUAAGUAAAAGGCGAAGAAGCUCCUAAGGGAGGCUUACAGCGAAAAGUCAACGCUGAUACCGCCUAAGUAAAAGGCGAAGAAGCUCCUAAGGGAGGCUUACAGCGAAAAGUCAACGCUGAUACCGUCUAAGUAAAAGACGAAGAAGCUCCAAAGACGUUCCCAAGGGAAUGCAGAGCUUACGAAUAUAUUUUAUGAGUAUCUCCGGAACAAAUGUCACAUGCAUAACAUAACAUCAUCACAUCAUUUUGCAUAGCAUAAGCAUCAUACAUCAUGUUGCAUUUGGCAAGAGAAGGAGAUACUCUCAACCUUCGAAAGGAUGCUUUGAGAAAGUGACAUCGAAAUUGUACAGCUUCGGAAUACAGCUUCGGAGAAUAUUUUUACGAAACAUGGGCGAGCUUUAUCAGAUCAAUAUCGAAGUUGUGUAGCUUCGGAGUUUAGCUUCGAAGAAUGUUUUGACGAAGCAUGGAUGUGAUUCAUCAGAAUAAUUUUAACGGAGAAUGCCUUCUUCACGAAGCAUGAAAAGAAGGGAAGGUGUUUUUUCGCCAAAGGCUCAAAAAUGGUAUGUAUUUAAUGUUUCAUGCAUCGUAAAGAAUUCAAUAAUGAAAGGAGAUUUGUAUAUUACAUUCAAAUGUACAAAGUGUUACAUAGAUUACAUUUUAAAUGAUUUUUCCAAAUAGCAUCCAAUCUUCUCUCAAUACUUCUUCAGCGGCCUCAUUUAGAAAUUGGUCAACAACCUUGUCCAAGAUAGUUUCGGCCAUUUGUUUAAUUUCUUCGUCGACAUUUGAUCCAGCAGUUUCUGAGGGAAGAGAACAUUUCUUCAUUACUUUUGCAAACCUUGAGCAAAGUUUGGAAUAAAAAUUACAACACAAUAAGAGCGACUAAUUGGUACCUAAUUGCCUUUCGGGCUCUGUACUCCUUUCGGCAGCUUCUGCCACUUUUCUGGCGUCAUGAAUGCCUUUUUCGCUUCUUUGGAUGAUCUCUUGCGCCAUUCCUCGGCCGCCGUCGUUCCAGAUAUCAGUAAAAAAUUUGCCACCAACCACGCUUGCUUCGGCCGAGGGGUCCUUGACGUCUUCGGAAGAUAAGGUAGCUUCGGAUUGAGCUAAAAAUUUUACAUGCCCGCAACCUUUCUUCUCUAAGACAGAAGCAAUUCCUCUGGCGCCCGAAAAAGCGCAUAUGUCGCCACGACUGUUCAGAAUCUCUUCGAAGGCUUCUGCUUCGUGGCUAAUCCACUCCAGCGGACCUUCGGGAUUGCCUCGAGAGAAAUUCUCUUCGCUGGAAAAGGCGCCUACGCUGGCGAAGCUGGAUUUAAUUUUAUUCACGCAUUCUACAGAUUUGACAUAGCAUUUCCUCUAAGAUGUGCGAAGCUCCUUAACUUUUGAUUCCAAUUUGCUGACCAUAAAAUCACUAAGUUCUCGUUUCGUUUCCUCAAGCGCGCGCUCCUCUUUAGCUCUAGCCAGCUGUUUCUGAAGAUCUUUAAUCUCGCGUUUUUGAGCUUCGGCCUGGGCCUUUGAAGCAGCUUCGUCUUUUUUCACUUUAUCUACCAGUGUAAGCAGAAUUUUAUCUUUUUCCAAAGCUUCGUUUCUCAGUCUGAUAACUUCGGAGCGUAAAUUAUUAAACGCAAUUUCAUAGCUUUCAUCUUCGGCGCUCUUUUGGGCUCUUAGUGCGUUGCUUAGGAUCAGGCCCUAUACGAAAAAGAAUUCAUAUAAGAAAAAAGGAAUGAGUUGCGUAAAAAUAAGGGGGUUUUUCAAGUGUUUAAUUCCUAUACCUUCAGGCUGUUGUACGCAAGACUGUCUGCGAGAUCUUCUUUCGUCAUGGCGCUUAAUCCAGAUUCAAGCUUCGGGAAACCAAUACUUCUGGCCAUUUCUCGGCAGACAGAUAGCUCUUUGUUGUCAGGCAGGCAGUAUAAGAAGUCAUCUUCAUUCGUCCCAUUGAAUAUUACUGCCCCCUUCGGAUAUUUUAGUUCCUUUGCAUAAUGGAUGGCUUCAUGAGUUUCUUCUUCAGAUAGCUUCUUCCCCGAAGCAUGUCGUAUCAUGUAAUCACGCAUGCUGGCAGGUGCUUCGGGGAUGGCGGUGUCAGUUUCUUCAACUAAUACUGGUUCUGGAAUUUUUAUUGCUUCGGCUUCAAAAGGUUGCUCCUUGUAGGGCUCUGAAGGCCCAGCUUCAGCUUCAGCUUGUUGAGCCGAAGCUUCAGUAGAAGCUUCAGCAACUUCAACACUCUUUUUUGGAAUUGUGCUUGAAGACUUAAUUGUCUCCAAGACGUCUAGUACAUUUACCAUUCUUUUCCUUUUUGGGGUCACUGAUGGCCCCUUUUGGUUUUUUGCUGUCUCAAUAUUUACUGCAGGACUCAAAACUUCUAAUGUUUUUUCCUUAGUCGGCUUUUUCGCUUCUUCCAUUUUUUCUGUGGAUGGUGCUUCGGCCAUCUCUGCAGUUUCUGGCAGCAAGGUUGGCUGUUCAGCUUCGGUGGCCGAAGAAGCUUCUCCGGUGAACUCAGGCACCGAAGCUGGUUCAAUAUAACGCGGCCGAUGCGUAAGAACCUUUAUCUUUUUCCUUUUCGGUUCUGGCUCGCUAGGAGCAGCUGCAGCUUCUUCUUUUGCAGAGAUUGUGUUUUUUCUCUUCUGCCUUCGAAUGGGAUAGCAGUAAUCAGGGUAGACAAACCCAAUGGCAUCAAAUACCCGAUUCAGUCUCUUCUUUUUUCGGCCUCCGAAGGCUGCUGACAUUGCAUUAUCUUCAGCCUUCGAGUAGGUCCCGAGUAGCUCAUCACUUAAAUUGUCAAUGCUUUUCAACCACUCAUCAUCUGGCUCAAUAAAUUUAUCUCCAAAUUUGAAGGUGUACUUCAGUCUCACAAGCCCACCUUCGUCGGCCUCUUUUAUGGUUUCUUGUGGCAUUUCCCAUUUCUCAGCAAGCGGCCACACCCUGAAGGCGAUAUGUUCUUGUACUAAGUCCCUUGUUCCUAUAAAAGAACAGACAACGCCGAAGGCUCUUUGGCACUCUUCGGCGGCUUCGUUCAUUUCAACCUUCGGCCUCCGAAGGCCGAAGCUUUGCCAAAUAGGACGCAUAAUUAUACCUUUGAUGUCUUCUCGUGCUGAUAAGUCAUUCUUCACAUAAAACCAUUCUGUCAUCCAAUCCCCGGGCCAUCUCUUCCGAAAGGUUGGUACGGGACAGCUUGCCCCGGACCGAGAAACGAAGCUGUAGCAGCCAAAGUUGUUAUGGUACUGUUCUUUGCCCCAAGGCUUUGUUUCAUAUAAUAAUUCAUGAACAUUACAGAAGCUUCUUGCGUCAGGCUUCAGACCUUGGCUCCUCGCGGCCCACACGAAGAUGUUUAACCUUAUAAUUGCCUCGGGAGUAAGUUGAUGAAGAUAGACUUCGAAGAUUUUCAACACCUCCACGACGAAGCUGCUCAAGGGGAAUCGCAAUCCAGCUUUCAAAAAGCUUCGGUACACCACAACUUCAUUUUCUUCAGGGUGUGGACAAGUUUUUUCCCCUUCGUCCGCCCUCACAAUGGACAGAUCCCGGAAAUACCUUCCUCUCAUAUUAACAAGAUGAUUCUCUUUGAUAGUUGAUUUACCAUAAACUGAAUGGCUUGGUCGCCAGGGGCGAUCUUCGGAGUCUUCGCCACUACUGUCUAUAUCAUAACUUUCACUGUCACCAGUAUCUUCAGACAACCCCUCCAGAAUUUCCUUGGUAAUCUUUUCUGUGUUGGACUUCGACAUCGCUAUAAGAAACCCUAGGUUCUUCUCUUCAUCAAGACUCAGCUUCAUCUCAGCAGCAGCCUUCUUAGCAGCUUCAGACAUCUUCGGAAGCGCUAAAAAACUAUUUUUAAAAGCCGAAGCUUCAAAGCUAAAAGAUCAGCAAAUCUUAGUGCGCAGGAGCUAAAAAUUUUAGUGGGCCGAAGCAGAGGGCAAGUGUGCGUACCAAAUCAGUUCGCGAUGUGAUCUUAUUUAUACGCCUAGGGCGUUGAAAAUUGAAAGGCCCCGCUUGUCAGUAGAUGUUGCUAUUCUAGCAAAGGGAAGGUGUUUUUUCGGACCUUCGGCUCAAGGCCUUCGUCCAUAUCGCAAUCUGAAUUUAUUAUUUACAAAUUAAUAUUGCGAGGGGCUACUGUUGGGGGCCUUCGUCCUCCGAAGGUCCUCAAAAACAUGAUUUGACAAUGUUUUCCGAGUGGAUUAUGUGAACAGGUAUUUUCGGAUCCAGAAUUAUGAAUAUGGAGCACGGCCAGGACGAAGCCUGAACCAGACGAAGGUCGAGUGUAGCCGAAGCUGUGCGCAGGGAAGCUUCGGCGCGAUGGCAGAAGGGGGAACCGACUUAAAGAUGAAAAGACUUCGGGGGCCUCGACAGAUUUCCAUAAGCCGUUAACAAAUGUAAUGGACAUGGAUGUAAUUUUACGUGGGCUGCGUCCCGCGUCUAUAAAUAGAUGAACAGUACUCCCAUACUGUUCACGCUGACUUGGCAUUUGCUUUUGCGUCACGCUUGUACUUUCUACCUUCUCUCAGGACCGAAGGUACAUUUGUAAUUUAAAAUCAUUUCUAUUUUUCCAUGUUAAUAAAAUAGAAAUGAUUCUGCGAUGAUGCUUAUAUUAUAUUUCAUGCUUUAUAUAAGUCCUUCGUCAUUAUCUGUUAUGUUUGCGAAGGUAUUUCUCUUAUGACCUUCGUCCCAGACUCAUUAUUUCCCGAAGGGGACAUAAUGCUUCGAGGGACGAAGGACUUUAACACUUAACACUUUUUAUGUUGCCUUGUUCUUAACUCUUAGCAUUUGAGAACAAGUCUCCAACACCAUUAUUGGGAUGAAAUGAAAAGUUAUGGACAAUUCUGUUGGUCAUGUUUUUCCCAUAAGAUGGAUACUUGAUGAGUAUCAUUGGGAAUGAGAUUUUAAGUCCCUCUUAUCUUAAAAUCUGAUCUAAAUUGGCUAAAUUCUUUGAAUUGUUUCCCAAAGAACGAGGGUGGUCCAUUAUAGAGAUUGUAUGGACAUUGAAGGCUUUAUAUGGUUCUUUGGUGCAUCUAUAUGAUGACUUGAAGUGUGUCCUUUAGACAACACCUGACCAUUAAGUAAUAAUGUCUCAAGCUUGAGCACAUUAGCCUCCACACUAAUGAAUUUACCAAAUGAGCUUACAAUGAUGAUUGUUUGUCUUGGUAUUCAAAAUGAUAUCCAUAUUGGAUAUGACGAGUCUGUGAUAGAUUCGAAAAUUUCAGAUCAUUAAUGACCAUCAGUAAUGAAUUGUCAUUUCCAACUAGUUAUGGUUGGAGUUAGGAAGUUUUGCACACUCUUGACUUGUGAUUAACUGCAUGUACAAGUUCCCCUAUGGUUUUUAGUACGUGGGAAUCCAUGAAAGAUUUCCCAUGCGUACAUUGGGUAUGUUCCCAAUCUCACCACCGCAGCGUACAUAUAUGGGCACACAGAAAGCUAGGGAUCUAUGUGAGAAUUCAUUCUCCGUCGAUCAUUAAGUUUUAGAAUCUCUUCAUGAGAAUCUAUUUACGACCCGUACACUUGCUUGAAUCAUGAGCUUUUCCAGGCAUUAGGGGGAGAUUUCAAGUACCAAAAAGAAUGCCAGGAAAUUAUAAUGAAUGCAGUGAAUCAUAGUUAUUUGAUUCUUUCGGAUCAUGAGAUGUGCUAUUGUAUAUCGCAAAAACAUCCGGUCGGAUAUUGCUUAGCAAUAUUUUGCUAGUUAAUAGCACAUGAGAUCACGUUAUAUUCUCUAUGAGUACUCGUGAUAUGGUUACAGUUGGAUAUAUUGAUCUUGGAUAUCUAUAGAAGAUCCCUAGGUACAAGAUCAAUGACAUACUUCUAGUAAGUUGGACCUACUGUUUGAUAAAUGUCAAUCAACAGAGAUUAAUGGUCACUUACACACAGAAUGAUAUACUACAUACUGAGGAUAUGUGGUGGUCAUGAUUUUACUAUCACUGACCUUAUUAUCUAUGAAGAUAAUAUUACUUUGUGUCGUUUAGAUGAAAAACAAGUUACAAACUAAGUCUCUACCUUACUCCACAUUUUAAAUGUGUUUGAGAGCAGGUAUGGGAUGACUUGGUGAUUUGUAGAGAUCAGGAGGAAUUUCCCUUUUGAUCGGAAGAACUUGUCUAUACAUCAUGUUGUACUCUUUUCUUUGCAUGAGUUUUUCCCUGUUUGGGUUUCUCAUUCAAUGUUUUUAACGAGGCAACAUCAACAUAAGGCCUAUGUCGUAUCAUCCAUUUUUCCCGUAGAGGUUUUCGAGGAUAAUACAUUAUGACAUAGCUAUUGUUCUUUGGGCUAAAGGUCCAUGGAAGAAUAAUAACGUACCAUGAUUCGAUUGAAUCAUCGACCAUUAUCUAUGAAGAUAAUUCAGCUUGUGUUGUUCAAAUGGAAACAUGAAAAUGGAAAUAUUAACAUCUUGCAAACAAAGUCGUGUGAUAAUCUUGAUGCUCUAUUCACAAAAUCUCUACCAUAUUACACGUUUCAGAAAUGUGUUGAGGGAAUUGGUAUGAGAAGACUUAAGUGCUUGCAAGGAUUAGGGGAGUAAUUCUCUAUGAUAUUUGACCUGUUUUGUGCCAUCAUAUUACACUCUUUUCUUUGUAUGAGUUUUGCCUUGUUAAGGUUUUCUCAUCCAAAGUUUUUAACGAGGUAAUAUCAACUAAGUUAUAUGUUUUAUCAUUGAUUUUUUCCCACAGGGAUUUUUAUGCAUGAUGAUUACAAGUAUAUUUUCCUUUUGGAGUUCAAGUGAGAUUAUCUCAUUAUCCAAAGAUAUUGUAUACUCUUUAUUUUUCCCACAGGAUUUUUGAGGAGAUAAUAUAUUGGAAGGCAACUUGCAGAUGAUCAAAUGGAUUUGGAUUGAUCAAAGGGGAGUGUUACAAAAUAUUAUAUUUAUGAUUAAUCCAAGGGUUACGACAGAUAAUUCCUAAGGGACACACUCCUUGGAAACGCACACCUUUAUAUGUAUAUAAACAUAAUCUCUGCUGUAAUAAAGGAAUUGUUGACAUUCUCUCCCGUCUUGUUUUCGUUAUUCUCUAAUAGUUGUUGCGCGUGUGGGGAGAUAUGCAACUGCGUGAAGGGGAUGAGGAGGGAGCACACGAGUGGUCUAUACUAUUGAUUUAAUAAAUAGUAGACACUCUGAAAGAAAAACAAUUAGAUUCCCACUUGCGUCGCUGUCACACUGCGGACCCAACCCAACGAGCCCUGUGGAGUCAGCCACUCAGCCUGCAACGAGGGCGGAGGCGGACGCCUCAGGAUCUAUGCCAACGACCAUUUCCAAGCUGACGUGGCAGGACGUGUCAGCAUCGUCCGACGCGGAUCGCAUGUGGCGGUGAUGAUACCGGUUCCGGAUCCUACGACCAAUAACUGCCACGAGUCUUCCGCCGCCUGCAAGUCCGAGCGGCAGGCUAUAUAUAAGCAGGGGCCAGGGAGAGGAGCGUCGCCGGCCGGACCACCCGAGCCAGAAGCGCGUCGCCAGCUGAUAACUAACCCAACCCAACCCAAAUAAGCUCGAUCCUGCUCUCUGCCGACGCGGCCGGAUUCGAAUCCGAGGACGAUCGAUGACGGUGGGCGCCGGCAUCGCCGUCCAGGACGGCAGCCUCCUGGCGCUGGGCGCCAAGGUCCUGCGGGAGGUGCGCGGCAACGUGCUCGUGACGCCGGCCGCCGGCGGGGGCCUAACCAACGGCGCGUUCCUCGGCGUCCGGUCCGCGCCCGCCGCCAGCCGCAGCAUCUUCCCCGUCGGGAAGCUCCGGUACGUAUGUGCCGUGAGGGCAAUCCAGAUUUACUUCCCUCCCUUGCAAUGCUAAUUCCACAUGUUCCUAUCGCUUCCCUUGCAAUGCCAUCUGACGGACGCUGCUGCUGCAGGGACCAGCGGUUCGUGUGCACGUUCCGGUUCAAGAUGUGGUGGAUGACGCAGAGGAUGGGCUCCGCAGGCCGCGACAUCCCCUCCGAGACGCAGUUCCUGCUCGUGGAAGUGUCCGGCGGCGGCGAGCAGCCCGCCGUCGUGUACACCGUCUUCCUCCCCGUGCUGGAGGGCUCAUUCCGUGCCGUUCUUCAGGGGAACGCCGACGACGAGCUGGAGAUCUGCCUGGAGAGCGGUAAGCAGCAUAAGAAUAUCUUCUCUGGCCUAGCAAAUGUGUAUUGUAUUGUAUUGUAUUGUAUUGUAUUGUAUUUUAUUGUAUUGUAUUGUCUCUUUCCCUGAUUCAGGCGACCCGGACGUGGAAUCUUUCCAAGGCUCCCAUCUGGUCUUCGUUGGCGCCGGAUCGGACCCGUUCGAGGUCAUCACAAGUUCAGUCAAGUAAGCCGAUGCCAUCUCUUGCUUACGAUGCACCUUCUUGUUUUUACCGUUGCCAGUUUGCCGACUACGAUUAAUCUCCUCGCUCACGAAACGGCACCGAUCAACUCGCUGCAGGGCUGUCGAGAGGCACUUGCAGACGUUCUCUCACAGGGAGAAGAAAAAGGUAGCGAGAUUGGCAUCUGCUUAUUAGAUCUGGGUCGCUGUCUGUCUGUCUGUCAGUGUCACAGGAUUCUGUGCUUUCAACUUGCUGCAGAUGCCAGACAUUCUGAACUGGUUUGGCUGGUGCACGUGGGACGCGUUCUACACCAAUGUCACCGCCCAGGGAGUGAAGCAAGGAUUGCAGAGGUACGUAACGUAACGUAACAUCUCGAAAGUUUUCAUCUUUUGCCAAACCUAUAGAUAAUACCAAUCUAUGUAUGUUCUUGUGUUUUUCCCAGCUUGGAGAAAGGCGGGGUUUCUCCUAGGUUCGUCAUAAUCGACGACGGAUGGCAGUCCGUCGCCAUGGACCCUGUGGGAAUCGCUUGCCUAUCUGACAACUCAGCCAAGUAAGCAAGCAGUCGGGGGGACAUGGUUUGGUUUUCUGUCCAAAAUCCAGAGAGUCGGCUCGGAUUCUGAACUUCCUCUGUUGUUAUGUGCCUUGUGUUAGCUUCGCAAACAGGCUGACUCACAUCAGGGAGAACCACAAGUUUCAGAAAAAUGGCAGGGAGGGUCACAGGGAAGAUGACCCAGCGAAGGGCCUAGCACACGUCGUCAAUGAGAUUAAGGGGAAGCAUCAGCUCAAGUAAGUCUGCCAACAACAACAUUGAUCUGUUCUUAUUCAUUCAUUACAGAUUAUCUGGAAAUUCAUCUCUAUGACAUCUUGUAUAUAUACAAAAAAAAAACCCUCAGGUAUGUGUACGUAUGGCAUGCCAUCACCGGAUACUGGGGCGGAGUGAGGCCGGGUGCAGCUGGAAUGGAGCACUACGGAUCAAAGAUGCAGCGGCCCGUGCCAUCGCCGGGGGUUCAGAAGAACGAGCGCUGCGAAGCCCUGGACAGCAUGACGGCCAACGGGCUGGGCCUCGUGAACCUUGACAGGGCGUUCAGUUUCUACGACGAGCUCCACUCGUACCUCGCGUCUGCCGGGAUCGACGGGGUGAAGGUGGACGUGCAGAACGUCCUCGAGACGCUGGGCGCCGGCCAUGGCGGGAGGGUGAUGCUGGCGAGGAAGUACCAGCAGGCUCUGGAAGCGUCCGUCGCCAGGAACUUCCCCGACAAUGGCAUCAUAUCGUGCAUGAGCCACAGCACGGACAACUUGUACAGGUAACAACGAUUGCUUGUGCUGAGCUGAGAUGUCCGGUCGUGGCUAUUCCAUUCAUUCGCAAAUCGCAAUGCUCUUGCUUCUCUGCAGCUCGAAACGGAGCGCGGUGAUUAGAGCCUCUGACGAUUUCUGGCCGAGAGACCCUGCUUCCCAUACCAUACACGUCGCGUCCGUCGCUUAUAACACCGUCUUUCUUGGGGAGUUCAUGCAGCCAGACUGGGACAUGUUCCAUGUGAGCAUCAUCUCUCAUCCCUGAUUCCUUCAAUUCAAUUAAUCCCAUGCUCGCUUGAUGCUACGACGAAUGAUGCCCACACUCUCUUGUUUCCACAGAGUGUUCAUCCCAUGGCUGAGUACCAUGCUGCGGCUCGAGCGGUUGGUGGCUGUGCCAUAUAUGUCAGGUAAACAAACUAUAAAAACAUUGACGAGUGAUUUACAUGGCAUUACUAACUUAGACGUUCAUAUAUUCUGCAGCGACAAGCCUGGGAGCCAUGACUUCAAUCUGCUCAAGAAGCUCGUGCUUCCCGACGGAUCGAUCCUGCGCGCAAAGCUCCCCGGGAGGCCAACCAGAGACUGCCUCUUCUCUGACCCCGCAAGGGACGGCAAAAGGUUAGAUUUGCAGCUCUCUACGAUGGCUGGUCUGUUCUUGUUCACUAAAAGCCGUCUGCUAGCUGAAUCCCGUUUGAUGCUCUUUUCACAGCGUUCUCAAGAUAUGGAACCUGAACGAACACUCCGGCGUCGUUGGCGCCUUCAACUGCCAAGGCGCCGGCUGGUGCCGGGUAGCCAAGAAGAACCUCAUCCAUGACCAGCAGCCCGGAACGGUGAGCGGCGUCAUCCGGGCGCAGGACGUGGAGCACCUUGCAAGGGUGGCUGAUCACGGCUGGAACGGCGACGUGGUCGUGUACUCGCACGUGGGAGGUAAACAUCACCUUUUUUUUUGCUGGUCCUGAUGAACAGUCAGAUCAUUGUCAAGCUAGGAGACAUCAGUCGCGUUCUCGUGACCUUUUUUCUGUUUCAUCUUGUUAACAACGGACAACGAACCAUAUCUGGCAGCAGAUUAGUGACAAGCAACCCCUUGUUGUGUUGUGUGCGUGUGUGUUUUCAGGGGAGGUGGUGUACCUGCCGAAGAACGCCUUGCUGCCUGUGACGUUGAGAUCGCGCGAGUACGAGGUGUUCACCGUCGUCCCUCUCAAGCACCUGCCAAACGGUGCCUCUUUGCGGCGAUCGGCCUUCUCGGCAUGUUCAACUCCGGUGGCGCGAUGAGGGAGCUGAGAUUCGGUGGUGAGGAUGCCGACGUCGAGCUCAAAGUGCGGGGCUCGGGCACGGUCGGAGCUUAUUCCUCGACGAAGCCAACGUGUGUCGCCGUCGAUUCUAAGGCGGUUGGUUUCUCCUACGAUGGCACCUGUGGCCUCAUCAGCUUCGAGCUCGGCAUCCCCGACCAAGAAAUGUACUUGUGGACGGUUACAGUAGGGUACUGAAGUUACAAUUGAGAAUUGAGAUAGAUUUUCUAAUGCGUCAGAGAACGCCGGUGGUGUAGGUAUUCUGAUUUAUCCAGUGUUGUACUUUCUACUGUUAGUUAUAUAUAUUCUGUACACAUCCCGGGAUUUUAUGACAAAUCUAGAUAAGGGGCGGUCCUUAGAUUUUAGGAGCCUAGAAUGAAAUUUUAAAUGAAAUUUUAAAUAGAAGCCCUUGUUAAUAUUGUAUAUUGAUUUUACCAAUAAAAAUCAAAUGUGAUCAAUUAAAAAUCACAACCUUGAUAAGUUUUUUAUGCUCCCGCGAGUGUGUUGAAAGAUGUCUUCCGUCACCGUCUUAGCUGACAUGGUGCUUUUAGUUUGAGAGGUCACUUUAUUCUAGACUAGCAAAGUAUCCAUAUAUUGUUAUGAUUUUUAUUUGUACUUAAGUAUUGAAUAUAAAAAACAAAGGCAAGUGUAUUGUAUUGGCUAAGUGGAUGUGAAUAUAGGUGUAGAGCCAACAACCAUUGUUCAAUUCUCAUUUAUACAUAAUUUUAAUAUUUUUUACUAUUUAAAUGUGGGCCACGAAGUACAACGACGGUGGAAACCGUGAAAUCAGAAAAACUAGUGCUUUAAUCACUUCUUUCUAGAUAAGUUGAUUUAUCAUGGGUUUGUCAUAUAAAUUUGAUAGAAUGGCUAUAUUUCUUAUGCUAGUAAUUAUUAUUAUUAGCUUGUAAAGAAUAAGGUAGCAGCGGAUCAAUCCGUUUAAUUCACUAAGCAAACUAAUAAUAAUAAUAAGUAAAAAGUUAAUAUAGACAUAUAGUACUCGUUCUUCAAACCAUACACAUAAAUAUAGCAAUUUUACAUUAUUAAUGUUAUUUAUGUGUAUCAGAUGGAUCCCUACGGCCUAAGGGCCCCCGGAUCUGUCACACCAUCCGAACCCCCUCCCCUUCAGGUCUGACACUGAUCUAGUGUAUCAUGGAUAAUUUUUACAUAUAUGAUGAUUUAGUAUAUAGAAACCCGUGUUACGAACUUUAUUAUAUAAAUAAAAUAUAUUUAUAAAAAUAACUAAAUGAAAGAAACUAAACAAUGACGGCGACAAUCUUGAUAACGAGCCACAUGUUGAUCGGAGCGACGACAACCCAAAACUCUUCAUAGUAGUCUUCAUCUUGUGUCCUUGUUCUGGUAGUGAUGUGGUUCAUGUAUUCUGUGCAUAGAUACGUGAUUCAUAAAUGAAAGCAUAGAUACAUGAUUCAUCAUCCCACUUUUGUGAUGUGGUUCAUGCAUUCUGUGCAUUAUAUCCCUACAAUAUACUACUCUUUAAAUAUCUCUCACUAUUUCAUUACAGCAUUCACUCCCACCGAAAUACUCAUAUGCAUGAUAUUAUAUACAUGGUAGUUCAUGUCUUUCCCCACCCACUGGAAUACUCUGUCUGCAUCGAAAUACUCCUAUAUAAAAUGUCAAUUCAUAUUGCAACCACCACUUUUAUAGAUUGAUAAGAUAUUGGAGGCAAACAAAUCAUGUUGAUGUGGUUCAUGUAUUCUGUGCAUAGAUACGUGAUUCAUAAAUGAAAGCAUAGAUACAUGAUUCAUCAUCCCACUUUUGUGAUGUGGUUCAUGCAUUCUGUGCAUUAUAUCCCUACAAUAUACUACUCUUUAAAUAUCUCUCACUAUUUCAUUACAGCAUUCACUCCACCGAAAUACUCUUAUAUGCAUGAUAUUAUAUAUAUGGUAGUUCAUGUUUUUCCCCACCCACUGGAAUACUUAGUCUGCACCGAAAUACUCUUAUAUGCAAUGUCAAUCCAUAUUGCAACCACCAGUUUUAUAGUUUGAUAAGAUAUUGGAGGCAAACAAAUCAUGUUGUCGUAAAAAAUAGGAUGUUAAUCAAUUGUUCAUAUGUAAGAAACGACAAGAUGUCAUUCCUAUUAUGAUCGUUUGUAACCCGGGGUCACCCCAUGUGAGAAGUAAGUUAACCUCCAUAUCAUCACGAUAGUGUAUUGUAACCCACUGGGGAUUCCACCUCUGCUUCUCUAACUUCGACGUCGAUCGUAAUCACCAAUUAGUUAAGUCUGAAUUUCCUCAGGGUCGCACACGCAUGACAUCACCUCCGCGGACUUCGUGGUCAAGAUCGAUCGCUAUCGUGCUGUCAUUGAUUAGUGAUUUGUAAAUUCUAAAUUUAAAAUAUGUUAUAUAUACAGUGAAGUAAAGUUUAAUUUAUUUUUAUCUUUAUAUACAACGUGUUUGGCAUUUACAUGUAAAAUUUUGAAUAAUUUAAUCACCCCUAUUAUUGAGAAUAAAGUUUUGUUUAUGUUCUAUUUUCUAUCAUGAUACCCAUGUGAGAAAUAUUUUUCCCAACCCCGUCAGGUGCACUCACGGUGCGCCGCCAUAGCCCUGACCGCCUACGACAGAAAACUGUCAUAAGUAAAACGCUGCUUGUGCAUGGCUGCUUUUUCCACUGCUGCAAGGACGCUCUCGUAGGAUCUAAUAUUAGGGUUUCUGUCAUAGGAUCUGAUAAAAUAAAUUCACGAGCGUGAAAAGCUAAUAGAAUUAGAUGAAAUAGAUGGAGAUAAAAUAAACUCACGAGAGCCUUAUGAAAUUUCUUAUGGAACAUAUGUUCCAGUCGUUCGAUAUUCUUUUCACAGUGUUCUCAAGAUAUGGAACCUGAACGAACACUCAGGCAUCGUUGGCGCCUUCAACUGUCAAGGCACUGGUUGGUGCCGGGUAGCCAAGAAGUACCUCAUCCACGACCACCAGCCCAGAACGGUGAGCGGCGUCAUCUCGGCGUAGGACGUGAAGCACCUUGCAAGGGUGGCUGAUCACGGCUAGAAUGGCGACGUGGUCGUGUAUUCGCACGUGGGAGGUAAACCAUCAUCUUUUUUUAUGAACAGUCAGAUCAUUGUCAAGCUAGGGGACAUCAGUCUCGUUCUCGUGACCCCUUUUCUGUUUCAUGUUUUUAACAACGGACAACGAACUGUACCUGUCAGCACAUCAGUGACAAGCAACCCCUUAUUGUGUUGUGUGCGUGUGUGUUUUCAGGGGAGGUGGUGUACCUGCCGAAGAACACCUUGCUGCCUGUGACGCUGAGAUCGCGCGAGUAUGAGGUGUUCACCGUCGUCCCUCUCAAGCACCUGCCAAAUGGUGUCUCCUUUGCGGAGAUCGGCCUUCUCGGCAUGUUCAACUCCAGUGGCGCGGUGAGGGAGCUGAGAUUCAGUGGUGAGGAUGCCGACGUCGAGCUCAGAGUGCGGGGCUCGGGCACGGUCGGAGCUUAUUCCUCAACCAAGCCAAGGUGUGUCGCCGUCAACUCCAAGGCGGUUGGUUUCUCCUACGAUGGCACAUGUGGCCUCAUCAGCUUCGAGCUCGACAUCCCCGACCAAGAAAUGUACUUGUGGACGGUUACAGUAGGGUAUUGAAGUUAGAACUGAGAAUUGAGAUAGAUUUUCUAAUGCGUCAGAGAACGCCGGUGGUGUAGGUAUUCUGAUUUAUUCAGUGAUGUACUUUCUACUGUUAGUUAUAUAUAUUCUAUACACAUGGGGAAGUUACGACAAAUCUAGAUAGAGGCCCAGAACGAAAUUUUAAAUAGAAGGCCUUGUUAAUAUUAUAUAUUGAUUUUACCAAUAAAAACCGAAUGUGAUCAAUUGAGAAUCACAACCUUGAUAAGUUCUUUAUGCUCCCGCGAGUGUGUUGCAAGACGUCUUUUGUCACCGUCUUAGCUGACGUGGUGUUUUUAGUUUGAGAAGUCAUUUUAUUCUAGACUAGCAAAGUGUUUAUACAUUGUUAUGAUUUUUGUUUAUACUUAAGUGUUGAAUAUAAAACACAAAGACAAGUGUGUUGUAUUGGCUAAGUGGAUGUGAAUAUGCUUUUAGAGCCAACAACUAUUGUUCAAUUCUCAUUUAUGCAUAAUUUUAGUAUUUUUUACUAUUUAAAUGUGGGGAAGUACAAAGUGGAAAGCAUGAAAUCGGGAAAAGUAGUUCUUUAAUCACUUCAUUCUAGAUAAGUUUAUUUAUCAUGUGUUUGUCAUAUAAAUUUGAUAGAAUGACUAUAUUUCUUAUGCUAGUAAUUAUUACUAUUAGCUUGUAAAGAAUGAGGUAACAACGGAUCAACCCGUUCAAUUCACUGAUCAAACUAAAAAUAAUAAUAAGUAAAAGGUUAAUGUAGACAUAUAGUACUUGUUCGUCUAGCCAUACACAUAAAUAUAGCAAUUUUACAUUAUUAAAUGUUAUUUAUGUGUAUAAGAUGGAUCCCUUCUCAGGACCGAACUGGUCCAGAUGUAUAUCAUAUGUGUGUCAUGGUUAUUUUUUACGCAUACGAUGACUUAGUAUAUAGAAACUCGUGUUAUGAACUUUAUUAUAUUAAUAAAAUAUCUUUAUAAAAAUAAAUAAAUGAAAGAAACUAAAACGAUGACAAUCUUGAUAACGAGUCACAGACAGGUUGAUCGGAGCGAUGACAACUCAAAACUCUUCAUAGUAGUCUUCAUCUUGUGUCCUUGUUAUGGGCAGUGAUGUGGUUCAUGUAUUCUGUGCAUAGAUACUGAUUCAUAAAUGAAAACAUAUAUACAUGAUCCAUCAUUCCACUUCUGUGAUGUUGUUCAUGCAUUUUAUCACUCACUAUUUCAUUACAACAUUCACUCCCACCGAACUACUCUUAUAUGCAUGAUAUUAUAUGCACGAUAGUUCAUGUUUUUCCCCUUCCACUGGAAUACGCUAUCUGUACCGAAAUACUCUCAUAUGCAAUGACAAUCCAUAUUGCAACCACCAGUUUUAUAGUUUGAUAAGAUAUUGGAGGAAAAAAAUCAUGUUGUCGUAAAAAAUAUGAUGAUAGUCAAUUGUUUGUAUGUAAGAAACGACAAGAUGUUGUUUCUACUAUGAUCGUUUGUAGGUCGGGGUCACCCCCUGUGAUGAGUAAGGUAACCUCCACAUCAUCAUGGGUGUCUACUGUCACCCACUCGGUGAUUCCACCUCUAACUUUUCUAUCUUCGACGUCAGUCGUGAUCACCAAUUAGUUAAGUCUGAAUUUCCUCGGGGUCACGACUUCGACUACCCCUCCGCGGACUGUGUGGACAAGAUCGGUCAUUGUCGUGCUGGCAUUGAUUAGUGAUUUGUGAAUUCUAAAUCUAAAAUACGUUAUAUAUAUAGUAAAAUAAAGUUUAAUUUAUUUUAAACUUUUAUAUACAAUGUGUUUGGCAUUUAGAUGUAGACUUUUGAAUAAUUUAAUCACCCUAUCAUUGAAAAUAAAGUUUUGUUUAUGUUCUAUUUUCUAUCAUGAUACCCAUGUGAGAAGUAUUUUUUCCCAACCCCGCCAGGUGCACUCACGGUGCGCCACCGUGGCCCUGGCUGCCUACGGCGGAAAGCCGCCACCAGGAAAACGCUGCAUGUGCAUGACUGUUUUUUCCAUCGCUGCAAGGACACUCUCGUAGGAUCUAAUAUUAGGGUUUCUGUCGUAGGAUCUGAUAAAAUAAAUUCACGAGCGUGAAAAGCCAAUAGAAUUAGAUGAAGUAGAUGAAGAUAAAAUAAACUCAUGAGAGCCUUAUGAAAUAUCUUAUGAAACAGAUGGAAAAAAUAUCUUAUGAAAAAUCUCAUUGAAUGACCAAAUAUCAUAAGGGCUCGUUUGCUUCUUUUGAUUUUGAAGAAUUGGAAUCUAAUUAAUGGAGUAGUAUACUUUUUAAGGACGGAUCUUUUUCAACCCUUUCCCUCUCUCCACCGAUCACUCAAGAUCGGCGAGCUCUUCUUCUUCUCGAGGAUCACUUAAGACCCCGCAAGGACCACCACACUCUUUGGUGUCUCUUGCUAGCUUUUACAAGCCUCCAAAACUUUGGAGGAAGUUCAAUGGGAGUCAAAACUCCACGCACAAAUGAACACAAAGAUGUAGCACACACUAUCUCUCAAUGAAUCUCACAAGGCACUAAUGCUAAACACAAAUGAGUAGCUCUCUUUUGCUUUCUCUCUCUUUUGUGGCACUUGUGUUGGUUGUAGUGGUCUAAAUCUUGUGUAUAGGAUGGAUCAAUGAAUAUAUGUGGUUGGGAGGGCUUGAGUAUGUCAACUAGAUGACUUGGAAUGUUGCUUGGGCUCCCUCACACUGAAGUGGCCGGUUGGGGUGGUAUUUAUAGCCACCAACCAAAAUCUAGCCGUUGGUGAAGUCUGCUGGCGAAGGGCGCACCGGACAGUGUCCGGUGCGCCGCCAUGUCAUCCUGUCGUUGGGGCUUGGAGCUGGUCGACCGUAGGAGGCUUUGUGUGUUUUCAGGGGAGGUGGUGUACCUGCCAAAGAACGCCUUGCUGCCUGUGACACUGAGAUCGCGCGAGUACGAGGUGUUCACCGUCGUCCCUCUCAAGCACCUGCCAAACGAUGCCUCCUUUGCGGCGAUCGGCCUUCUCGGCAUGUUCAACUCCGGUGGCGCGGUGAGGGAGCUGAGAUUCAGUGGUGAGGAUGCCGACGUCGAGCUCAGAGUGCGGGGCUCGGGCACGGUCGGAGCUUAUUCCUCGACCAAGCCAACAUGUGUCGCCGUCGAUUCCAAGGCGGUUGGUUUCUCCUACGAUGGCACCAGUGGCCUCAUCAGCUUCGAGCUCGGCAUCCCCGACCAAGAAAUGUACUUGUGGACGGUUACAGUAGGGUACUGAAGUUACAACUGAGAAUUGAGAUAGAUUUUCUAAUGCGUCAGAGAACGCCGGUGGUGUAGGUAUUCUGAUUUAUUCAGUGUUGUACUUUCUACUGUAGUUAUAUAUAUUCUGUACACAUCCCGGGAUUUUAUGACAAAUCUAGAUAAGUGGCGGUCCUUAGAUUUUAGGAGCCCAGAACGAAAUUUUAAAUAGAAGCCCUUGUUAAUAUUGUAUAUUGAUUUUACCAAUAAAAAUCGAAUGUGAUCAAUUAAAAAUCACAACCUUGAUAAGUUCUUUAUGCUCCCGCGAGUGUGUUGCCAGAUGUCUUUCGUCACCGUCUUAGCUGACGUGGUGUUUUUAGUUUGAGAGGUCACUUUAUUCUAGACUAGCAAAGUAUCCAUACAUUGUUAUAAUUUUUAUUUGUACUUAAGUAUUGAAUAUAAAAAACAAAAGCAAGUGUAUUGUAUUGGCUAAGUGGAUGUGAAUAUAGGUGUAGAGCCAACAACCAUUGUUCAAUUCUCAUUUAUGCAUAAUUUUAAUAUUUUUUUACUAUUUAAAUGUGGGCCACGAAGUACAACGACGGUGGAAACCGUGAAAUCAGAAAAACUAGUGCUUUAAUCACUUCUUUCUAGAUAAGUUGAUUUAUCAUGGGUUUGUCAUUUAAAUUUGAUAGAAUGACUAUAUUUCUUAUGCUAGUAAUUAUUAUUAUUAGCUUGUAAAGAAUAAGGUAGCAGCGGAUCAAUCUGUUUAAUUCACUAAGCAAACUAAUAAUAAUAAUAAGUAAAAAGUUAAUAUAGACAUAUAGUACUCGUUCUUCAAACCAUACACAUAAAUAUAGCAAUUUUACAUUAUUAAUGUUAUUUAUGUGUAUCAGAUGGAUCCCUACGGCCUGAGGGCCCCCGGAUCUGUCACACCAUCCGAACCCCCUCCCCUUCAGGUCUGACACUGAUCUAGUGUAUCAUGGAUAAUUUUUACAUAUAUGAUGAUUUAGUAUAUAGAAACCCGUGUUACGGACUUUAUUAUAUAAAUAAAAUAUAUUUAUAAAAAUAACUAAAUGAAAGAAACUAAACAAUGACGGCGACAAUCUUGAUAACGAGGCACAUGUUGUUCGGAGCGACGACAACCCAAAACUCUUCAUAGUAGUCUUCAUCUUGUGUCCUUGUUCUGGUAGUGAUGUGGUUCAUGUAUUCUGUGCAUAGAUACGUGAUUCAUAAAUGAAAGCAUAGAUACAUGAUUCAUCAUCCCACUUUUGUGAUGUGGUUCAUGCAUUCUGUGCAUUAUAUCCCUACAAUAUACUACUCUUUAAAUAUCUCUCACUAUUUCAUUACAGCAUUCACUCCCACCGAAAUACUCUUAUAUGCAUGAUAUUAUAUACAUGGUAGUUCAUGUUUUUCCCCACCCACUGGAAUACUCAGUCUGCACCAAAAUACUCCUAUAUGCAAUGUUAAUCCAUAUUGCAACCUCCAGUUUUAUAGUUUGAUAAGAUAUUGGAGGCAAACAAAUCAUGUUGAUGUGGUUCAUAUAUUCUGUGCAUAGAUACGUGAUUCAUAAAUGAAAGCAUAGAUACAUGAUUCAUCAUCCCACUUUUGUGAUGUGGUUCAUGCAUUCUGUGCAUUAUAUCCCUACAAUAUACUACUCUUUAAAUAUCUCUCACUAUUUCAUUACAGCAUUCACUCCCACCGAAAUACUCUUAUAUGCAUGAUAUUAUAUACAUGGUAGUUCAUGUUUUUCCCCACCCACUGGAAUACUCUGUCUGCACCGAAAUACUCCUAUAUAAAAUGUCAAUUCAUAUUGCAACCACCACUUUUAUAGUUUGAUAAGAUAUUGGAGGCAAACAAAUCAUGUUGAUGUGGUUCAUGUAUUCUGUGCAUAGAUACGUGAUUCAUAAAUGAAAGCAUAGAUACAUGAUUCAUCAUCCCACUUUUGUGAUGUGGUUCAUGCAUUCUGUGCAUUAUAUCCCUACAAUCUUUACUACUAUUAAGACGGUAAGGGGUAGGCUGCCAUUCCUGGUUCUGCCAUUCCCAUGUGCCCCCUUCAUUCCCAUUCCCAACUGUGUCCCGCGCAUGUGACCUGUUUCCCAUUCCCAACUGUGUCCCGCGCACCGCGACCAAAUCCAUUCCCAUUCCCAUGCGCCCCCUUCAUUCCCAUUCCCAACUGUGUCCCGCGCACCGCGACCAAAUUUUUACCAAAAAAGCUAGCUGCGUGGGUCAAAGCUCGCGGCCAACCAAGACUACACUUGUUGUGUGCGCACUAGACCUUAUAAACAGGUGUAUGCACAGUUUAGUGAACAAUGUGGUACUAUUUUUAGCUUGCCAAUACGAAUUACACGCUUCCUGGGAGGCCCAUCUGCUUGUGGCCCAGACAAGGCCCACAGUUUAGUGAACAAUGUGGUACUAUUUGUGUUCCAUGUUUUUACCCCCCCCUACACGUAUUUCUUGGAUAUCUGAUUUCUACUCACGAUGAUUUGGCAUGUACCUUGCUGAGUUCAAGUCAGGUGCAUAGAGGAAGGAUGUUGCAGGGAGCACCAUGAAUUCCUACAAAGUUGCUCAGGUUUCCUCUGACUGUUCACCAUUAUUGGAAGCAGAGCAGGCAGAGAGCCUUGGAAUCGAACUCUUGGAGAUGGUGCCUAGCAGGGAAGAUGAGAUUAAGUUGAAAGAAUAUAGGGAGGAUGCUGUGUCGACUUUUAUAGUUGAUGAUUAUGUGAGACUUGAGUUUAAGGGCUCAACUUUUACCGGUUCUUGGAAGUCAUUUAGUAGCCCUAAGAUUUCAUCAACAUUCUUAGUAGUAAUUGCUAUAGUAUCAAAUGGGAUUGUGGUACGAGUUGCUCGAGUACUAACGUUGUUGUACAUUGUGAAGCUAAGUGGGUAAUAUCAAAAGGGAUUAAGAUUUAUGUGUGGUGCUUACUGUAUUUGUUUUUAUUAUUUUAUUGUGCUUUGUACAUGCACCAUCAUUCUUACUCUGGUGUUCUUUUACUGCAAAGUUUGACACAAUAUAUCGAAGGUUACUUAGUAUUGUUUUCUGUUUCUGUUAUCCUCUUUGCAGAUCUAUGUUUGGAUGAUGAAAACAGUGCUACUCGAUGUGAAGUCCACCAAUACUAUAGUUCAGAUUAAGUCUAAGAUCGGUGCUUUAGAGGGAAUUGGUAAUCGCCAGAAAGCACUCUUUUUUGCUGGAAUUAUGGUAGCAAUCAGGUUUCAGAUUUCUAUGAGUUCUGUGAAUAAAAUGAGCUUAUGGGUGUUGUCAAUCUUUUUAAAUUUCCUGAAGUUAUGAUAAAAAGAUAUAGGGUACGUAUUCAAACAAUAUGGUUGUUAACUGCCAAAUAUUUUUUAUAACAAAUUAUAUUGUAUUAUGUAGUAGAUAAAAAAGAGAAUAUUUUGUGCAAUUGUUUUGCUAAAUUAUAAUAGACAGUGGUUGUAGCUAAAACAUAAUUAUCUUGAUAUAAAGACUACUACAUUAUCACUUUUAUGAGAACAGUGCUUGUUCCCUUCAAAUUAUACAGUACGGUAGCAUAGUUGCAUUUUAGCAGGUGUUACUUCAUAAAUUGUUCAGUAGAAAAGAAGUGGCUCGUCAAUCAUUAGGAAUGUGCUGGAGCUCACCAGUUGUCUUUUUAAAUAGUUGAUUCACCAAUUUUUCUCGUCAAUGAUGCAUAUCAGCAGAUGUUUGAGAGGAAGAUUGGUCGUCUUAGUACAUUGUUCCUGGCCAUGGAGGAAGGCUUCCUCGCGCUCGUGUCAAGCCUGUGAGAGGCCCAACCAGACCUCGCAACGGCUAGGACGUGCUGCCUCAUCGGCGUCAUGCACGAUAGGACCCUUUUCCUCGCUAACCUCGAUGACUCUUAUUGCCCUCUAAUAUUAACUUGACAUUCUCUAAUAUUCGUGUAUUGGUUUUUGGCAAAGAAUUUAUAAGAUAUUAAGAUUGUUUUCAUAUAAUCGUUGUACACUACCAUUUUAUCGAAUAAUUUAUGUGCCGUUGCAACGCACGAGCAGUUGACUAUUACCAUGAAGAUGCAUAUGACACUGAAUUAUAAUGGUUACCACAAAUAAAUUAGUUUCAUUUCAAUUCACUGGAUCAUCAAUAUUUCACCAAAUGUUACCACUGCUAACAAGCUAAGGAUAUUCACAGAGUCAGUAAUAUUAUACAAAUCAAAGAAUUUGCAACCAGUGACCUUCCUGGCUAACUAGGAUGUCAAUUAGGCGUCAAAUGUUCUGACGCAUGCAAAUUGAGGGAUACUUCUAAAUCUCUCCAGCUCUAGAUUUCAAUGUUAGCAGUAAGAACAUCCAAAUGAUCGUUAUCCAUAUUUCACCAUUCUAGCUCUCUCGAGGAUGUCACUCGAGUAAAACAACAAAGCAAUAUUUUACCUAUCUUUCGUCAUUCUAGCUCUCAAGUGACAUGAAAACAACAAAGCAAUAUUUUACUCUGAUGCAUGCUUCGUAAUAAUUUUUUAUGCUAGGUCCACUCCUCUUAACGUGCGGUGGGGUCUGGCCCACCUUGCCGGGCCGGCGGGCCGCGGCAUCGCGGGCUCCUCGGAUUGAGGAUAACUCUAAGGAGCGCGACAACUUGCUCUGGUGGCGCAACCUCGUGCGCUGCCACGCCGGUGAAGUUUUCAUCGUCGUCGCGCGGAUCAAAUAAGUGCUCGAGGACCUUUUCUUAUAACAGUAUAUCACAUAUUUGUACAUAAGUUAUUGUGGUAUUAUAUAUUCCCGUUGCAACGCACGGGCACUCAUCUAGUAGGAAAGAACCGUGAGGGAUCAGCCUGGUGGGACCGUACCGUCAUCGCGUCGUAUCGUAUGUAUCACCUGGGGCCUGCUCCGUUCUUUCUUGGACUGGGAGGCAUCGUCUUCGUCUCGGAUCGUGCAGCUUACUUGGUUCCCUGCCACGUCGGAUGGGCUCAUGUAAGUAAAGCUGGUUCUGAUCACGUCUGUUAAAUCGGACUAAAGCUUAGUUCGUGUCACAUCAAUUAUUUAAAUAUUAAUUAUUAGUAUUAAAUAUAAAAUUAAUUAGAUUUAUUAAUUUUUCUCGUCUUUUAGUCUUGAUCCGUGUAAUUAAUUUUAUAAUUAGAUUAUAUUUAAUAAUCGUAGUUACCAUUUGAUAGAAAAUUUUAGCAGGAUGGAACCAAACACCUUAUAAAUCUACUACAUAUUAGUUAGGGCAUGUACAAUGGGUGUCUUAAGUUGUGUCUUAAAGUGUGUCUAAGAGGGUGAAUGUAAAAAAACUCAAGACAUGUAUCUUGACGAAGACACAGUGUCUUAGCUCUAUGUUCGAGACAGGAGACUAGCUGAUUGGUCACUUUAAUUUAUUGAAUGCUCUGAUUGGUACAAUGAAUAUGGUAAGACACAUGUUUUAGACAUGACCACUGUAUUAUGUUGUGUUUUAGUUGUGUCUUAUACUUGGAGUACCGUGCAACAGUGUCUAGGUUGUACAUGCCCUUAUCGUUUAUAUUAUUGAUUGUGUUAUUAAGUAUAAUAAGCACUUCUAUACUAUACUUAAAGCACCAGUUUCAACGGUCAUCCCGCGUCAUCUUUUUACAAAUAACCCCUCACAACUAUUUCAAAUUAAUUUGUUGCACGUCUAUAGAUGGCCAAACGACGGGCCGGCACGGGCCAGACGCCAGCGAGCCACAACUCUGGCCCAGGCACGUCAUGCCGGCCUGCUAACUGUGUCGGACCAGCUCGCUAGCCCGUCGAACUAUUUGAUUAAAUCGACAUAAAAUGUUAAAAAACAGUGUAGGAGGUGGGGUUCAAACCCAUGUUGUGAUGGAAGAAGGAUGGAAGACACUGGGUGAAGCUGUCUAACCAGUAGAACAUCAUGCUCAAAUGUUUUUAAUAUUGAGCUAUCUUUUUUAUAAGUUUGAGUUCAUGUGACUUAUUUUAGAAACUUGAGCUCACAAACUUUCUCUUAUUUGGUCUCUGUAUGGUGGAAUUAUGUCAUUUUAUAAUCUCUGUUCGUUCAGUCAGUCGUUGUGGACUCUCUUCUAAUUACUCACUUUAUUGGCCGUGUUGUACCAAGACAUAUUGCAUGGAGUAAACAAUAACAUCAGUUAGCCAAAUCAAAAAAAUAUUAUACAAAGAGCUGAGACAAUCAAUAAAAAAUCUUGAAUUUUUUUUGGUGGAUAGUUUACGUGGGUAUUAUUGUAAGUCGUCGUAACGCACGGGCAACCAACUAGUAUACUACUAUUUAAAUAUCUCUCACUAUUUCAUUACAACAUUCACUCCCACCGAAAUACUCUUAUAUGCAUGAUAUUAUAUACAUGGUAGUUCAUGUUUUUCCCCACCCACUGGAAUACUCAGUCUGCACCGAAAUACUCCUAUAUGCAAUGUCAAUCCAUAUUGCAACCACCGGUUUUAUAGUUUGAUAAGAUAUUGGAGGCAAACAAAUCAUGUUGUCGUAAAAAAUAAAAUGUUAAUCAAUUGUUCAUAUGUAAGAAACGACAAGAUGUCGUUCCUAUUAUGAUCGUUUGUAACCCGGGGUCACCCCCUGUGAUGAGUAAGUCAACCUCCAUAUCAUCACGGUAGUGUAUUGUAACCCACUGGAGAUUCCACCUCUGCUUCUCUAACUUCGACGUCGACCGUAAUCACCAAUUAGUUAAGUCUGAAUUUCCUCAGGGUCGCACACGCAUGACAUCACCUCCGCGGACUUCGUGGUCAAGAUCGAUCGCUGUCGUGCUGUCAUUGAUUAGUGAUUUGUGAAUUCUAAAUUUAAAAUACGUUAUAUAUACAGUAAAAUAAAGUUUAAUUUAUUUUUAUCUUUAUAUACAACGUGUUUGGCAUUUAGAUGUAGAAUUUUGAAUAAUUUAAUCACCUCUAUUAUUGAGAAUAAAGUUUUGUUUAUGUUCUAUUUUCUAUCAUGAUACCCAUGUGAGAAAUAUUUUUCCCAACCCCGCUAGGUGCACUCACGGUGCGCUUCCAUAGCACUGACCGCCUACGACAGAAAACCGUCAUCAGGAAAACGCUGCUUGUGCAUGGCUGCUUUUUCCACUGCUGCAAGGACGCUCUCGUAGGAUAUGAUAUUAGGGUUUCUGUCAUAGGAUAUGAUAAAAUAAAUUCACGAGCGUGAAAAGCUAAUAGAAUUAGAUGAAAUAGAUGGAGAUAAAAUAAACUCACGAGAGCCUUAUGAAAUAUCUUAUGAAACAGAUGUUCCAGCCGUUCGAUGCUCUUUUCACAGCGUUCUCAAGAUAUGGAACCUGAACGAACACUCCGACGUUGUUGGCGCCUUCAACUGCCAAGGCACCGGUUGGUGCCGGGUAGCCAAGAAGAACCUCAUCCACGACCACCAGCCCGGAACGGUGAGCGGCGUCAUCCGGGCGCAGGACGUGAAGCACCUUGCAAGGGUGACUGAUCACGGCUAGAACGGCGACGUGGUCGUGUAUUCGCACGUGGGAGGUAAACCAUCAUCUUUUUUUAUGAACAGUCAGAUCAUUGUCAAGCUAGGGGACAUCAGUCUCGUUCUUGUGACCCCUUUUCUGUUUCAUCUUUUUAACAACGGACAACGAACCAUACCUGUCAGCAGAUCAGUGACAAGCAACCCCUUGUUGUGUUGUGUGCAUGUGUUUUCAGGGGAGGUGGUGUACCUGUCGAAGAACGCCUUGCUUUCUGUGACACUGAGAUCGCACGAGUACGAGGUGUUCACCGUCGUCCCUCUUAAGCACCUGCCAAACGAUGUCUCCUUUGCGACGAUCGGCCUUCUCGGCAUGUUCAACUCCGGUGGCGCGGUGAGGGAGCUGAAAUUCGGUGGUGAGGAUGCUGACGUC
This 126403-nucleotide long non-coding RNA is filed under the name Zea mays. RNAcentral's name for it is "long non-coding RNA (ZMAY_LNC004682)". The record is from RNAcentral. Lineage: Eukaryota; Viridiplantae; Streptophyta; Magnoliopsida; Poales; Poaceae.